AGCCUGACCUGACCUAUGCAGAGUAUCCGGCCAAGGUCCUUGACUAGAAAGAAAGGCAUACCCGGCGCCAAAUGGUCAAAAUGUACAAGAUCCUCAGGAGGAACCACACGGAGGAUGAAGCAACGUGGGAAAACAGAAGAGUACUUGAACAAGCACUUCCCCAGUUUUCUUUCCAGCCAAGGAGGUAAAGGCUACACACCCCCACCGGUUACUUCUACAUCUGAAUCUCGGGGCGAGAUUCUUUUUAAGGGGGGUAGGCUGUAACGGCCUCGGACAAAUAUCCUUCGCGUCAAUCUUAAUCCGAGCCCCUGAUCACCUGUCUUAGUUUUUCCAAGCCUAAGUGUUCAACCUCUAGCUCUUCCGACCCCUGCGAUCCGACCCCUCGCCGUGGUCUCCCCAGUUCCGACCCCGCCGACCCCCAAUCCACCGUCGGAUCUUCCUAAGCCAUCCCGCAGCAUCGCCCUCCCGUUCGAGCAGUGGACCACCGAGACUGACCGGUGGGCCCACGAGACCUUUUCCCCCAGAUCUCCCGUGACAGGCGCACUCGAGUUGCAUGCCCGCUUCAGUUGUCCCCCACCGCGUGGCUCAACUCCUCCGCCGUCCGCCGCUCCGCCCCGUCUUCGGCCCGCGACCGGAUGGAAUCCCGCGCCCUCUUCCCCAAUUGCAGCGGAAGCCCCUCUGCAACCCUUUCUGCAGCGCCUCGCCGCCCACGCCCAUCAUCACAUCGCCAGAUCCCGGCCGCAGAGCCCGAUGCCGCCCGUCUUUUCCAUCACCUCGCCGCCGUCGCGCCGCCCGGUCUUCGCUACACGACGAUUCCUCCUCCGCCAACCCAUACCGCGGCAGCGACAGCUCCUUUUCCCGCCCUGUCAGAAGCCGCCCCGACAAUCUGUUGCUCCACGCUCGCCCGCGUGCCUGCAGCCGCCUGUCUUCUCACCUGUGCGCCCUCGAUCCUAGCGUCGUUUUCCCGGUCACUUCCAUCCGCUCCACCGCACGACGACGCCCGCCUCCACCAAAUCUCAACCACCGGUAAACCCACGCCUGCGCCGCCCUGACGCCAGUGCCCAAUGACCAUCGGCGUCAUCCGCGAAGUCCUGCUCCACCGUCCUCGUCACUCAAUCGCCGCCCGGGCAGAGCACUCCAUCGCUUCUUCCCCGGCAUUCACGCCGCUCCCCCUUCUCUCUUCCGCGCAGCUAUAAAACGGGAUGCGCAAGCCCCGUCGGAGUUUCCCUUGCCCUAGCUACCAUCUCUCUUGCUCCCUGUUCGAGCUCACAGCGCCACCACCUAAGUCUGAGGAACUCUCCUCUCUGCUCAAGGACCACCGCUUUCCCCGAUCCGCCAGCCACUGCUUUCAGUGCUGUCCAAGAGCUUGCUUGUGAUCCACAAGAAGCACCGCCGUCGCCGGACAUUCUCGCCGCCGUCCCAAGCCCUUAGUUCUUCCACCCAAGCCUCCUCUGUGAGACGAAGGUAGGCUGCCGACCCUUGUCCACUUCGCCCAACCCCUCUUAUCCGCCCGACCCUUGUCCGCUUCGCCCGACCCCUCUUAUCCGCCCGACCCUUGUCCGCUUCGCCCGACCCCUCUUAUCCGCCCAACCCCUCUUAUCCGCCCGACCCUUGUUCGCUUCGCCCGACCCCUUUUAUCCGCCCGACCCCGAUUCUAUCUCGCCCGACCCUGUCUGUUCCGCCGACCCUUCUCCGCCUCGCCCGAGGGCUCGGCUGUGUCUUUUUCUUUGAACCGAGGGUGUAUGUGUAAAACUUGGGGACCUUUCAGCGUUGAGUCUGAGGACCCCUAGUACAUCAAACCCUCUAGUUUAAGGGUCAGCUCAUAAGUUCCUUCCCUCCGACCCUUACCUCCUGAUCUCCAUCAACUCCAUUGAACCUCCCCACCCUCCUGUAUUUUGUCGCAAGUUUCUGGGCUCAGACUUGCAAGUGUUACUGUUGAAAUAACCGUCUAUGCUAACCAAUGCAUUGCAUUCGUGUAGAGCUGCGUCUCGCCGAUGGCUACUACGAGCUGCACACGUGCCAGAAGACGACAGUGUAGCUGAGCUCCUGCCCCCAGAAGCCGAAGCUGCCCCAAAAGUCGAGCAGUUCCCUUCCUCUUUGCUCGAAGGCAAGCCCCGGAUGCAUGAAUUCCCUGUGUUUUACCAAAUUUGCGCAUGCCUUCUUUAACAUGCUUGUGCAUUUAUGUAUAGGAGUUGUUUGGAACCCUAGAUGCAUAACUUAGCUCCCCUGAUCUGAACACUAGCUGUUGGACCGAGUAGAUGCUUUGCUUAAAUAGGAAACGGUAAAAGCCGAGUGAUUUCCUGUCACUCGCGAGUUGUAGGAGUUGGUUGUUCCUCUUCUGUAACAAUUAUAAGGACGAUGGACGGGGUAGGGUUUGAGGUAACUUUUUGGUGGUCGGAUGAUCGCCCCGCCUGUCUAUGAAACUUGCUAAGUCCCGACAGUGGUGGUGUUCGUGAUAAAGUGUUUGAAAGUACUAAUCUCAUACCUAGUAUGGGAUGGGAAAGCCUAGUACCUGAUUGAACUAGGACGUGGCUUAUACCCCUACUGUCCCUGGAACGAGGUUCCCAUGGUGCAUCAUGUGGGUGCAAGUGCGGUCACAGUACAGCAGAGACCGGGGCUGUGGAGCAUUGCAUGCCAAGGGAAGUUUGGACCUGACACGCGCCUGGGAAUUGAUGGGGACGGCCGACACAGGAAGCGGCCCUUGUGGUGCGCGGAUGUCGUGAGAUUAGGUUCGCCAUGCAUGGUUAAGAAACUCGAAUCAAUUCGUCUGCCCCUCACAAUUUGAGACUGCUUGAUCGCUAUGUCACCCUAAGUAAAUAAGGAAUCUGAUGAUGACAUGGUUUUGUUGAUGAGAUAUAUAUACCUUUUGGUUGGUUCUAUGGUUGCUUAGAAUAGGUUGCAAACUUAGACCGGAUAAUGAACUUAGAACCGGAGCUAAAACUUGAAAGUAGGGUUACAUCUAGCGCUUUUGGCAAACAAACCCCUCAGCCAAAAAGCCUUGCGUGUCUAGAAGAGGUAGUUUAGCGCGCUCCCUGUCGGUUAAGUCUUGUUGAGCUUUGUAGCUCAGCCUUGUUGUGGCUCUUUCUUUUCAGGUGAAGUUGCUGCUUCUGAGCCCCCUUCUGCUGGCACUUGGCCACCCCAACUCCCUUCGGGUUGGACGGUCGAGUGGGAUCCCUCCUCGGACGGCGAGGAGAGGGAUCAUUGACGUCCCGGUUGGCCUCACCAGGGAUGUCCGACCCCGACGAGUUCGCUUCCGCUAGUGGUUUUACCUUUUGUUGUUGUUUUUCUGCCGAACCUUGUAAAACUCUGAUGUGUUUUAUGGCCAAACUAAAUGGGUAAUUUGUUAACUCGGUGGACUUGUUGUAUUCUCUGGAACCGCUCACCUUCGUGUGGGUUUGCUAAUUUGUCCUGUUCAAGUGGUUAAUUCGGAUGAAAUCCGACGGCACUUCGUGUUCACUCGGUUUAUGCAUGAGCGUCGCGUAUCAUGCGGCUAAUCCAUGUUUAACCAAGUAGAUCCGAAGUGGAUCCACCACAGUAAUGAUCUUUGGUCCAAAAGUAACUAGCAAGACCACCUGACCAAGGGGUACAGCCGCAUUACCCGGGAUGAUCCUAUAGAACAGAGAGUUUGUCGGGGUGAACUUAUCCGUAACAUCAAGGCCCAUCUUCCUCAAAGUCUUGGUGAAUAGCACGUUGAGGCCACUACCUCCAUCGAUGAGUAAUUUUGUGCAUCGAGAGCCUGCGACUACCGAAUCCAGGACGAGAGGGUAGCGUCCUGGGUCGGAGAAACUAGUCCACUGAUCCUUCCUGGAUAAGAUGAUUGGCACCUUGGACCACUUGAGGAAUGUAGGUGUUGCUGGUGCAAUGGACAUAAUCUCCCAGAGGGCUAGUUUCUGGACCGCUUGGUAGCAGUACCCGGAGUACCACCGAAUAUGAUGUUGACGGUGUUAGACGGAUUCUGUAAUUUUCCAUUAUCAUCCUCAUCUCUAUUUUCUUUGGCCUUGCCCUUGUCCUUAGCUUCAGAAGAUUCCGAUAGAUCUUUCAUGACUCUACGAAGGCUUAUGCACUCCAUCGCAGAGUGUUUGGAGUGUGGGUGCCAUGGGCACUGCUUCUUUAGGAGCUCCUGAACGGAGUCCUUUCUUGGUUUCCACCACUUUUCUUGGCGGUUUUGACCACCCGAGUAGUUGCCUCAGUUGUCAUUGGGAUGAUCGUUGCGAUUCUUGCCAUUACUUUGGCCGUUGCUCUAGUUAUUAUUGUUCUAGCCUAUGUUAUGACUAGAUUCAAACCGCUCGAUCUCUUUGUCUUAUUCAUCUGUCCAGGCCUGUAUCAUGGUCUUGAGAGACUUGAUAUCUUUCGAGUGUCUUCUGCCAAUAUCUUGGAACAUCCGGCAAUCAUAGAGACCGUUCUGGAAGCACUCUAUGGUGUCCUUCUCCGUGAUAUCCAUGACAAUGGCCUUCUUAUCGAAGAAACAACGUAGAUAAUAGGAUCUUGCCUUGUCGCUAUUUGAUUUGUGACAAGUCGAUCAUGUUAACAGGAUGUUGCAUUGCCCCAGCAAAAUUAUUUGUGAACGCCGCCUUCAGCUAACACCACAUGUUGAUGGAAUUCCUUUUUAGAGUCUCGAGCCAAGUGAAUGGCACUGUCUCCAUGCAGAUGGGGAAGUAGAUGACCUUGGUGUCAUCGUUUCCUUCCGCUGCUUGGACCGCUAGCGAGUAGCAACUCAACCAUUGGACUGGGUCUUGUUUGCUGUCGUAUUUGUUAAUGCUCGGAAGUUUAAACUUGUCAGGUAGUACCGUCUCGUGUACUCAUCUUGAAAAGGCUGGGAACCUGUUAGUGUCUUCUCCCGAGUAGUCAACUUCUUGAUCGCGUUCGCGGUGGCGCCCUUCGAUGAUGACACGAGCGUCAUGAUUCUGGUUGAGCUGAUGAUGGAGGUCGCGAGGUUGCUCAGGGUCUUGACGAGGCCUGCGGUGGCCACGGCCUCCCGAGAGUCCCGUCCGACUACCUUCUGCCCUAUGCUAGCUUGCUCUGUAGUUCUCAAUUCUGGUAACCUUGUUUUAACUAGGUCUAGCAGCGUCGUUGCGACUUGGAUGCCUGCCAUUGCUACCAUGUUGGGAAGAGGUGCGUCAAACCGAGGUGAUCGGAUUCUGUCAAUCGAGUUGUUCAUACGCAUGCUCCACCAGUAGAGCUAGUUGCCUGGUGUACUUGUCUUGUGCCAUCGUGUGAGUGAGUAGGUCAAUGGAGGCGGCGGUGGCGAGAGGAGUGUGGUGGUGAUGCGAUUGAACUGCUUCAAACGUGUGAUCCAAGUUCAUGAUGGGUAAGUCGGAUGAGAGGUGGUGGUGACAUUUUGCUCAUGCUGUGUUUCUUGUACGCCAACAUUUCCUUUGACUUUUGGUUUCUUCUUCUUGGACAUUGGCAGAGAGUUCAUCCACCGACACGUCGUCUGGAUGGCACUCGCAUCGUGGAUUUCUUUCUGGUUGUUCUGCUCCAUUGCCGUCUUGAGGAGCGAUGAUGGCGAGUAGUUCUCGCUCUGGGAAGAAACUACUCGAGCUUGACGUGAUGAUCUCUGUGGGUCCAUCUUCUUCGUAGAUAGGAGACAGAGGUGUUCCGUCCUGGUACGAAAGGUUUGUCGAGGUACGCGACAAGGCGUGACUCAUCAUCCUUGGCAAGGGCAGAUGGUUUCAUGCCGAGCCAGUAGACGAAUCUACCUUGUGGAGUAGAUGUGAUCACCAAGCCCUGCUGCGGAUCUAAUAAAGGAAUCUCCUCGUCCGGAUCCGAGUAGUAGUCGAGGUCCUCGAUUGAAUUCGAGUUGGAUUGGGAUCUGGAUAGGAAAGCUUGGUAGAUAGAGCCCGUGUUUCGAAGUCCGAACAUGAAUCGAGUUGUAUUGUAGACCAAUUCACAAAAUGGCUCAAGUGCCAGCUUGUGAGAACUAGUCCGACUGGUGGGAGAAGUCGAGUUGAACUUGGACUCGUCCCUGGAACCUCGGAAGAGGUUGGAAUUUCAUUGAAUUUUUGAACGAAAUCCUCCAAAGCUUGGCGAUGGAGGUUGAUGCCAUAGUGCUUCUCCUCCGGAGUCGGCAUGAUGUGGCGGUGGAAGUUUCGAGCGCCGUCUGCAACGCAGACCCAAGAGUCAAAGACGAACGUCGCGCCUUUUUCGAACGCGAUGGUGGGCUUGAUGAUGACUAGAGCCAUCGAGUUUGCCGGUGGAUCUUUGGCGAGAACCCCUACCUGGUGCACCAGUUGUUGCUGUUUAGACCCGGCAACCUACCGAGGGGGUACCCAAGGUAGUGUUUUGUGCGUGGGGCUCGUUGAAGACCAAGAACUCGAAGGUAAACUCAAACACACGAUUUAGAUAGGUUCGAGCCGCUUAUGUCACGUAAUACCCUACGUCCUAUGUGUUGGUUGGAUUGUAUUGAUUGAUGAUUGUUUGGAGGGGUUCCCUGCCUUAUCUUAUAUUGCCGGGGGCAGGGUUACAGGUCAGUUGUUGCACAAGAGUACUAGUCGGAUUCGACUAGAGAGUCCUACUCUAAUUGCUACGAGUAGUUUUCUAAUCCUCGACUAGUCCUUAUCCUCCACAUAGACCACGCUGUACUACACCAUAGUCUACAUGUCCGAUACGUCUUGGUGUACAGCCCCGUAUUGUUGGACUGUCCAAACCUCCCGGUGGGCCCAUAGAUGUAUGGCCGACAUUGAGUUCCUUGUAUUGUGUGGCAGAUUAUUCCCGAGCUUUGUGAUGUAGUGUUGUGUGUUUCUUCGAGUUUGUUGCUGUCGUGGUGGAGUGUUGUUGUAUGUGUUGAAACUUCUCUUCUUCUUAAUAAAAAACGAACUAUGCACGUCUAAAAAAAAUAUACGCAUGUGGUUAUGGUGAGUGUGCAAGCAUAUGCAUAGGGGCAAAUAUGCAUACACUUUGUGUCUAUAUUGUACUCCCUUCCUUCCAAAUUGUAGGUUAUUUUAAUUUUUCUAGAUUCAUAGAAUAUCUCUAUAAAAUUCAAAAUGAUCUAUAAUUUGGAAAGGAAGUAUUUCACAACAAAAAUAAGUUAUAUAAAACAAUUUUCUACACAUGGACGUGGUAAAAUCAAAAGUGUAUGGUCGUGUUUAAGUUACCUUGCACGCGCACGUCAAAUGUCGAAUCCAAUAAAAGUUCCACGGCACUUCCGAUAUUUACUGGUUUGAGAGAAUAUUUUUGAUGGUUUGGCCCAACUUUAUUCAAAUCAUGAGUCCUUUGAUUUAUGUUGGUUGGUCAAAAGCGGAACAUUUGCGUCUAGUCAGCACAGCCACACAGUGGGCCGUCGCCAUCCCCCCGCAGCGCAUCCAGCAAAAAGUUCUCCACAAGAUGGCCUCCCCCUACGGCGGCAUGCCACGUGUGGAUCCCUCCCGCGUGGCUCCAAAGCUCCCGUCCCCAACACGGAGGCGCUACGGCCACCGAGCUGGCUCAAGAAACUUGACAGCACCAGUGUAUGACAUAUGGGCCCGUAGACAAGUUCGGGGUACGCGACGCGGGUGCGGCAGGCGAUUUCGGUGCUCGGGGGAGGUGGCCCUUCCCCUGAGUGGCCCACAAUAUUCUACCAGUCCAAGUCAUCCAGCUCAGCCUGGGCCCAAGCUAACGAUUCCAUUCGGAGCACUUUACUACGUUCAGGUUUGUGUUGUGAUCCGUUGCUCCCGUUUAGCUUUCGAGUCUGUAUUUAGGAUAAUCAGUUUUGGUGAAAACUUUGUAGUACUCGACACUAGUUUGGUUAGCCGUUUGUUUCCUAGCACUACUUUUUUCUUUGUACUUGCAAAGGAAGAUGGUAGAAUCAAUCAAUGAAACAAAAAUAUGGUGCGUGAACGAUUGAUCAACAGAACUCAUCUUACAAACCACAUGUGAACCUUCAUUUCCACUUUCAUCAGUGAGAGCAGAAGUGAUCAUUAGUUCAUUAGAUGAUAUGGUAGUUUUGUAUUCACCAUGAAAAAGGUUCAUGAUUUUUUUUUCCUGCAAGAAGUCCAUCAUGCUUCGUGUAUAUAACACAAGUGCACUACGGGAAAAAAAAAUUCAACAAUCCUACUCUCACUAAAAGAUCCAACAAUACUUGUCAUGAACAUAACAAGUAUUGUUGAAUCUUCUAGCUAGACUAGGAUGUUUUCAGUGCAGACUAUCCGUUCAAGGUCAUCAAUGAUGUUUUCUUUACAAUAUAUUAUAUAACGUAACAUUUAUAUCCAUUUUUUGCAAGCUGUAUAAAACAGCAAUAAAUAAGGUAUAGUACGGAUAGUCGACGUGUACAAGGGUUUCAAAUUGUGCAACACGUAACUAUCUAGUGGAAAACAAAACAACUAAUCGCAAUCACAGUGCAGGAUCUCCAUGGUAAUAGGAAAUGUAUCACACCCUAAUUCACACUUAGACCUGAGCGAAUUUGGCCAGGCCCAGCCCAGCCCAUGGCCAUUAUAGGGCCAGGGGUGGCGCGCAUUUUGCUGGCCAAAAAAAUUUGGCCGACCCGAUUAUUUUUUAUUUAUUUUCCAACUAAAAAGGACUGGGCGGCCUGACCAGCCUGAGCCCGACCCCAAAAAAGCCACGUUUUUUGGCUCGAAAUAUUCUGGGCUUUUCGCCGACCCAACUCAAGCCUAGCCCGGCCUGCAUUUUGCUCAGAUCUAUUCUCACUGCAACUAAAAUACCCAUGCAAGUUUACCUCUAAACAAAAGUUAGCGUAGAAGAAUCUGAAUAGUUAAUAGGGAUUAUAAGAAUAUAGAUUCUGACCAAUAAUAAUUUGGUUUGACUGGGUCAAUGGAUUAUAAUAUAGAAUCUACUUAUGCCUAUCUCACUCUUUCUCCACAUAGCCUCCUAGUAGUAUGGUUGUUGGAUAUAGUAGGUUUUUAUAAUCUGGGUGGUUAGAUUCUUAUAAUCCACCGCAGUGGGUAUUUUUUUUUAUCUCGUAGCGAUUUUUUAGCGGAUUUUCUUUAUAUAAUCAUAUGAGAUCCAAUCAUACCUUAGCUAAUCACAAUGGUAAAUCUUCAUGGUAAACGCGGAGAACAUAAAUAAAAUGAUAAGGAAACCCUAAUUCUCACUGCAACAGAAACGCCCAAGCAAGUUUACAUCUAACAAAAAUUCAUGCACAAAAAGAAGUGAAUGAAACACACAUUCAUCCCCCACACACAGUCACCACAGAGAACCCCGCCCCAGACUCACCCAUCAAGCAUCAACCUGCUGGUUAUAUGGCCCAAUUCCUUCUCUCCAUUUUCUGAAACCUCCCAAUCACGGCAAUGAACACAAGUUAAUGCCCCCAAAUCAACCAGCGGCGGCGACGCUUCCCGACCGCCCGCCAGAAAAGAACCAAACCCCAUGAUGGAGCCCCCCACGAAGCAAGGUGACACGAGCGCCCACGGCCCAGGGACGCGGGGCACCGCUGACGUGGAUCCGACGGGCGGCCGCGCCGCAUCCGACGGCCCGGAUCGCCGCAACCCUUCUUUUAUCCCCCCGGCCCGCCCCUCCCCGCCCUCCCACGCCCACCCGCCACAAGGCAGAGAUCCCCACACCCCUCCCUCGUCGUCUCCUCUCCUCCACACGCGCCCGCCCGCGAGAGAGCGAAGAGCUUGCGCCUGCACUUCCAUGGCCAGAGCCUCAUCGUGUGCUCUUCGAGGCUUCAGAGUCGCUCGGUCGCCCGUAGCAGUCCUGGUUUGAAAGGACGGGCGUGCGGAGAGAGGCGUUGUGAUUAUUUCUUGGAGCAGGAGGACGAGCAGAGAGGAGCGGGGAGGAAGAUGAUGGUGGGGAAGAGGGAGAGGGACUGCAAGAACCCGAUGCGGCGGACCACGAGCAUGACGGAGUUCGCGCCGCCGGACGUGCUGGCGGCGGUGGCGGAGGACGAGGAGGCCCAGCUGCCCGACAACAACCACCGCGGCGGCGCCGGAGGGCAGGACUGGCUGUCCGCGUUCGACGGCGGCGCCGGUGGCGCCGCUGCGCAGGAGGACUGGCUGGCGGCGUACCGCGCGCGCGCAGCGCCGGCGCGGGCGGGGCUGCGGCGGAACUCCGCCGACUACUCCGUCGUCGAGACCGCCGCUUUCCUCCGCGCCUGCGGGCUCUGCUGCCGCCGCCUCGGCCCCGGCCGCGACACCUUCAUGUACAAGUACGUAUAGUACAGUAUUCUCCGUCAGUGAUUCAUGUCUGGAUAAUCUUAAUCUUCAUGUUCGUGCGUGUCCUAAAAAAGACGUGCCUUUCUUUCUGCUGCUGCAGGGGCGAGGCGGCGUUCUGCAGCCUGGAGUGCCGGGAGCGGCACAUCACGCAGGAGGAGUGGAAGGACAAGUGCACCGUGAAGUCCAUCAACAACAAGGACGCGGCCGCGGGGGCGGCGCCGGUCGCCGGCCGCCGCGCCGGCUCCGGCAAGCCCGGGGCCGGCGGCACGGUGGCCGCGGCAUGACGAGGCGCGCGCGAACUUACGCCGCACCUACCCACGCAGGCCACUCCUACACCUUCCUCAACUAGCAAGCUGCAGGCUCAUCGAUCAAUCACUCUGCAUAUCAGCAAGACAGUAAUCACUCAUAUACUAGUUAUCACCAGCUUGAUUAAUCGAUUAGAGUUAUCUGGAUCGACCACCGCAGCAUGAAGCCGUAGAGACGCCAUUAGCUUGAUCCGAUCCAUAGAUCCGUGUAAUAUGUUUCAUAAAAAAAAUUCUUCCAGCUCGCUAUGCUACCUACGAUGGUAGAUGAUGGUAUAUACAAUCUCAGUGUACCGAUCGAUCGAGCAGCGUGUAAGCACACACUUCUGUAGAAGCGAGGAAAGAGAGAAGUGGCCACAGCACUAGCUUGCAGAUCGAUGAGCUGCAAGGCUGAGAGAGCUGUUGUUGGGAUCGAUCGAUCCAUCUUGUCACGCCACUAUAUAUAAUCAGACAUGUGAUUUACGAGGACAAGACACUGCGAGUAGUUUAGAAUUUAAUCACUGAGACCGACUAUACCUGAGCAUGCAUGAUUAUUGUCUUCUGAUCUGUCAAAAACUGUAUGUUCUUCAUCAGAUUCAUUUGCUGUUCGGAGCAGAAGAGUUUUGCAUUGUGAGAUCGUGCGAAAAUCAAUUAGAGUCGUACGUGCAGUUAACUAUUCUGUUUAGCACAUUCGAUCAGUAUUAUUGUACUACCAUAUACGUGUCAAUUGCGAAGGUCUCUCGUCUCUAUCAUGUACGCUGUACUGUUGUAGGUAUACGAUGUUCUUUUUUUCUGCUUAUACGUGUCCGCGGGCCAGCCAUGCCCAUGCAUGCUUAUUAAACCAUUCAGCUACACUAAUAGUACUCGUAGACUGAUUGAUAAGCUCGUGCCUUGUGAGUAUAGUAGCACAGAUCAAGCAGCAGGAAAGCUUGAUAGUUCUGUGACGCUCACAUGGAUAAUGCUGUCGCCAUUACUAAUCAAGUAGAGCCUAUAAUGUCACCAUUGCAAAUGCCAAGUAUGAUUAGUUUUGCUGUACUAUAUUCAAAUCAAUUCAGUCCCUGAUUACGGCAGAUAUAAUGCUACCUCCUCCUACAAGAUCAGGUGGUACCACUUCGGAGCAUCAGCUUAUUUGCAAGGGUCACUAGCUAAUGAAUGGUAGCUACAAAGCUAGUACUAGGGCACUACCAGCAGUACCUGCGCAAUGCCGCUGGCAUGGGUCAAUCUGUUCGCUUCUCUCUGUCAGAGCUCCGGCCUUGUACUCCUUCCGUUCCCGUACAAUGCAUGGAGGAGAUGGAGAUCGAUAGAGCACGGGGCAGAGUAAUGGCGUACGGCCGUCCAUCCCCGGAGCACGAUGUCGACACCAUGUUGACACUGGCCGACGGCAGCAGAACCUCAGCUGCUUUGGAAAGAACACAAAGAACAAUGUACAUGUUCACAGGCUACCAGUUCCAUGACUCCAGGAGAGAUUCAUGCCGACGAUGAUGCCAUGAACGUUCAGCACGUGCUCUCUACACUACACUCCAGUAGAGUGUCCGGAUCAUAACAUGAAACGAAAGGCACUAUUCUGAGAACUAUAGUCCUAGGAGCAUAAUAAUUCCCAUGGACAAUCAAACUGCACAUGGAGUAGAUUAAGAAAUGAUUAGUCGUAGUCAACUUACAACGAGAAGCGUAUCAUUCGGUAUGAUUCUGUUAAAUAUUUCGUACAUGAAGAUAUCAGUUUGACGCGAUUCUAGUAGCUGGAAUAUUAGAGAAUCUAUCCUUUCCAUUAAACCAUGGCCGUGCUAAAGUCAGCGGGCACAAGGUGAAGGCAAAAGAAAAUUUUCUUCUUCCUUGAGUGUUCACUCUUCUCUUGAGAGACACUUGUCACAUUUUUCCUGUUUCAUGGACAAGUUUCUACUAAAAUUGGUCAUCUUGAUUGGCUUCGUAUCUUACAGUGAGAUCUGAACUGUGGGGACCUCCCUUCGGGAGUCCCGCUGAUCACUUGUAUUUAUGGAUCAGUAGGCUAAUGCAGUUACCAUCACAGUUCAAUAUUUUAAGCAAUAAAAUGUGUAUAAUUUAAUAAGAAAAAAUCUUCACCUUAGCACAGCGAAGUGGUGCCCAUCCACUAACAAGAUAGUUUAAACACCUAGAAAUCUAUACCUGUAUGAUGAAAGGAAGGCUGAGUACAUUUACGGUUGGUACUCAACAAAUUCCAACCUUAACUAGUAUAUAUUAAAUGCAAUAUGGGAGGUGGUCAAGGAAUAUAGUUGAGAGGCAAAACCUAUGCCUAAAGCAUCUCACAGAUGCAAAGUGAAUUUCAAAGGUGAGUUAUGUAAAGACUCUCUAAGAGAGUUACUAUUAUAUUAUAAGAUGAAAGUCCCCAGGUUUUAAUUCUGGAGUCCGAUCCACGACUUCAUCCGGCAAUUUUAUCACAUUAAUUCCCACCCAAAGGCUAAUCAUGGGGGCUUUGACAAAGUGGGCUCUUAACCGUGAGCCUCGGCUAUCGAUAGGUCAAAACUCUGCGCAGAGGUGUACACAUCCAUACGUUCGAUCAGCCCAUACCUUGUUCCUAGGCUACACUGAUCUACAAGACCCAUGCCCGCUCACGUCUAUCUCAAAACAGCAUUCCCUAGAUCGGUCCGCGGAUAUACUGGGGUCUAAGAAGGGGCCACUAACAUCCGCUACGUGGAUCCAAUCCUAGGAGUGUGCACAAAUAUAUAAAACAUGGCCUCUGACCCUCAGGGUCUCCGUCCCUCUAAACAAACAACUCGUGCCGACCAGACUUGGGACUAUACGAAGUUUCUGCUCCACUAUACCCGUUGCCCACCUUGGCCGCUUGGGAUGGAUGUCUAGGAUCAGCUAGCGGGGUUCGAAUCAAGGCCUCACAUGAACAGGCACUCCCGAAGGCUGUACCUUUUUGGCACGUAUGGUUGUACAUGUUACAAGAAAGACUCUCCCAAUGAACCGUCAUGUAAGGACCAGGGUAAGCGUUAGGGCAGUAUGUUCCCCCACAGGGGCUGUCCUUUUACUCGCAGGUCUAAAAUACACCCUGGGGGUUUAGUUACUACCUUUUUAUAAUUAACUCACACUUUCCCAAAAGGAAAAUCCUUCCUAAGUCUUUUAUAAAAAUAUAAAUUUAUGGUGCGUGUCAGAUCCUCCCCGUGGAGGAUCCAACCAUAUUUUAUCCCCAUUUACAGGGCGUGACUCAACUUGCCUAGCGUAUCUACUAAACGGAGGGUUGGUGAGAAGAGUAGUUUUCCUAGGGUGGUUUGGCCUGUGGCAUUUCAAUAGCAAAAGGGGGAAAAUCUAGCAUGCAUGUAUCUCUAAAGAAAUAGUUCUUAAAACAAAACAAUGUUGUCUGUAUUAGGUUGGCAAUAUUAUUAACUCUCGCACUCAAUGGGAUAAAGUAUGCACUAGGAGUCAGGAUUGCCUUCAUCGAAAAUCCUUAACGUCUCCUAGGGCAACCAGGGUUCUUGGCUUCGAGUCCUUCUGGACCCUUGGCUUCAGGAUGGAGCCUGGUCAUCUACCAUCUGAUGAGAGCGCAUAAAAUAACAAUCAAUAAAACAAUGCACCAAUCAAUUCGUAAGGAAGGAAAAGGAUGAGUAUUCUGGAAAUUACUUGAUAGUAAAAGGUGAAUUCUCGAUUAAUGGAUGGAUAAUUCAUUAAUUAUUUAGAGAUAGGUCUCUAAUAAUUAAUGGGUUGGGGCUGGAUAUUAGAAAAUUCUAGGGUUUUGGUCGGGCAGCACAACGGCUGGGUUCGGACGAGAAUUUGAGAUUUGGGUGGGCGGCACUACGGCUUGGUUGGGACGAGAAUUAAGGUUUAGAUCAGGUAGCAUUAUGUCUAGGUUUGGUUGAUACCUAGGGUUUUAGUCGGGCAGCAUAACGGCUGGGUUUGGGUGGGACUUGAGGUUUUGGGCGAGUGACAUGACAACUAUGGCGAGAUGAUAUUUGGGGUUUGGUUUGGGCAGCAUAACGGCUGUGUGGUGGAUUGGACCAGAGGUUUGGACAGAUCCUUAAGGGGGUAGGGUCAUUAGGGCAUUGUGGAAUAAUGAUCCUAAAGGCUAGAACUUGACAGCUUGUUCGACAGUUAGUCUGCCCAGCACUAGGGGAUAGCAUAAAUGGUGACAAACGCGGUCGGGCAAUAUCAAGUGCGAUAGAAGCCAGAGAGCUUGCACGACGGACACCACUUGUCUCGGUGCUAGGGGAUAACACUCAUGGUGACAGAUGGGCUAGUACAAGAUCAGGCAGAUGCAUGGCAGCGACGGGGGUUAGCAGUGAUGAUAGGGCAGCGAGGAACAGCCGGCUUGAUGCUGUUAACAACGCGGGUAAUAGUGGCUAGAGGUCACACGGCACACUCAGCUUCGACCUGAGGCCUUCGGCCUUACGGUGGGUGGAGGCGGUGCCACAUCUUCCUUAAAAAGAGUAGGGGCUCUAAGAUCUUAGUGAUAAGAUAGAAAAGCGUUUGAAUGAGAUGAGAAAUUAGGAAAGGAAGGCAUAGUUGGGUUUCUAAUAUUUUGUAGAAUUUUUUGUGAAUUUUUGGGAAUUUUUGGAGCUUGGGAAGGGAUUGAACUAGGAUUCGGGGUACACUAGGCGGGGUGUACGUAGCAUUUUAGGGGUAGUUGAUGCAGGCGAGGUGGAAGCUGGGUCACUGUGGCAUGUGCCCANNNNNNNNNNNNNNNNNNNNNNNNNNNNNNNNNNNNNNNNNNNNNNNNNNNNNNNNNNNNNNNNNNNNNNNNNNNNNNNNNNNNNNNNNNNNNNNNNNNNGAGAAAUUUUAAGAAGUUUGUAUUUUUAAAUGCUCUAAAAUACGGGAUGUUACAUGAACCCUCAACAAAAAAAAUAUUUUGCAUAUGUAGAAAUCAGGAAACAAAUCUGUAAAAAAAUUAAAAAAAUUAUGCACCUCAAUUUUUUGUGAGCUUUCAUAUCUCAAUUGGGUGAAGUUUUAUUUCAAGAACAUGCACUGCACAUAUUUAUUAAGAGAAUGAGAUAAAAAGGUUUACAGAAGCAUACUCUCUCCAUUUAAACUAUAUGUCAUUUUACGUUUGUUUAAAGUCAAACUUUGUCUAAUUUGACCAAACUUUUAAAAAAAUAUAUUAACAUGUACAAUAUCAAAUAAACGCAUUAUCAAGAUAUAUUUCAUAAUAAUCUAUCUGUUGGAAGUUUGGAACUAGUUUGACAUUGUAGAUAUUUGCAUAUUUUCUAUAAAUUUGUCCAAAACUAGAGAAGUUUGACUUAGUGCAAAGCUAAAAUGAUUUAUAAUUUGGAAGAGAGAACAAACAACCAUCAGUAAGGAGCUUAUAUGGAACUAAAACAAAUGGCACAGCGGCAGGGAGACCGAGAAGGAGGCAACAAAGGGGAAAGGGAGAUGAAGGAAAGAAGCUUGGCAAAGUUUAACCACACAAAAAGCAGGAUUAUGUCUUUCAUUGGGAGCAGUAGAAAAUUAUAAAGAAAAAUAUUUAUUCACUUAUUGGUCCACAUAAGCACUGGCAUAUUUUGUUUCCUUUUGCAAAGAACCCAGAACAAUGUUUAGUGACGGAUCGUGACUUGUUGUAUGAUCUGCUUGAUAAAGACUAAAGGCGUUGGAUAACUGUGGCAAGCUGAUCGUCUCAUAUCUUUUUUUGAUCCAAGUCAGCAGGAGAAGCUCCUACCUAUUUUUUUUAUAAUUUUUAUUCCAGACCCGUUUAAUUCGUUCUCACAAGGAGUCGAACUCGGACCUGCUCGGUGCUACUCAGGUACUCUAACCACUAGGCUAGAGACCCUUUCACGAUCGUCUCAUAUCCUUGUAAGCACGGUUAAAUCUUUCAUCGUGCAUAAAUGCAUGGCUAAUUAUUUUCACUGCCAUUUAGAUACAGAUAUAUACAUAAUUCCCCUCUAUCAUCCACGUAUCUAUUCAUGUGCAAAUUGAGUACUCCGUCCAUUUCAAAAUGUAGGAUGCAUUUUGUUUCACUGGGAUAACUUUUUGGCCAACAAUUGAUGUUAUUAUGUUUGUAUUGUAAACUAUUUACUUAUGAAUAUAAUUUUUGUAUCACAUAUGUAAUAUAUUAAUCUAGUAAUUGUCAGCUAAACCUUUAAUGGUAUUUAUUAUUUUUUACACUUAAAUAUAGUCUACCUACUACUCCAGAUUUCUUGAAAAAAUAAUUUCAAACUUUUAGCCACUAAUAAAAAAUCGAUAUUCAUCAAUGAAUACACAGGAAAAAGAACUAUACUCCAAUUUAGUGAACAGUAAUUUGCCUGAUUUCUUUCUUUUUUCCGCAAAACAGAAUGACAUACAAAGACACUACAUACACGCAGGCACCUGCAUCUGUAAUUGGAGCCCCGGAGACGGUGCGGGUGCGUGCGUCACAUCGGGGAGGUUUUUGCACUAGUUGCCGCAGCCAAUUAGGCAGCAGCCACUAGCUAACCACUACUAGCUCAUGUCACGGGUGGUCCAUCGCGUUGGAUGCACUUGCACUCGCGCCCAACCACAAGCCUUACGUCCUCGGCACCGUCCAGCUGUGCGUCCCACACGGGCUCUCGAUCCUGCUCGUCGUGCGAUUGCACCUCCUCCCAAUUGCGCCCUCCUUUUUGCUAUCCCCUUUUCUGGGGGUGGGGGGCAAAAGAGAGAAACCCACCGUGCCAUCGCAAUGGAGCUCACGGAUGGCUGGCUGUAUGAGACAAUGGAGAGGAGACGACAAAUACAAGUAAAAGGUGCUUUUGUUUAUGUUUUGCCUUUGCAAAGUUGUGACGCAUGGGGUUGUUCCUGUUUUGUGGCUGCGAGGAAAUCCUGCGCGCAAGUGGGGGGAUUAUUCGUAUGUGUCUUUAUGACGUGUGUAGCGUAGCUACUGGAAUCCUUGUUCAAAAGGGGGAAAGAGGGAAAGAAUUCCAUGCCCGUCCACAGGAGAAAGAGGAUUAUUCCUAAGGUUUGAUUUGUGAAAAAGUUAUAUUUUGCAUUUGUACUGAAAUAUGUACAUAUUUUAUUUUUACAAAGAAGAUCUAUCACUUGUUAUGGAGGAAAUUGUCAAGUCUCGUCAAAGUGUUCUAAAUUACCAAUUGAAAUUUCUCUGUUACUAGUUUUGUUUGUUCGCUAAUCAUCUAAUAAUGAUCCAAAGUUAUGCUACUGUGCAUCAUAUUCCUUGCAUCGUGGUUCCUUUCUGUCUCUUCAUAUUCGGUAGUGCUACCUCAUCUCUACACUCUACUUGGUGUGGUAGCCCCUGGCCUGGAUUUCGUCUGUGCCAUCACGCCUCACUGGGCAUCUUAAUUAUGAUGUGUGAGACCUAACACCAGAAUGAUUGUUAGGUAAGACCAAAGUAAGAAUAAUUAUCAUGGAGUGUGGCACCUCCUUUCAGAAGAAAAUUAUACAUAGGAUUAUAAAGCUUGCAUACAUAUUACGACAGUAUUUAUUUAACUCUCGAGAGAAUUAAAAAAUUGCCAUGCAUGUUUCAAUGCCUACUUAUUGUCUAGUGGUGAACAACUGCUUUAGGUCUGAAUGAAAAAUUGCAAGCUGCUCACCUCAAAGUAGGAUAUUAGUGACAGUGAGUGAUGGUCACUAAGCUUGAAUAUUCCAAUUUUCUGGUACUUAAAUGGUUACAAAACCAGCGCAAGCAAAUAGUUGAAGAAGACCAUGAACAUGUUUCAAUAUCAUGAGCUGAUCAGAUGCAUUGAACACCCGGCACAUGUAUAUCAUCAGUUCAUGUCUUUUCUCUACAAAUAUAUAAUUCUUUGUGCUCCAGUUAACUUCAGUUAAGAAUGAGCUCCAGUUAACCUUGUGCUAGCUAGGGCAUUAUUGCAUGUAUACAUAGUUUAAUUUCUAAUAUGUACAUGGAAAUAGCUUGUGCUAGCUCCAGUUAAUACAUAGGCUUAUAUACAUGUACAUGGAAAUAACUCGAGUAUGGAUAAUAGAAACACAAUUAUUUGCAUGUCUGUAAACAAGAAACAGAAACAAUACUUGCAAGAAGGACGUUUCUUUGCAAUAUGGUUAUAUAUCUAGCUUGUGGGGCCUGUCCGAGUCAGCACCAGAAAACGCUGCAGCCAUGCAUAUCCACCUUCUGGUGCCGAGUUGCUAGCUCCAGUAGGCUGCUUGCACCGUACCGCAAAGUGACACUUGCAAGUGUCAUACACAAUCUCCCUACCAAUAUCGUUAUCAAGAUAAGUCUGACGAGUUGAACUGUCAAGUGCAAACAUCUAGGGACGAUGCUUACCUCAGCAUGCAAUCGAUCGAUCGAUAGGGUUUCAUAAGUUAUUUUUCUUUAUGAAACGAUAGGGUUUCAUAAUUUACCUGCAAAUUAAACGAUCGAUCAAGUUUCCCACACUAGCUAGCACAUGUUCGUUACCAUCGACCUCUGCUGCAGUUAGGGUUCAGAUCAUCAUCAGCUCCUGCCAAGUUCUGCUUGAACGAAGACUUGCGGCCGCUGCACGAAUGGAUCGGAGGAUACCGCGCGCACGGCGCACCACACGCUUGGAUCCGUCGAUAUGGUCAUCGAUGGUCGAACAACUAGUCCACACCCGCCGUCGCGUCGCGGUUCGCGACCAGCUGAACACGAUUGGGCAGCCGCACGGCCAACUUUUGUUGAGCAAAUAACGGCAGGUGCUCUGCCCAUUCAUUAUAGUAGGAAGCAGUUCAGAUGUACAAGGUCAGACCAAAUGGUCCUAUAUAAGAUGAAAAAUAAGGGGGGGAAAGCAAAAAUAAAAAGGUGUACAGAUGGACUAUUCUUGGUAGGCCGCAAGAUCAUUGAGGAUUACAGAGCACAACUCAGCAGGUGAUAGCGAUUUGUUGUCGGCAGCGCUCCUUCCAAAUAUUCCAAGCAUGUAGGUUAUCAUCUGGAUGUGGUGGUCUUUUGGGUUAGUACUUGCACUGCUCAUCAACUCCCACCAGGCUAAUAGGCAAUGUACGUUGGAAAGCUGUGGUAACUGAAAGUUUGCCCGGUUUGCCAUCAGCUGCCACACCUCCUUAGCAUAGUUGCACUUGGCGAUCAUGUGCAGUGUCUUCUCUUGUGCUGAUUGACACAGUUGAGAGGUAGGAUUGGCUUGUCCCCCUCUUUUAAUAAUUCUGUCAUUAGUAGGUAGUCGACGUUAGCAGUAGCCACAUGAAAAACUUACACUUGUUUUCAACUUUGGCUUUCCAGAUCCAGUCCCAGCGUGUUUCAGAGAAAGCCCCCUUGAAUUUGGACGACUAUUGUGCUGUUGCAGAGAAUUUCCAGUGGAUAGUAUCAUUGGCUUCCGUCAGCUGGAUGUGUUGCAACAAAUUGGCGAAGAGCCGGUUCAGUGUUCAUACGCCUGAGCCCACGCAUCCACUUUCUAUCCUCUAAGGCAACAGCUACUGUCUGGUUCUUGCGCCAAGCAAACUUGAAACAAUCUGGAGCAAUGUCUUUUGGAGCUUGUCCAUGCAACCAUUUGUCCUUCCAGAAACUUGUUGUUUUCCCAUUGCCGACCGUAAUGUGUGUGCAGGCUCUGCAAAGUGCUAAUUCUGUAGGUGUGAGUUGUAUGUUCAUCCCUGUCCAUGGUUUGGAUUGAUCUGCCCACUUGAACCAUCUCCACCGAAUGCGCAGAGCCCGGUUGAAAGCAAGCAGGUCUAGGAUGCCUAGGCCUCCCAACCGUUUUGGUCUGCAUACUCGACGCCAAUUUACGGCAGCCCUUGCCAGCUCUCGCCUCCUCACUCCCUGCCCAUAGGAAGUUCUUGCGUAUUCUGUCAAUGCGUCGGAUGGCCCAUUUUGACGGGUUAAAAGAUGUCAUGUAAUAUACUGGGAUCGAUGGCAACACUGCAUUGAUCAAGGUUAACCUGCCAGCCCGUGUCAACAACCUACCUUUCCAACCUGGCAGCCGAGCACCGAUCUUGUUCAUCAGCUCUCCUUGUUUUGCCAAUGUGCAGUGGUAGACCAAGGUACUUACAUGGGAAUUGGCCCUGCUCGCCCUGAAAACUGUGGAUCAGUAGUGUCAGGUCUAACUCAGUGCAUCGAAUCGGGAAGAGUUGAGACUUUUGUAAAUUUGUUUUCAAUCCAGUGGCAUCCCCAAAGGCUUGCAGUAGGCGGCGGACAAAUAGUGCCGCAUCAUCCGCAUAUAAACUCGUCCGGAAUUUGAUCGGUUCAGCACCAAUUGUGUUGAGAAUCCCUGCCUGUGUUGCUCUGUCCAGUAUUCGUUGCAAAGGAUCCAUUGCUAGGAUGAACAGCAUCGUUGAGAGGGGGUCACCGCCACGCCGGUGUCGAAUUGGUUUGCCUGGUAUCCCAUUGAGGAGUAUGCGUGAGGUCGUACAGCCCCACAAGAUUGAUAGAAUAUCUCGCCAUCUCUGCCCAAAACCCAACUUUUCCAUCACUUCCAGGAGGUACUCCCAUCGAACACUGUCAAAAGCUUUUGCCACAUCAAGUUUAAGGAACAACAUUGGCGUCUUCGCCUUGUGAUGGUGAUUUUGAUGCGGCGCAAUGCUGUGAACCCCAGUAUGCGCGCCUUGGCAUUCCUACGUGGAUUUAAUUCCGCUUCUGUGAGGCCCCGUUGUUCUUGAGCCUGAUCCAGCAGAUGGACUAUUGCUGUUGCAUGAUCGCAUCGCAGCUACUAGCGCUAGCAAGCAACCAACCACACACUCACAGCAAGUAACAUCAUCCCAGGCCAUGCAACUUGCUGCCCUUUGCCCCUUUUGCGCUCCCAGGAGGCGGGCGGCGAAGCCAAUCAGGGAACUGGAGCAGUAACUGCGGAAAGCUCCAGCGGGAGCUCGAUCGCGAGGUCACCGCCGUGCAGACGAGAAACAAGCCGUUGUCGUCUCGUCCCUGAGGAAAGAACCUGUGGACUGACGGGGCCCAUGACAAUGGACUGCCGCGACGUUUUCCCGUCGACGGGUGGGGAUCGGAACGGAAGCUGAGAGCGAGGCAGCGGGCCUGGACCGGUGGCCGUUUCUCCACGCCCUGCGGCUCCGAGCCUCUCUCAUCUGCAGGCUUGCCUGAUGGAGACAGCGUUUAUGAGGAAGCUCCUGAUUCCUGAAUGAUUAUCGGAGUGACGACUGAAUAUGUGUGACCUAAUAUUUUUAGAUCAAGCACAGUUUCCCCUGUUUGAUUGUCAGUUCUCAGUUGCACAGUCAUGCUCACAAAGAUGUGUUGCUAGGCGCUAAGUUUUGCAUCACAAGUAGCACAAUUACCAUUUUUUUUUAACAACUACUCACAGUAGUUGACGCAAAAAGCUCUUAGGCUUCUGACAAGAUCAUCGGCAAUACGUAUCUCUGAACGACGUUGAGGCACGACGUGCUUUGGCGGGGUUCUUGGAGCCCUUUUCCUCAUUGCGACGCCAAGCUCGACGACAUUCCUAGCCAAGUCACCACCUGAGAUGGUUCCCAUCGGCACAGCUUCCUUCCAUCUGGCCAUCUGGGGAGGAAGGAAGGGAAUCGAGGACACCUUGACAGGGAGGGAGAGGAGGCCAAGAGCAGGGAGGAAACCCGAGAGAUCCAACGUCCGUGUCGCCGUCGCGCCUUUUCCCUUUAACGUACUGUAGUGGUUGCGAUCGCUGUCCGGUUGUUUGUCGUCACCGCCAGCUUCCCGCCGGCCGUUGAACGUCGCCGUCGGCCACCUCUUGCUCCAAAAGGAACGCACGCACUCAGCGCCAGGGGAGGCUUUUCCGCUCGAGACUUCGUGUGUGCGUGCGGCCGCGGGAGGCGGGAGCUGCGGACGGAUCGAGAAUUCUCGCCGGAUCUUGAGUUGUUGGGGGCCAAGUUGUGCUGAGAAACGGGAUCAACUUGCGGCCGUGCCGACCUGAGCGCAGCGACGCGCGAAUCCACCAUGAGGGCUCGCAAUCGCAACCCAACUUCGCAACUCGCAAGAGAGCCCGGCCGGAGCGGGGGACGACGCCCGGAUGUGACCGCGCGGCCUGGGCUUGGACCAUCACCGCGGCAGAAAGGACUCUCAGCAGGUGUAGCGCAGCCCACUACAGCAACGUCGUCGUGUGCCGAUGGGUGGUGUCGCAUUUCAGCCUGAUAAGGUUAGGCGUAUGGGCCUAAAAAACGGACCAUGAACCCAGUCCCUUGAUGGGCCCAGCUGAAAAGAAGGAAAACGGGACAGACAAGGAGGAACAGUCCGAUUAUGUGCACGUCAUAUCGCCCCACCUGAGUCUACCAGGGCACAUAUGACCUAGAAGUAUAUGAAAAAAUUUCAAUAAAAAUAUGAAUUAAUAGAUUAUGAAAUUAUCUAUGUUCAUACAAAAUUUAAGAUCAAACAAACAUUUGUACGAUGAGGAACGAACAAGAAGAAAAAAAAAUAAACAUGUGAAUGAGUGCAGAUGUGGAUCACACACUCCAAUAAAAAAUAACAUAGUAAAAAACAAAAAAAAAGAAAUUAGCAUGUGAGCGGUGGACAGCACCAGAAAACAUAACAACCGCUAUACGAAGUUUGUUCAUCUGGUUUCUGACAGUUAACAAUGCAUCCUCUGACGCCGGUUAUCAUCGUUAAGCUAACUUAGCUGCAGAUGCAAAUGUCGGAGCAUCGGCCACGCGGCCCUGCCAAUAUGGGCCAUAACCCAGCUGCCUCUCACUGCAGACCAUACAAGCCUCCAACACAGGCGGCGUCCGCAGCUCGUACGGGUAAACGGCGCCGAAGAGCUUGUUCCGGAUGUGGUCGCGCUCCAGCUGCAUGGUCUUGACUCUUGAGGUCCAAUGUGAACAGCCACGUCUCCUCGUCCUCGGCCGGCGUCAACACGACAUACCCGUUCCCGGCCGUGACGAUCCUACCGGCGCUGCCGAAGAAGCACUCCUUGCGUCCUGGGAGCCCGCGGGUCGCCUCGGAGUCUCGGACAGGUUCAGAGUCCUCUCAAGUCUCAAGGCCCCACUCGCUGCUGCCGCGCUCCGGCUCCACGUCCGACGAGGCUGACGAGCCGCGCCAUGUCCGAGCCACCGUCGUCGACGAACCGGAAGGUCGAGUGGUCCUUGGAUCCCCGGAGGCGCGCGCGCCGGAAGAAGAUCCUGAAAGAAGACGACGCCGUGGGAGAGAUCUGAGGCGGUCAGGACGGUGCCGUCGCCGUCGCCGUCGAUGACCCACCACCCACCCAGAACACGGACCUCGUGGCGCGGCCCGAGAAGCGCGCGGACUCCGCGCCACGGAGCUGGACGAAGGACAUGUUCAUGGCCCGCGUGUUCCAGCGGCCGUCCGUCCAGACGCAGGACAGAGCGACGCCGACGUCGUCGGCCAUCCACGAGGAACGCUCGUAGAGCACGCAGGUCUCCUUGAACUCCGACAUGCUGAGGACGGCGGAGCACUUGCUGAGGCCUGAGGAAGACGCCGAGGCAGCGGAGGUACUUUAUGCCAUCGACCUCGAGUCCUCGAUGGGGCGGAUCCUGACGUGGCGGCGCGUGGCGAGCUCGCAGACGAUGAGCUCCAAGAAGAAGCCGCCGCGCCUCGGUUGGCGAGGAGGAGGCUGCCGAGACCGUCGACGAGCUCCCAGGACCGACGCCCGCGCCGAGGAACUCGAGGCCGGGAGAAGUGGCGUUACCGGACGGCGGACGCCGCCGACCGGGGACGAAGGCUACGCCGCGACGGGACGCCUGGCCCGGCGAGGGCGAGUAGGACGGGUUGGCGACAUGGUAGCAGCCGAGAACGUGGGGGGGCCGCGUGGCGAGACAGGAACUUGUCGGCGACGUCGUAGCCCGCGGCGAUGCGGCGCCACCGAGCCUGCACGUGGCCGCCGCGCGGACGAGGCCGAGGUGCGAGUCGAUCCGGAGGAGGACGAGCUUGAGGAGGCGGGCGGGGACGUCGCGCAGGGUGGUUGGUGGCCAGUGGCCUCGUCGCCGGCGGCGCCUGCUUCUUGCACUGUCUAGGAGGAGGACUCCGUCUAGAAGCACGAAACGCAACCGAGAUGUACUCUUUUUUGGGAAACUGAACCGAGAUGGACUCGAGGAGCGAAAUCGAUGCUCAUAACCCGGCAGCCGGCAUCAUAUAUGUGGUUUCUGUUUCUCUCUAAUCUCUCGGGGAACGGAAAAUAGAUAGGAGAAGAUGCCUCCUGGCAGGAUCAGAAGGCUGAAGAGGGAGCGCAGGAAGAUGAUGGCCGCUGCGAGGAUGACCAAUGAUUCUAAUGCGACGACCAAUGGCACUACCGCGAUGACUGUCAAGGACGAGCCGAUGGGCGGCCCGGAGGCGCUCCCGCCACAGUUGGGAACGACGGAUGGUUCUACUGGAGGCACUAACGCAUUGGCUGUAUUGAACCAGUCGGUGGGCGACAAGGAGGCGCUAGCUCCCGCCAUGGUGGACGCGACCGAUGGUUCUACUGCGACGAACGGUAGGAAACACAAAGGGAAGAAGAAGAGGAAGAAGAAGACGACGACGUCGACGAGGACCGAUAGCACUACCGCAGCGACUAUCAUGAACCAGCCGGUGGGCAGCAAGGUAGCGCUAGCUCUCUCCACGGUGGGCGCAACCGAUGGUUCUACUACUCUCCAUGGUGAAAUGCAAAAUGAAGAAGGAGAUAUCGUAGAGAUCACAUACCUGCAGGAUAUGAACACCAAGACGACUGUCAAGAACCAGCCAUUGGGCGUCCAGGAGGCACUUCUGCCAAGAUGGACGAUGACCAAUGGGUCUACUGUGACAACUGGCAUGAAACCCAAAAGAAAGAAGAAGAAGAAGACGGCGACCAAGUUGCCACGGUCGUGGCAGGAGCACAAAAUCAAAGGUAGGAUCUCAACCCAAAGCCUUUGUGGCAUAUUUAGCAAUAUAGUGUGAUGCCAAUGCUUUGAGUUGGCCAGUCCUAGCACUUCCCAUAUUUUUUUAAUUAUUUUCUUCCAAACUGUCCUCUACCUCUGUUUGAAAUCAGACCCAUUUCAUUUCCUUAUUAGGCUAGCUCAUGAUUAAUAAUUACUCAACUAAUACUUAAUCUUUAGGACAGAAAUUUGAUGUUAUUAGAUUAUAAUAAAAAAUUACUUAAUUUGGGUUUGUAUCUCCUAGCGUACCUCCACCACUUAUAGUUCUAAAUUCAAUAUGUUAAGUGAUCUCGGCAUGCAAUGCACCAACUAACCUUGACUAGCAGCCCACAUGAAAUGAUUCUCAAAUUUGACUUUUUGAAGGAUUAUGAUACUCAGUUCAGUCCUUUUUUCCCCUGCAGGUGGGAAAAAGUUAAUAAUCGUCAAACUUCGUAAAGACAUAUUUAGCUGCAAACCAGGUGACCCGCUAAUAACUGGCAGACUCAGUGAAGCUGCGGUUCACCAAUACCUUUCCGAGUUGCUUGGACCGAGGAACGUCGAGUGGAUGAACAAAUAUCGAGAAUCCGGAUUGCCUUAUGACAUUGUCAUCACAAGGGGUGGUGUUACAGAGUAUGUGGAGGUGAAGGCAGGCAUGGCUCCAGACGAGCAAGCGUUCCACAUCAUCCAACCUAGUGAAUGGCAGUUUCUGUCGGAGAAAAGAGGUUAUUCGAGCAUUGCCCAUGUCUCGUUCCUUGCUCCGGACGUAGCAGCCAUCGUGAUGCUGAGAAAUCCUCACAAGCUUUGCCAGAAAAAGGACCUGGGUCUUGCUCUUGUUAUGUCCAAGGAAUUCGAAGAGCACUUUGCGAAAAGGACGAACCAGAUUUCAGUUGUAUUGAACACUGGCUUUGAAUUAUAAUUUGGUUUUGUUGUAUUGGAGUUAAUAAUCCGGAUUGAUACUUUGGUAUGCCUUUUAUCUGUCAGCCAUGCCGUUGUGCCUCCCGACUUUAGCCCUUUACAUUUUGGUGUCCUGUGUCCAUAUCCGAGUCUGUGGUCGUCUCUACGAUAUCUUGUAUAUGCUCCAUGGUAACUGAUCGAGCGCGAAGAUUUGACACGGAGUGAAGAUUAGUUCUGGAGAACUUCACAUGUAGACACCAAUUCCUGCUUGCCUAUUCUUGCCAAAGGAAAAUGAAGAGUGCCGAGUUUAAUUUUCUGGCGUUGCAUCGGGUGUCCAUUCGCGCAGAUUAUAUUGUACGCAGCGUGCACGUGUUUGUUCAGGCACACAAUAGUGUAGACAUAGAGAUUUUGUUCUGUGUUCUGUAAAUUAAUUUGGGCUAUGGAAAGCUUUGGUCCCCAAACUCCCAACUUUGGCACUAUGCAAAAAGAAGAUUCCCCAUCACAUCAAACUUGCGGUACAUGCAUGAAGUACUAAAUGUAGACGUAAUCAAAAACUAAUUGCACAGUUUUGUUGUACUUUGCGAGACGAAUCUUUUGAGCCUAAUUAGUCAAUGUAUGGACAAUAAUUAACAAAUACAAACGAAAUGCUACAGUUGCACAUUUAUGGUAAAAUUCCAACUUUGUCACUCCUAAAUUGGGGACUAAACAAGGCCUUUCAUAUUCCUGCACAUCGGUGGCUAAAUACUGAGUGCUGACCUUAUACUGGAUCUUAAGCUUUCAUAUGACGCGUGUUUUGGACUAUGGAAAACAAGCAUGUUGUAAAUUCAAGAAUGUUUGCUUUGGAUAAAUUUUUAUAUGCCUACAAUGAUGUGGAUAUGUUUGCUUUCAUAGUAUGUACCUAGAAAAGCCAAAACGAAUAGUAAUUUAGGAUGGAGGGAAUAUUUAUUAGGAAUGGACGGAGAAGCAAUAAUAGAUUAGGCUUAUAAUUACUUCCUUUCGUUUGGGUACUUUUCUUUUAAUUAUUUGUGAUCAACCGUGAGCUAAGAAUAAUGUAAAAACUUGACUGGGUGCGGUCGUAGAGGCAAAAGAUUAUUCAUUUUUCUAAAAAAACAAUGCAUGGACAUUGUAUAGGAUGCUCUCCCGAACCUAAUGGUCGUUUGGUUUGUGCACAAACAUGGAUCUAAAGAAGGUGUGUAUUCGGAUGUGACCAAAACGUAGUUAAAUUUUCCAAACAUUGUUAACCAUCCAUUUAGUACCAAAUUCUUAAAUCUAGCCAAAUUUUGAAAAGCUCGAGGCAGCCGCACACCCGCCGUCUCCUUCUAGCUAGGAAAUAAUAUUAAGGGAGAUAAAACUGAACAGAUGUUUAGGCAUGCAUGAAGAAUCACAUGGUGCAUGGAGAUCCCAUCGAUCAAGUCACAGUCGCGCUCGGUUACCUUCGACGUGGUUCGAUUCGGAUUACAUUUGAGCCCACGCAGCAGCAAAUCAGAGCUCAUUGAUGGGCCCGGUUGCUCAUCGUAGGUGGAGAGAAAGCAAACUGACAACGACUCGGCUUCGCUUCGUGAGAUAGAAGUCGAUGCCGACAUCGAUCAAUAUAACGCUCGUCGCAAGGUUAUUAGAGGGACACAGAGUAUUCGAUGAUCUCGUCUCAGAAAAGAUAAGCUAAAUAAAGCUUCAUAUAUACAGCAAACGGGGAUCGCAAGGGCGGCGGCACGACACGGGAGAGGAGACGAUGGAGAGCAGGAAGACGAAGACGAACGGCUCCUCCACGACGUCUACGAACCGGGGCAGGUUCGGUAGGUUCGGCGUCUUCUCUUCUCCUCUACGGAGGAAGGUCAUGGAGAAGCGCGAGGCGGCGGUGCAGGAGCGCGGCGGUGGCAAUGUGAUCGUCGCGGUGGCGCCGGUCGAGGAGGCCGACUCACAUCAUCCAAGCCCACCGGAAGACGACGACGAUGGUCGGCCUGAUCUUCUCCAAUCCCCGCAGGCGGCUUCGCCCAGCGGCCGGCUCGAAGGAGAGUCAGAUGUCCAGCCUCGGUCAAGCUCAAGCAUCGACAGACCACCUGGUGAAGCUUCGGACGAUGCUGAUCGGUCUCGUUCAAGACCCGAUAAGCGUGGCAAAGCUUCAGAUUAUAUGCCUCGGCGUGUGAUCACCGGCAGGAUCGGGGAAGGUGCAGUUUACCAAUACCUCGUCGAGCAGCUGGGAAGGGACAAAGUCAGCUGGGUGAACGGACGCCAUGAGUCCGGGCUGCCCUACGACAUCGUCGUCGUCACAAAUAAUGGCGCCACGGAGUACGUGGAGGUGAAGACGACCGUUCAUCCGGAGAAGAAUUGGUUCCAGAUCAGUGUCCACGAGUGGGAAUUUAUGGUGGAGAAAGGGGCCUCGUUGAGCAUCGCCCGUGUGCUCUUGCAGGGUGAAGACAUGGCCAGCAUCGUGAUGCUGAAAAACCCGCUCAGGCUCUGUGAGCAGCAGGGUCUAAAUCUCGCACUGAAACUUUAGAAUACGCUGGUGACAACAUGAACCACUUCACUUCUGUUGAACCUUGCUGUGAAAAAUAUGCUAACAUGAAAAAUGGUUCGGUACAGGGUUUUAAUUAAAGAACAGGAGAACAAGUGAAGAAUACAGAGGCGGAAUCAUUUUCUGGAUGAGAUUCUAGUACAUGUGUUUGGUGUUCGGAGUUCACCAGAGGAUCCAGUUUAUUGAAGUACUACAAGGUACAAGACCUUCCUCGAAGUUUUAGCCUGUUGCAAGACCCUGUGAGUAACGGACAUGAAGAAUUUAGUGGCGAAAUUCAGCUUUGGAUUGAAGAGAGAAUGUUCGGUGCAAGAAGAUGAUGAGUGAGGUUGCAGUCAGGGAAAACUUCUUCGGUGAUAUUUCCAAAUUUUUGUGUUUAUUUACAAAAAUUUCAUAUAGUGGAUCUAUCUAAUGUGUUAAGUUUGUGAUAUAUUGUCAUAUUUCUUUGUUGUUAUAUACAAAAUUAUGAUGUAAGAUGGUUCAGGGACCUAUUCUAACUAUCAUGCAAACAAACUGUUUUUUAUCCGAUAUUUGUCGGUAUGGUUUGAUAAAUUUUGUUUAAUGAAAUUUGGAACCCUGGCUAGCAAUUGCAGAUUGCCAUCAAAACAUGGAUUUGGCAUGGGAUUAGUUUGUCUUAAUAGCUAUUUGUAGAAUGGGGAUAGUUGGGAGGAUGGUGCAAGAAUAAGCAAUGACAUGUGAGAAGUUUCAUAGCAUUGAAAAAGUAUCUUUAAAAAAUGGAGCUGGUACAAAGUAUGUGAAAUCAGGGGAGGAGUCAGAAAAUGAGUUUUUUUUCUUUGUAAGAGGGGAGCAAUUGUGCAAAUUUUCUUCAAAAUUUGAUCAAGUUCAAAAAUUUUAGUUCCCCCUCAGCACCACUGAGUGUAAUCUAUAUCUCCUAUAUAGAAGCACCCCACUACGAAGCAUUGGUUUCUAUUUCUCUCAAACCUCAACGAGCCACAUCAUUCACAUUGUUUUAACCAUCCGAUUGUUUUCUCAGCCCCUCUUCUUUACUCAGCACCUUGGCAGAUCAAGAGACCACCGCAGCUAAUGGCACUAAUGGCAUUAAUCCUCCAUCAAUCAUCCACGUUCCCAUCAUAAAAUUUGAAGCAUCGCACUCUAUUGGGCACCCUGCUGGUGAGGUAUGACAUUCAUCUCCUCCUUUGGAUUCACUCAGGGUAUGCCAUUCAUCUCCUCAUUUGGAUUCACUCAGGUUCUUCAAUCGACUAUUUUGUGCAUUGUUGCUGUUUCAAACUUGCCCAUGGUUUCAUGCACCCAAUCUGUUUGAUCUAUUGCCUCUUAGAAACUCUUGCAUAAACCAUUCUAAAUUUUCUCUGCAAAUCUGUAGGUUCAUAUAAAUUGAUUUCGCCUCUGGAAAUAGCAAGAUUAUUGGCCUCCUUGAGUCAUUCAGGUAACAAACUGUGCUCCAACUUUAUUAGCAUUUCUAAGUGUGCAGUUGUCCUCAUUCUGUUUGUUUUAGCGAUUAAUUGUUGUGUGGACAUCCUUACUUUCGGCAAUCAAUCAGUUUUUUCCCUUAUUUUGUUACUUCCAGUUUUACAUGACCUUGGUGUCCCACGUUUGCAAUUGUAAAUCUGUAGGUUGAUAAAAAUUGAUUACAUCAUAUCUCUUCUACUAACAACCAAAAUACUAUUUUCGAUUAGAAUGGCACAUAAACCCUUAUAUGCACUUUUUAUUUACUCUUCAAUCAGUUCUCCCAAGAAGAUGCAAGAUAGAUAUGUCCAAGCAAUGAAUAAGCUCAAGUUUGAUACAAGCCCAAAAGUUUGUGUUAAUCUCACAGGCAAUUCUCAGAGUGAACACAUAACCACACACCUACCAACUAACAACCACACGAUCAUUGUUCACUACAUACGAAAGGGACAACCAUAGCUGCAAGCUAUUUUCAGUGAAGAGAACUCCAAGAACACAAAUGGAAAGUAGUUCAUUUAUUGCAAAUCUAUGUUAUUUUUUCAAUAAUUUCAAUUUUCAUACCAUACAUAACAGCAUAUGUAUCGUCCUCAGUUAUAUAUUAAAUAAAAUUAAUUUUAUAGAAUAAUUUACCUUCGUGUAAAAAAGGCCAAACCUUAACUCUUUCCUGAUUGCAUCACAUAAUCAUAAAAAAUACACAAAAUAUCCGGCAGCAAUGCGUGGGGAAUUCACCUAGUAGUUCAUUAUGGAGGUGCCAUUUCAUUCAGGUUGUCUCUUGAAUUGACUAUUCAUGCACGUAUGUCUUCCAUUUGGCUACAAUUUUCAGAAGGAUAAAAGGAAGUGACAGCAGCAGUUUAGCAAUAGGGCUGGACGGAGAGGAUUGAAUGAUUACCUCCAUGGCUCCAUCCUUCUAUAUAUUGUGUUACUCUACUACUCCUUGCUUAACUCAAAUGUUGCAGUCGGUUAUACAACACGGCAAGAUGUUGGCACUGUACUUUACUUUUUCUAAAAAAAUAUUUAACUGCAACACACUUUCAGGAAAAAAUAAUUACAUGGGAAGUUUUUUUUUGGAAAAUGUACAAAAUCCAUGCCUCUGCAAAUUACACGGGAGGUGAUAGAGCUUUUUCAAAAGGAACUCUAUUUCAUCCAUUGCGAUUUAUCAUUACUAUGAUGUAAAUCCCUACUCCUUUUCCUUGGUAUAUUUGUUAAGGCUAUACAACAAUCAAGUGCGUUUUGUUUUCGUAUCAGUCGAUUUCUUAACCGAUAAUAUUAUGACACGUAGUAACAGGAAUUGGCUAGGGGAAAAACAGUUGACAACUGAAGCAAAUUCAGUCGAUUCUGACCAGCUCUCCUCAACAUGGCAUUGCUUUUUGAGCAGCCGCCUUGGCAUUGUUCGGUAGACCAUCCCGCCAUGGUUGACUACAGCACAAUUUGAAACUGCGAUGCGGGUGUGACGACUAUAAGAUUACAGAGGCGCGUGGGGUCUAGGUGGAACGCCGUGCCUCUCAGCAUCGGCGGCUGCUUGUUUACAUAGAGCAAGGAACAUCCCCUUAUGUGGAUUACAUCUUGGCGCACAAGAUUAGGAGCUGGCUGUUGGUUUGUUGUGAUUCACAGGACAAGAUACAACAGCUAUCAACUAGGAUAUCUACAAGCUAACAACAUUGACUAACAGUCAGCUAACCAAGAUCUUGUGCGCAUUGUUACAAUUUAGGUGUAUAACAACUCAUGUCUAUCUAAUAACGACGACCGCCCCGACGCAUGCGUCCGUGAUGGCGAGCCGAGAGCAGGGAGGCGGCCAUGCCUCGCCGUGGUCGGAAGGCAGGGAAGGAACCGCUGAGUUCAUAACAGCUCCGUUGGGCUGGACAAGCUGGUCUACAUGUCGUCAGCAAGAACGGCCAAGGCGGCCCAUGGGCAUGGUCACCAUGCGGCAGAGAGACGACUAGGGAUGAAAACGGACAGAAUCAGGCGGCAGAACUCCUCUCCCAUUUCUGUUACCUUAUUUUUUCACCGAGAACGGAAGCAGGAGCGGGACGGGAGUCGAGAUGUAUGGGUAUACGAAAAUGGACAAAUAUGGAUGAUAGUACAACGAAAAUGGUCGAGAACCCAGAACUUAAUCCGGUCACACAAUAUAAAGUCUGACUCACAAUAAUGACACCUACACAUCAACUGAGAUUCUAAGAGACCAUCAGUGAACGUAAGGAACAAGGCAUCCUCUUUCUCUUUUUUUUAAAAGAAAUUACAUCUUGUUUCACGUUGCAGCUAGCUGCUGUAUGUCUGCACCUGCAGGCAGAAAGCUAGCAAAGUAUAGCAAAACAAAGUGAGCAGUGCCAGAGUGGCAGAAAGGAGCAAGCGACCCUGCUCCAGACGGUCAAGGCUUUGACGCACGACGCUGUCUCUUGGGCCGGGACCUUGGUAUAUUUGGGCCCAUCCCGGAUAAAUCCAAAACGGGACAAAAACGGGAUCAUCCGGUUGAAAAUGGAAUACCGUAAAUACGGACGGGAUACACCAUCAACCGCAUUCCGUACCAUUCCGUGUACUCCCGUCCCGGACUUUACCAUCCCGUUUUCGUAUAGCUCAAAAUACGAGAUAAAUACGGGAAAACAGGAUUUUUCUGUCCACUUUCAUAGCCAGAGACGACGGAAUACAGCGCCUAAAGGAGGACAGAAGCCCACGAAAGGAGGACAGAAACAAUACAAAUACAGCCCACGAAAGAAGGCCGCUGAUUAGCGACCCUGGAAGAGCCCAGCCCAGCGUACGUAGGUAACGGAAAGGCAAACGAACGGACUCGAGGAAGUCAGCCCGUACCGGCGUGCCGACUCAUCAUAUACCGCACGAGUGUUGCGCAGACACUGAAGGGACGCUCGGAGCGUUUGGACUGGAGAGAUGGCCCCUGCCAAGACCGGAAGGCGGAACAACCGCCAGGAGAAGAAGAUGACCACGACCACGAGGGCGAGUAGGGCGGUCGGUAACCGGCGUCCGAUCGGAUCCGCGUUCUCCAAGUUCGGGAGGGUUGCCGCUCUGCACGCGCGGCGAAAGAUCGUCAAAGAACGGGGCAGCAAGCGCGGCCGAUCUGGUGGCUUGGCCACCGGAAGAAGUAAGUACAUAUAUGUAUCCCGAUUCGAUUCAUCACUCGAUAUAUGCUAGCGGUGUUCCUUCCCGUAAGUAAAAAGUUACAUGAGAAGAAACUUGGUCUCUUUGUAAUUCGUUCCAUGUGCUAGUAGUGGGGGGCUAUAUAUAGUGGUGAUUAUUAGGAGGCAUUUGAGAAGUAACGAGUUACGAGUAUAUCGGAAAUCUUAGUUUUCUCUGUGUGUUUUGUAGUUGUUUUGCGAUUGACAGUAGAACUAAAUAGGUUGAACAAUCUAUCCAGUUGGUUUCAACACUCCAUAGACAGUAGCCUAGUAGGCAAAAGAAGUCAUCCCCAUUUGUGGCUGUCCACGAUCCGGCCAUUUUGUUAUUAUGGGAAGAAGAUAUGCAGUCGAUUGAAUUUUUUAUUAAAUAUUUAAAUAUCAAAUGGACUCUUCAGCCCGUGAACUUAGCGGAUACUAUGAUAGCACCAAUUUUACCAAUUCGUCUAAGAAGGGAACCCCUUGUUCCCUUUCUUGCUUAUUAUAGCAUGCUUCAAUGUCUCUAUGUAAUUCCACUUCUGUUCUCAUUAGGUCAGACUGUAACCUCACUUGCAAAUGAAAAGAAAUGGAUGAGACUGUAAUUUAGAUAUUCUGACAUUUUAUCAUGUAAGUACACACACUACGUAAUUUAUGCAGAGUUUACAGUUCUGUGUAAUGCAUUAAUUAACGUUUGCUGGUUCUCAAAUUAAACCAUGGACCCAAUGAAUUCAAACAUUCAUACGUGGCUGGAUCUAAAGAAGGAAUUAAUGGAAAUUGGAAGAUGGUAUAUUGGUUGAAGAAAGAAUGGUAGUAUAUAUGUACUGCCCAUUUCAAAUUAUAAGUCGUUUUAGCUUUUCUAGAUAGAUAUAUAUUAUGUUUAGAUACAUAACAAAAUCUAUAUAUGUAAAAAAGCUAAAAUGACAUACAAUUGGAACGGAUGGAGUAAUUGGUAAUAACAAAUCUGAUUAUUUGGAGUUUCGGCUGGUGUAAGCUUGCAACUGAGCUAAUUAGUAAUUCAGAAAUUGACUGCUGUUACAGAUGAGAGGGUCCGGCUCGAUGCCAGGGUCCUAGAUGCAAACAUGUUAAGUUCCCGUAGACACGGUGAAGGUGUGGCUCACAAACAAGACGGAUUAGUCACUGGCAGGCUUGGCGAGUCUGCAGUCCAUAAAUAUUUCGUUGAGAAGCUUGGAUGUAGUAGCAUAAAGUGGAUGAACGAAGACAAUGAAUCCGGGCUACUUUACGAUAUCAGCAUCACAAAAGCUGAUGCAACAGAAUACGUGGAAGUGAAAGCAACAUCUAUUCCAAACAAGAACCGGUUCCACAUUACACGCAGGGAACUACAGUUUGCAGCAGAGAAAGGAGAUUCGUUAACCAUUGCCUAUGUUUUGCUGUCGAAGCCAGAUAAAGCAAGCAUUGUGUUUCUGAAAAACCCGCACAAGCUUGUACGACAGAGGGAUUUGAAACCAGCAAGCAUUGUGUUUUUCAAAAGCUGACACGAGCUUCUACGACAAAGGGAUUUGAAGCCUGCCCUUGUAAUGUCGACGAGAUGCGAAAAGCUUGUCAGCAAAUUCAUGGAACAAAUCUCAGUUGUACUGAAGCGGUGAAGCCUGGCUGUAAAUGAUAACCAGUUCAAGUGAGAUGAAUCUUCAUCUUGGUAUGCCUUACUUGCCCCUAUACCAUGCAACUGUUAUUUGCAUCCUCCAUCCUAGUUCUUUUAAAAUUUCCUCUUGCCGCAUGAAACCUGGAACCUCGAGUUGUAAGGUUAACCAUGCUGUUGUUGCUUAACAGUAUAGUGUAUAAAUAAGCGAGUACAGCUUUCGUAUGGAUGUUAUUAGUUUGCUGCAAUGGCUGGCAGCCUGCGGCUCUGUAUAAGUGACAGUGGCCUUCUUGCCGCCGUAAGAAUGUAAGUGCAAGGCGCCGGUCGAUGCAAUGCAGUUGGCUUAUAUAUCUAAGAUCCGAUUAUCCGAGCACGGCUUAAAUAUACUCUGGCUUUGUUGCACAAAGUUUGCGAUUAGCCAUGUGCUUCCAUAGUGAUUCAUCAGGUUCAAUGUCCACACAUGCAUGUUUCCCCAAUGUGAACCAUUUUGGACACUUGAGGGUAUGAUGUCUUCCAGAAAGCAUCAACAAUGAUGCAAUCCAUCAUGUGCAAACAAAAUUAAAGCAAGAUCACAUUAGGCGAACAUUAUUAAGUAGUAAUAAUGUCGCUAAUUCAUGAUCCUCUGUUCACAAACAUAUACAUAACCAUAGUUUACAAAGCCCGGCAAUGUGUGCUGUAUUUUGAUAUUCUAUUGUCAUGGCUACAUAUUAGGAAUAAAUUGGUGCAUUGCGUUGUCAAAAUACAACAGCAUUCCCACUAAGCCAUAAGGCCAACUGGCCAAGCAUAGAGCAGGCUCCAAUCAAUAUGAGCACCACUAGCUAGUGGAUCUAAACUAAGGGAAAUCUGUAAAGCCUCCUAAAAACCUUAGGGUGUGAUCGGACAACUUUUGUUCGUCGCUGGUUUGAUCUGUCAGUUGAUCAGUAUUACUGCGACAUGGUGGAAUGUGUCUAUGGGUGAAAGCUUGCCUUGGUUUAUGUUGGUGCCCACAGGGAUGGCGAUUUUGUUGAUAUCAUUGUAAGGACUGCAGAGGUGUGAAUCUUUCUCCACGCUUUGCAGGUCGGAUCCCAUAUUUUCCAGUGGCUGGAGACGUCGCAGUUAGAGGAAGAAGGUGAGCGGCGUUUCCUUUUAACAAAGGUGAUCGGUAUUGUGGAAGGAAAAGACGGCAGAGCGCUCAAGGUUGAGGACAGCGGGGCCGUGUGAUAAUGGGCUGCUCUGCACCCAGUACUGGGCUGCCCAGUUUGAGGGAAUUCUUCCCGCACUCCACUCAUACUCCAUGAAGACAUCCACCACCUCGGAAGUGCUCUGAGGAAUAAUUAGCCACCAUUAAUAGAAUCACCUCACUACCGUUGUAUUACUCCACCACCUCUGUACUACUACUAGAAUAAAGGGAGGCCGUCAAAUCUCGUCCCUCGGUUUGUAAGGUAAUCAAGGUUUGUGCUAAGUGCUUGGGGUUUCCCAAAAGGGAAAGCCGCGUGUAAGCUUGUCCCGUGGAAAUAGAUUAAGCUGUCCUGGUAGCAUCCCUGCCUUCCUUUAAGCUCGUUCGUAUGGGGCGAUGUCUCUACAUUAGGGAGAACUGCCUAGGGCGGUAGAGCCUGAGUCCUGUGUGAGCGUAGCUGGGGACGGUGAGGGUGAAGACCGGGCUGGCUGGUUCUGAAGCGAGCCAACGACACAUGCGGUGAGUACCGAGUAGGACUGUCACAAGCAUAGCAGCACGUCCGGCUGAAUUUUUCGGUCUCGUCAACCCGCAAAGAUCCUGAGAAUCGAUAUAAUCAAGAUAUAUACCUAAUCACGCACCCGCGCGUACCAUAUCUGCUGAAAGCGACCCCGAAUAGUAGCUCAAUAGUGCUCAAUAGUGAGCAAAUAGUGCCACCACAUUUCCAUCCAUCCUGAGGUGCUCCACCCACUCCCUGGUGAGUGCUCGGGCCCUAUUCAUAUUCCUAUUUUGAAUAGUGAGCUGAAUUUCAAUAGUGCCGCGAAUUUGAAUAGUAUUCGUUGAAUUUGAAUAGUGCAGUGAAUAGUAACUUGAAAUUUGAAAUCCGAUUUUUUUCGAAGUCGCUUGAAUUUCCCUCGUUUCGUCUUUUGUUCCCGCACUGGUAUUAGAGCCGUGGUUAUUAAAAUUUGUGAAUUUGAAGGUUUUUCUAUAUCUAGUCAAAAUUGAAAACUUCAUUAUUUAAAUCUAGAAGUUAACACCGGAAAGACAGUUAAUACUAAAGAAAAUAUAAAUAUUAGGUGCAGAAUAAAUAGUUCUGAAGAUCAUACUUGGCAUACCUCACACGGUCAGAUAAACUUAAUAGUUGAUUUAAUCCAAAUCUCUGACAUGUCUUGGGGAAACGCCGUGCCGCCUUAGAAUCAAGAUGUGGGCUGCUUCAAAACGCACAUAAGCGCUGAGUUGGGCUUGGUCUAGCAUUGAAUAAUAGAAUAGAUCAAUUUGGCACGCAGCUGGAGAAAGUAGAAGUUUAGUAGGAAGAAUCAUCCAAACUAGUGAUUAUAUUAAAAAGGAUAUAACCCACCUAUAUAAGAAAUUUGAUAAUAUCUAAUACUGAGAAUAGUAAAGAAAUUGUUCUAUCAUCAACAGGAAUAGUUGAGUUUAAUAGAUCAUUAAAUUCUGAAAAAUGGAAAUAUCUAAAAGUGUCUCUUGAAGAGACAAGUCACUCCAACUAAUAAAUAGAGACAUAAAGCCCUUAAGCUUUAUCGAUAGAUUGAAAGGAGGAUGUGAUGAUAUUGAAAACUUAGACGAAAUGAUAGAUGCAGAAAGGGAUCUUGAAAGAUAUCAGAGAGAUACCUUAAGAAAAAUAAGAGCCCAGCAAAUAUAUCAAAUGGGGUGGUUUGAAAAUAAAAAUGGACUAUCUAGAAUAUCUAGAGAAGUAGUAACUCGAAAUUUGGUAGACCGGAGGUGGGUUAUUAUCUAGAGAAGUAGUAACUCAAAAUUUAGUAACUCGAAAAUUUCGAGUUACUACUUCUCUAGAUAUUCUAUAUAGUCCAUUUUUAUUUUCAAACCAUCCCAUUUGAUAUAUUUGCUGAGGUCUUAUCUUUCUUAAAGUAUCUCUCUGAUAUCUUUCAAGAUCUGUUUCUACAUCUAUCAUUUCUUCUAAGUUUGCAAUAUCAUCACAUCCUCCUUUCAAUCUAUCGAUAAAGCUUAAGGGCUUUAUGUCUUUAUUUAUUAGUUGGAGUGACUUGUCUCUUCUAGAGACUUUCAGAUAUUUCCAUUUUUCAGAAUUUAAUGAUCUAUUAAACUCAACUAUUCCUGUUGAUGAUAGAACAAUUUCUUUAUUAUACUCAAUAUUAGUAUUAUCAAAUUUCUUAUAUAGGUGGGUUAUAUCCUUUUUAAUAUAAUCACUAUUUUGGAUGAUUCUUCUGAGUGAAUUCUUACUUUCUUCAGCUGCUUGCAAGAUUAAUUCUAUUUUAUUAUUCAAGGUUAAAAUAUGCUCUUCUAAGUGCUUAUGUUUUUUUAGUAGUUUUUUAAAUUUUAAUUCUAAGUCGUCUUGCCUUUUACCCCAAGAUAUAUAAAAGUUAUGUAUUAAAUCAACUAUUAAGUUUAUCUGACCGUGUGAGGUAUGCCAAGUAUGAUCUUCAGAACUAUUUAUUCUGCACCUAAUAUUUAUAUUUUCUUUAGUAUUAACUGUCUUUCUGGUAUAAGCUUCUAGAUUUAAAUAGUGAAGUUUUCAAUUUUGACUAGAUAUAGAAAAACCCUCAAAUUCACAUAUUUUAAUAACCACGGCUCUGAUAUCAGUGCGGGAACAAAAGACGAAACGAUGGAAAUUCAAGCAACUUCGAAAAAUUCGGAUUUCAAAUUUCGAGUUACUAUUCACUGCACUAUUCAAAUUCAGGGCACUAUUCAAAUUCAACUCACUAUUCAAAAUGGGAAUAUGAAUAGUGCCCGAGCACUCACCAGGGAGUGGGUGGAGCACCUAAGGAUGGAUGAAAAUGUGGCGGCACUAUUUGCUCACUAUUGAGCACUAUUGAGCUACUAUACGGGGUCGCUUUCAGCAGAUAUGGUACACCCGGGUGCGUGAUUAGGUAUAUAUCUUGAUUAUAUUGAUUCUCAGGAUCUUUGCGGGUUGGCGAGAUCAAAAAUUUCAGCCGGACGUGCUGUUAUGCUUGUGUCAAUCCUACUCGGUACUCACCGCAUGCGUCGCUGGCUCGCUUUAGAACCAGGCCAGCCCGGUCUUCACCCUCACCGUGCCCAGCCACGCUCACACAGGACUCAGGCUCUACCGUCUCCCCAGGUAGUUCCACCCGAAGGGAACACUUCUCUGCGCACACAGGGUUCUCCUGAAACGCCGCUACCAGGACUAACACGAGAACGACACACGCAGAGGUUUCUCCUCUAGGGUCCCUAGCGUAGAAACAUCGCCCCAUACGAACGAGCUUAAAGGAUGGCAGGGAUGCUACCAGGACAGCUUAAUCCAUUUCCACGGGACAAGCUUACACGUGACUUUCCCUUUCGGGAAACCCCAAGCACUUAGCACAAACCUUGAUUACCUUACAAACCGAGGGACGAGCUCCGACGGCCUCCCUUUAUUCUAGUAGUAGUACAGAGGUGGUGGAGUAAUAUAGUGGUAGUGGGGUGAUUCUACUAAUGGUGGCUAAUUAUUCCUCAGUGCACUUCCGAGGUGGUGGAUGCCUUCAUGGAGUAUGAGUGGAGUGUGGGUGGAGGUCUUCGGUGAUCUUGCUUCUUCAGUGGUGUGGUUGUGGAUGUCUGCUUCGAUGAUUCCUUCGGUGAUUUCGAAUGGUUCACCUGGCAGCCCCUUUUAUAGUCGCGGCAGAGGCUUCUGGAGUUGCUUCGUGCUUAAGACUUCUGGUGCCUUCAAUUAUUCUCCUCUUCUGUUGCCUGGACACCUGGACGGCACUCCAUUCAAUAAUUGUCCUGGCUACAGUAGAAGUCACUGUUUAUUCCUUUUGCCUUGUCCUCUAUCGCGCACUGUCUUCUCGUGACAUUCUGGAUGCUGCUUGGUAUGGUUUUCCACGCCCAAAUGAUUGAUGUCGUAUACUUUAAUCACAACAUUAUGGCAUGCAGUAUGCAGUAUGAUACCAGUGCAAGGAACAAAGACGGAGCGAGGGAAAUUCAAGCGACUUCAAAAAUUUCAGAUUUCAAAUUUUGAGUUACUAUUCACUGCACUAUUCAAAUUCAACGAACACUAUUCAAAUUCACGGCACUAUUGAAAUUCAGCUCACUAUUCAAAAUGGGAAUAUGAAUAGUGCCCGAGCACUCACCAAGGAGUGGGUGGAGCACCUCAGGAUGGAUGAAAAUGUGGCGGCACUAUUAGCUCACUAUUGAUCACUAUUGAGCUACUAUUCAGGGUCGCUUUCAGCAACUUUUCGGCGGAUGCGGUACGCACAGGUGAGAGAUAGAGGAUAAGGCAAAAGGAAUAAAUAGGGACUCUACUGUAGCCAGGACAAUUAUUGAAGAGCGGAGCGCCGUCCAGCUGUUCAGGCAAUAGAAGAGGAGGAGACUCCCGAAACCUCUGCUGCGGCUAUAAAAGGAGCUGCCAAGUGAAGCAUUCAGUAUCACCGAAGGAAUCACCGAAGCAGACAUCGCAGAACCACACCACCGAAGAAGGAAGAUCACCGAAGACCUCCACCCACACUCCACUCAUACUCCAUGAAGAUAUCCACCACCUCGGAAGUGCUCUGAGGAAAUAGUAGCCACCAUUAGUAGAAUCACCCCACUACCAUUGUAUUACUCCACCACCUCUGUACUACUACUAGAAUAAAGGGAGGCCGUCGAAGCUCGUCCCUCGGUUUGUAAGGUAAUUAAGGUUUGUGCUAAGUGCUUGGGGUUUCCCGAAAGGGAAAGCCGCGUGUAAACUUAUCCCAUGGAAAUGGAUUAAGCUAUCCUAGUAGCAUCCCUGCCUUCCUUUAAGCUCGUUCGUAUGGGGCGAUGUCUCUACGCUAGGGACCCUAGAGGAGAAAUCUCUGCGUGUGUCGUUCUCGUGUUAGCCCUGGUAGCGGCGUUUGAGGAGAACCCUGUGUGCGCAGAGAGUGCAGGAACAAAAGAUGAAACGAGGGAAAUUCAAGCGACUUUGAAAAUAUCGGAUUUCAAAUUUCGAGUUACUAUUCACUGCACUAUUCAAAUUCAACAAACACUAUUCAAAUUCGCGGUACUAUUGAAAUUCAGCUCACUAUUCAAAAUAGGAAUAUGAAUAGUGCCCGAGCACUCACCAAGGAGUGGGUGAAGCACCUCAGGAUGGAUGGAAAUGUGGCGGCACUAUUUGCUCACUAUUGAGUACUAUUGAGCUACUAUUCGGGGUCGCUUUCAGCAGAUAUGGUACGCGCGGGUGCGUGAUUAGGUAUAUAUCUUGAUUAUAUCGAUUCUCAGGAUCUUUGCGGGUUGGCGAGACCGAAAAAUUCAGCUGGACGUGUUGCUAUGCUUGUGACAGUCCUACUCAGUACUCACCGCAUGCGUCGCUAGCUCGCUUCAAAACCAGGCCACCCGAUCUUAGACCUCAACGGUUCCCAGANNNNNNNNNNNNNNNNNNNNNNNNNNNNNNNNNNNNNNNNNNNNNNNNNNNNNNNNNNNNNNNNNNNNNNNNNNNNNNNNNNNNNNNNNNNNNNNNNNNNNNNNNNNNNNNNNNNNNNNNNNNNNNNNNNNNNNNNNNNNNNNNNNNNNNNNNNNNNNNNNNNNNNNNNNNNNNNNNNNNNNNNNNNNNNNNNNNNNNNNNNNNNNNNNNNNNNNNNNNNNNNNNNNNNNNNNNNNNNNNNNNNNNNNNNNNNNNNNNNNNNNNNNNNNNNNNNNNNNNNNNNNNNNNNNNNNNNNNNNNNNNNNNNNNNNNNNNNNNNNNNNNNNNNNNNNNNNNNNNNNNNNNNNNNNNNNNNNNNNNNNNNNNNNNNNNNNNNNNNNNNNNNNNNNNNNNNNNNNNNNNNNNNNNNNNNNNNNNNNNNNNNNNNNNNNNNNNNNNNNNNNNNNNNNNNNNNNNNNNNNNNNNNNNNNNNNNNNNNNNNNNNNNNNNNNNNNNNNNNNNNNNNNNNNNNNNNNNNNNNNNNNNNNNNNNNNNNNNNNNNNNNNNNNNNNNNNNNNNNNNNNNNNNNNNNNNNNNNNNNNNNNNNNNNNNNNNNNNNNNNNNNNNNNNNNNNNNNNNNNNNNNNNNNNNNNNNNNNNNNNNNNNNNNNNNNNNNNNNNNNNNNNNNNNNNNNNNNNNNNNNNNNNNNNNNNNNNNNNNNNNNNNNNNNNNNNNNNNNNNNNNNNNNNNNNNNNNNNNNNNNNNNNNNNNNNNNNNNNNNNNNNNNNNNNNNNNNNNNNNNNNNNNNNNNNNNNNNNNNNNNNNNNNNNNNNNNNNNNNNNNNNNNNNNNNNNNNNNNNNNNNNNNNNNNNNNNNNNNNNNNNNNNNNNNNNNNNNNNNNNNNNNNNNNNNNNNNNNNNNNNNNNNNNNNNNNNNNNNNNNNNNNNNNNNNNNNNNNNNNNNNNNNNNNNNNNNNNNNNNNNNNNNNNNNNNNNNNNNNNNNNNNNNNNNNNNNNNNNNNNNNNNNNNNNNNNNNNNNNNNNNNNNNNNNNNNNNNNNNNNNNNNNNNNNNNNNNNNNNNNNNNNNNNNNNNNNNNNNNNNNNNNNNNNNNNNNNNNNNNNNNNNNNNNNNNNNNNNNNNNNNNNNNNNNNNNNNNNNNNNNNNNNNNNNNNNNNNNNNNNNNNNNNNNNNNNNNNNNNNNNNNNNNNNNNNNNNNNNNNNNNNNNNNNNNNNNNNNNNNNNNNNNNNNNNNNNNNNNNNNNNNNNNNNNNNNNNNNNNNNNNNNNNNNNNNNNNNNNNNNNNNNNNNNNNNNNNNNNNNNNNNNNNNNNNNNNNNNNNNNNNNNNNNNNNNNNNNNNNNNNNNNNNNNNNNNNNNNNNNNNNNNNNNNNNNNNNNNNNNNNNNNNNNNNNNNNNNNNNNNNNNNNNNNNNNNNNNNNNNNNNNNNNNNNNNNNNNNNNNNNNNNNNNNNNNNNNNNNNNNNNNNNNNNNNNNNNNNNNNNNNNNNNNNNNNNNNNNNNNNNNNNNNNNNNNNNNNNNNNNNNNNNNNNNNNNNNNNNNNNNNNNNNNNNNNNNNNNNNNNNNNNNNNNNNNNNNNNNNNNNNNNNNNNNNNNNNNNNNNNNNNNNNNNNNNNNNNNNNNNNNNNNNNNNNNNNNNNNNNNNNNNNNNNNNNNNNNNNNNNNNNNNNNNNNNNNNNNNNNNNNNNNNNNNNNNNNNNNNNNNNNNNNNNNNNNNNNNNNNNNNNNNNNNNNNNNNNNNNNNNNNNNNNNNNNNNNNNNNNNNNNNNNNNNNNNNNNNNNNNNNNNNNNNNNNNNNNNNNNNNNNNNNNNNNNNNNNNNNNNNNNNNNNNNNNNNNNNNNNNNNNNNNNNNNNNNNNNNNNNNNNNNNNNNNNNNNNNNNNNNNNNNNNNNNNNNNNNNNNNNNNNNNNNNNNNNNNNNNNNNNNNNNNNNNNNNNNNNNNNNNNNNNNNNNNNNNNNNNNNNNNNNNNNNNNNNCAGGACAAUUAUUUAACGGAGUGCCGUCCAGGUGAUCCAUGUUGUACCUAGUUCUAGGAAGUAUUAUUUUCACCCCUUCUUUUGCAAUCUGUUCUACGGGAGGACUUUUUGGAUUGUUUAUUUUUAUUUUAGUGUUUUGUAAAAAUAUGUAUCUUAAUAAAAAAGUUGCAAAUCUAUAGCCAACUGAAACAGUGGAAUCCUUACUGCCAGUUGAACCAACGGAAUUUCCCUUCUCUGAGCAGUAUAUGAACUCAUAUGGAAAUAAACUUGUAUGAAAAUUGUAGAUCUCAAUGACAUCUACAACUUUAUAGCUUAAACCUUUUUAUUUGGAACCAUCCUGGUGAAAGCUCAAAUAAUCGACAUAAUGUUCAGAUCUAGAAUUCAAAUUUUAGAUAUGAACAUUGGGCAGCAUAUUUAAAAAAAUUAUAACCUUUUCAGAUGAACUCUUGGACAUAACAUUUAUAUGAAUAUUGUAGAUCUUGAUGAGAUCUACAACUUUCAUAUUAAUGUUAUGUCCUGGAGCCCUAUUGGUGCGGAGAUAAUUGAUUUAAAGAUGCUGUCUAAUGUUCAACAACUUUGUACUUCAUCACUUUCUGAUCAUGGAGGCGCUUGGUAGCUGCUAUCAUCUAGAUGGUGUAUAAUAACAAGGUUCAAGCUAUAUAUAUGAACAUGUCAUUGAGAUCUACAAUUUGNNNNNNNNNNNNNNNNNNNNNNNNNNNNNNNNNNNNNNNNNNNNNNNNNNNNNNNNNNNNNNNNNNNNNNNNNNNNNNNNNNNNNNNNNNNNNNNNNNNNUUGACGCAUGUUCAUAUCUAAAAUUCUACAACUUUGUAGUUCAAAACUUUGUUAUUUGAAACCAUCUUGGUGCUCAAAUUAUCGACGCAAUGUUCAGAUCUAAAAUUCAAAUUUUAGAUAUGAACAUUACGUUGAUUAUUUGAGCACAAUAUGGUUUCAAAUUAAAAAGUUUGAAUUAAAAAGUUGUAGAUCUCGUCAAGAUCUACAACUUUCAUAUAAAGUUUAUCUCCAUGUGAGUUCAUAUGAAAAAGUACGAUAUUUUUAAGAUGUGCUGAACUGAGAAGAGAAAUUCUGCCGGUUCAACUAGCAGUAAGGUGGGUCAAGUUAAAUUCCACCAUUUCAGUUGGCUAUAGUUGCUUAUAUGCGUAUAGAUUUGUAAUUUUUUUAUUAGGAUAUAUAUUUUGUAAAACACUAUAAAUAAAAAAAAUUCGAGCCAUUUUUUUUAGAAUAGCGGAUAGCCAACUUUUGGAACAGUGAUAACUGAGGUUGUGUGAGCCAGGGAGCUUGUUUUGUUAUUAAUAGUAAAGUUAAGACAAGUAUAGUGUUUCAGGUACUGCAUCUUUUCUGCGACACUAUGUCCGUUUUAGCAAUUUCAAACAUAUCAUACUAAUUAGUCAUUGCUUGAUGCUAGUUAUUUUCUGUUUUCUGCGAUGGAAGGGGAUGCAAACUGGUCAAUUCUACAAUGAAUAUCUGAUCAGUCUCGUUUACGUGUUUGUUAGGAUUCUGAAAGCUCACAUGCCCCAAAAGAAGAUUAAGAAUGGUCUAAUAGUUGCAAGGGAAAACAUAAUGAUGCUUGACUGAGUAAGAGACGAUAAUGAAGCAUAUGGCGCGCAACAAAAUUUUCCCACAAAGUUCUUCAGAAAACAAACCAUGCAAUUGAGAUCAAUAGCGUCGGAAGUUAAGCUGGAAAGAAACUUUGUAAAAAAAAGGAUAAAAAAGUGUCCGACCUGCCGGAUUCGAACCAGCGACCUAAGGAUUUAUCUGCGAACGACUACAGUCCUCCGCUCUACCAACUGAGCUAAGGUCGGCUUGUGAAACUUUCAAUGACUUUAUAUUAAUAACCUAGUGAACCUCUUAGCAACAGUUGAAGGUUUAUUUCCAUGGGAAAGCGACAAGAUUUCCAACCAGGACUUCCCAGUUUCUUUUAGGCCUUAAUUUCAAAGUGCUUUUCUGUUUCACGAUCGAGACCACAGUCGAUACCACCCAGCCUACUGAAGUUUCUAGUUUUAGCAGCUGCUAGCUAGCCGAGAUUGAGCCAGUAGCCUGAAGUAGCAACAAUCACGGUAGACUUUGCUCGUAAUUUAGUCGUUAUUUUUCAUCUGCGUGCUCCCUAUUUUAGGGGUGAUCGGUAGUGCUGGCUGCAGCAACCCGCUACAGCAGCUACAGCCACGCACGUUUGUUUAUCUACACCACAUCCAAUCCGUUCAUGCUGCACGUUGUGCUUUUGUUGAUGACUCUGGUCCAAGGGAUUAAGGGCAUACAACCCUAGCUAAGUUGGUGUCAUUAAUAAGGCGAUUGACCGAUUGUUGGCAAGUAUUGAUUUUGUCAUCAACACGCAAGAGAGAAACAGUUUGAAUGUUGUACACCUACGGUCGUAGGAAGAGGAACGACCACUCGAUAAUGCACCAGACAAGUGAAAAAGUCUAAACUUGGUAUGAGUCUCACACAGUACAUGUCGUGCACUUUGUCUUUCAUACUGGACCCAUCCAGUUCAUGAGGUCCACUCAUGUUGAGAGGCUGCUAUAGGUUUAUCAUUUUUUAGAUUAAGGGCCUAGGAAGGCCAGUUUUAUGUGUAAAAUCGGUGGAAAUUACAAGCUCUGAAUCUAAUGCGAUGUUGCCUGGUUGCGAAGUGAUGGACUCGUUCUUGUAUUGAAGGAUGAUGAGCGGAGCCUUUUUGCCUGGACAUGUAUUGCGCAUUUGCGCUAGAAGGCAACGGUGAUGAUGAACGGCACGAGGAGGACGACGGGAUGUCGGAGUGGCACCAAUGUCCGCGGCGGAACCAAGCUGCAUCAGCAGAGUUUUUUUUUUUGGCAUUUACCCAAACAGCGUUUUACAGGGGUAAGAAAAUUCAGUAGUAUUCUUGUGCACUAACAAAUACAACCGGAAGUUGUUUAUAUAUGUAAAAAAUCACAAAACGUCCAAACAGGGCCUAAGGAUAAAAAAAAUCCGGCCUCGACCGUUGACAUGUCCAUAGAGAAAGGGAUACAGAGACGUAGUACUUAAACUACCAGCAAAUAGUUUGAGUACUUUAGGUAGGUUUGUUUAGGAUGAUAUUUUACAGAGCAAGGGCCUCCUAUCUUCAUCAGAAAGUUUGCUAGAAAUUAAACGAAGCCCACAAACGGCCCACUAAUUCUGCCCAGACGGAGCUCGCGCGCUGGGCCUUUCUCCGCGCGCGACUAUUAAGAUAGCAAUCUAUCGCGCGUGCGAGGUAGCAGUCCUAAUUCGAUCGAUUAAAUCUUCAGCCUGCUAGAUUCGGCUUGGCCCAUCUUAUAUUUUCUCUUUUUCUCAUGUCAGCUCGGUACGUCUUGCAUUCAGUUUACCUCAGCCCGUCAGUAACAAGUUCGGCCCAUUUAAUUCUGCAGUAACCUAGAUUCAGAUGGUCUGUUUUUCUCCUUUUAGUCAGCUUAGCUCGGCCCAUCUUUUUUCCCUCUUUUUCUGCUGCUCGGCAGAAAUAAUGUUGGGAGUGGGAUUUGAACGACCUACCAGAAUGGAGGGAAGUGUACUACCAUUACACUACAAGUGGCUUGUGGUUGAAAUGAAUCACGGACUUAUUUAGACAGUAUAUUUAUAACUAUGGUUGCAGCCUAUACCUUAUUUCCAUUUCACCUUUCAUUUGUGCUACUAGAUUUUAUUUAAUGUUUUCUUUUCUUUUAAAUUUUACUUUAUUUUUUAUAUUUGUUUCUUACUUAUUUUUUUCUAUUUUAUGUAUUUUAUUGUUUUUAUUAUAUAUAUUUCCUUCAAUAUUUUUUAGUCCUUUGCAAAAUAAUUAUACAUAUUUUGUUUGCCUCUAAAAAUGAUUUGGUCAAGCGUGGAGUCAUGUUAAAUUUUAGAUUAAUUUAUUCAUGAUGUUAAAUUAUUUGUUGGUUUUAUAAACUUUUCAUUCUUUGUUUAUCUUUUAUUUCAUUUGAUUUUGAUGUUAAGUUAUAUUAAUUUGUUUGAGGUGUGAAAAUCGCUGGUGCACGAGUUCGUAUAAUUUGUUCUAGAUGUAUAUAUUUUUAUUCCUUAAGUUUGGAUAAUUUAUACUAAGUGUACAAAUAUUUAUUAUUUGAGUUUAGAUAAUUUAUGUUAGGUUUAUGCAUGGUUGUUCUAUUAGUUUAUAUAAUUUUUUCAAUAUGUAUAACUAUUUUAUCCCAUGAGUUUAUAUAGUUUGUUCCAUCUAUACAUUAUUUUGUUAUGCGAUAUUUAUAAUUUGUUCCAAUGGUAUAUAUCUUUGUUCUCUAAAUUUGUAUAUAUGUUCUUUGUGUAGACUUAUAUUGUUCCAUAAGUUCAUUAAUUUGUUGAAGUGUAGAAGUUGUUGUUCCACGAGUUUACAUAAUUUGUUCUAGAGUUAUAUAUCUUUGUUCCUUGAGUCCAUAUAAUUUGUUUGAUGCGUUUUCUUCAUUAAGUUCAUAUAUUUUUUUUGAGAAGUACAAAUAUUUCUAUGAAUUCUAUAAUUUAUUCUAGAGGUAUAAUUUUUUUCACUGAGUUCCAAUGCAUACAAAUCUUUUGUUAGGUGAGUUCACAGAAUUUGUUCCGUUUAUAUAUAAGGUUUCUGAUUAAUAGAUUGUUUUGGUUGAAACUUUUUUUAUAUAUAGAUGAUGUCAUCAAGUUUAUCCUCCGCAUGCAUGCAUAAAUUAUGUUCCCUGCUAUGAGCUAGCUAUUAGUAAUAGUCUAAAAUAUAUAUAGCCACAGUCUAUCAUAGUAGCACACCGAUACGCACGGCUAGACCAUUAGCGCAGGUAGGUUGCAAAAUUAUUUUUUCCUUCUUUCUAAAAAAUAUUUUUUUUUCUUAAUAAAAUAUAUAUAUUUAAAAAUCUGAUAAUAAGAAAUUUAAUGAUGCAAUCGGAAUUUGAAUUUGAUGGUUCAUAUAAUUUAUUUCAGGUAUACAUAUAUUUGUUCUGUGAGUUUCUAUAAUUUAUUUUAAGGGUAUACAUUUUUGUUUUGUGAGUUUGAAUACUUUGUUCGAUGCAUAUGAUUAUUUUGUUCCAUGAGUUUAUUGAAUUUGUUCUACGUGUACGUGUCAAGCAGAAAAUAUGCAACAUUGAAUAAAAAAUAUGAAUAAAAAAAUUUAUCCAAAUAUAGUUAAGUGGGAUAUUGUUGUGAAGGUUUUAUUUAAUAAACCAAUGGUGUAAUCGGAAUUUUAUAGCUUUUUUAAUUUUCAAUUGCGUUUGUCUCUCUUGCAUGCAUGCACUAGUUCUUUUUCACUUUUCAGGGACAACUACCAAAGAAGCAAUCUUAUUGAGCUGAAUUAUGAUCCAUCGUGGCCUGCUAAUCAUGGUUCCUUCAAGCGCAUGCGAUUCUAUAGGUAAUAGUGACGCGCGGUUGAAGGCAACAUUGCGAGAAUUUGUCGCCUCUGACGGCAUACAAACGGACCCAUUUUCUCCCCAGCACAUACAUGCGUCAGGAGUUCUUUCUUGCUUGUCCUAUAAAAAAAGAGUUCUUUCUUUCUUUCUUCUUUCUUUCUUCCGAGGAAAAAGCGUAUUUUUUAUCCCUUAAUUAUUUUGAAAGUGUGAUAUUCAUCCCUGGUGCAAAUCAAUCCCUUAACUAAUUAUAUCACUGCUUAGCAAUGUAACAUGCUGAGUUAAAAAUAUAAAAUCAAUAAAAAUAUUUCAGUACAUCCUCUAAAUUGACUACCCUAUACCUUUCUACCAAAAAAAUUAACAGACUGGUUACACUCAAUUGUUAUUGUGAUUGCCUCAACAUAAGACGUGGACAAGCAGUGAAUAGCAGUUAGAAAGAUGAUUACAUGACCUAAACUGCUAUUAUAUGAUACUAAACCAUUGUUAAACUAAGGUGGGGAUGAUAAAUACACCUGUUUAGUUAGUUAAGGGGUUAUGCACCAAAUGAAACAUGAGGGAUUAAUAUCACACUUUUGCAAUACUUGAGGGAUGAAAAAUACACUUUUUCCUUCUUCUAAUUAUCCUCUGUUGGGGGAAAAUAUUAACGACCUCCUUGUGUUCCUUAAACAACGGUCAUAAGGGCCAGGCCUACUACCAGCGACAGUGACCUCCGCCGACUUGGCAUGACCAGGGAAUAUUCCGCUUCACCUCGCCCGACCGCCCGAGGGCCGCUCCGCAUCCCCCGGGCGCAAGGGGUCGGACGCGCCCGACCCCUCGCCACAGGGUUCCGCCUUGCCCGACCCCGGGCGCAAGGGGUCAAACCCGCCCGACCCCUCGCCGCAAGGCUCCAUCUCGCUCGACCCCGGGACGCUGGGUCGGAUGCAUCCGGACCCACAGGACAGAGCCUCACCUCACCCAAGGACGGGCGUGGACCAGCAGACGAGGGCGCAGAUCUUGUGGGCCCCCACCGAUCUCGCCAUAAAUGCAACCGAUGGGGCGCCCAUGCCCAGAAUCCGGCUCUGACACGCAGAGAGGCGCCCGCGCUCCUCGACGUGACCGGCCAAAGCUUUCGGGCGGCGCACUGUAGCCAUGACUGCACAGGGCUACAGCUGCACCGUCCUAACUCUCCCCUGUGAUGUUCGUCAUAGGGUACUCAUCGCGCAUGCUGCCUAACAAAGGAGGGUGCGUCGCCCAGUUUCCCGCUCGGCCUGGCGGCAGGGGUGUGUUAGCCGCGCCUCCCGGUCAGCAAGCAAGGCUACAGAGGUCGCCCGUCAUUCACGACGUGCACAACUACGGCGUCCAGUCAUCAUCAUCAACUUGCAUGGCUACAGCGGUCGGUCGCCACGCACGUCUCGCAUGCUCGGCUACAAUGGCCGACCGCUGGGACGUCGAUGGGGCCCAACGACAACCAUCCCUCUUCGGUGGUCAUGCUGACAGGAGACAGAAACCAGAAGGGAAGGCGGCGACCCCGGGGGCUCGGUCCUUCUUCCUGCGCUUUUACUCCUUUGCUUACCUUUGUUACUUCCCUUUACUCCUGGCUCGAUUGUAACUCUGGUGCCCUCCUUACGCUAUAAAAGGAGGACCGGGGGCCCGAGACAGGGAUGGCUCUCAAGCGAACCGAACGCCCCCCGACACAAACCUUUCAUAUGAGCAUCAGUACACACCCACAGAGACUUGGGACCAGCUUCCCUCUCUCGCCCGUUUGUAACCCCUACUACAAACCCUGCACGAGUAACACGAGCAGCCUCCCACACUAGACGUAGGGCUAUUUCUGCCCAAACCAGUAUAAACCCUGUGUCCUCUCGUGCAACCAUCCGAGCCUUACAUGCAUAGAAAACAAAUUUACUUGCCGUAGUCUUGACCCGUGAUUCCUGACAAUGACAGUUGGCGCGCCAGGUAGGGGACCUUUGCGCGUACGACGAUUAUCACCGGCUUUGGAUGGCCAACCACGACGUCGGCUUCGCUCCCGGCUCCCACAUCCGCUUCGGGAGCCUGGACUUCCUCGCCACGGGAGAGGGAAUCAAGCUGAUUCCUCUCCUUGUCCUGCCCGCUCACCCCAUCACCUCCGGCUCCAUCGCCGGAACGGUGGUGAGCGGUCGGACGCGCACCACGGAGCUUCCUUUGGAGGGGCGGCUCUUUGUCCUAUGCAGUGCCGCGGUGACUUACGGUCGUCUCCUAGCACGAUCCAUAGUCGUGCCACCCGCGAACAACGAGUUCGCGGGCGUGAUGGAAACGGCCUCCGACGCCGGUUCCGACAAUGGGAGCCACCACCCCUCGCGUGAGUGCUUCAUGACCAACGUGCACUCUGCGGGGUCCAACGACGACGAUGGCGAGGGGAGGCAGCGCACUCCCCCACCCUGCGCCGCAGCUACAGCUGGAGCCCUUGCUAGUGUCCCAGAGCAGCCUCGGCUGCCGGAGGGGUGCGCGUGCCCAAUCAGGGGGUCGGGCGCCCCCGCAGUGAAGGCGGCGCACGUCAACAGGCAUGCGACGUCCAGUGGCACAUCUGCGAGGACGAGGACUGUCCCCAACUCUUCACACGCGCCAGCCAGAACAUCGCCACCACAGCGGUCCUACUCCAACGACUCCUCGAGCCAGCAAUGCCCGAGGAGUGAUAAGCCCACCAGGAGGUGCGCAACCUGCUUGAGUGCGCCGCAGUCCAGCAGGCGGAGAGCUCCGCGUCCUGGUGACGCGGGCACAACGCCAGCAGGGCAGCGCCCACCGCGCCUCUCAAAAGGCGUGGGGAAUCUGUCCACCAGCCUCCGCCCGGAGGGAACCGAGCCGCACCCGCUCGACGGACCCCCCCUGCAGGUGGCGGAGCCCUAUCUGCGCAUCGGUGUGUUGGUCCCGUCCGCGACACCCGUGACACCCUGGACGCGCGGAGGCGCUCCCGCGUGGCUAGGGAGGACGGAGCGGACCGCGGUUACCACGUACACCGUGGUGGCCACUACGAUAGCGAAGAAAACCGGAGCCCGAACUCCGACCCAGCGGGGCCCAGGGCCUUCUCCGCGCGCAUCCCGAACGCACCUUUCCCGGCACAUUUUAGGUAGCCCACCAACGUGGCCAAAUACUCCGGGGAGACGAACCCCGGGCUUUGGCUUAGUGACUACUGGCUUGCCUGUCAGGCCGGUGGAGCGGAUGACGACCUGUUCAUCAUCCGCAACCUCCCUCUGUUCUUAGCCGACUCAGCGCAAGCCUGGCUGGAACACAUUCCGUCGGGCGGAUCUGGAACUGGAACGACCUGAAGGAAAUCUUUGUAGAGAACUUCCAGGGUACGUACAUGCACCCCGAAAACUCCUGGGACCUCCGGAGCUGCCGCCAGGGGUCGGAUGAGUCCCUCCGAGACUACAUCCGGCGCUUCUCCAGGAAGCGCACCGAGCUCUCCAACGUCGCCGACGCCAACGUCAUCGGAGCCUUCUUGGCGGGAACCUCUUGCAGGCCCCUAGUCCACGAGCUUGGACGCAGGGGCCCACAGACCACUGAGGAGCUCCUCAACAUCGCCACCAGCUUCGCCUCGGGCGAAGAGGCCGUUGGGGUAAUCUUUGAUCACUCCAAAGGCAAGGCGAAGCGGGAGGAGGACGCCGAUGAGGGCACCUCCAACCGCAAGCAGAAGAAGAAGAACAAGCAACGGCGUGAGACUCCCCUCGUGGCUGUUGCCGAGCGCAAACGGGGACAGCCACCCCCCGAUGGCACCCCCGGCUUCUUUGACAAGUUGCUUGAGGGACCGUGCCCGAACCAUGAGUUCCCCGCCAAGCAUGCCUACAAGGAUCGCAACCUCAUGAAGAGGUACUUUGUGGGCAAUCCGGUGAAGGGCGACCGGAGACGGAAGCCUGAAGAAGAGAAGAAGGAAGUCGGAGAGAAGGAAGACGACUUCUUCAACGUGGACGGUUGCUUCAUGAUCUUCGGCGGGCCAGCAGCCUACGACUCCAGGUGCCGCCGAAAGCUAGAAUGCCGUGAGGUCUACGCGGCUGACCCCGAUACCCCUACCUUCCUCGAAUGGUCAAGGUCCGCCAUAACCUUUGACCAGUCCGACCACCCGGAGCGUGUCCCGCAGCCGAGACGCUACCCUCUCGUCGUCGACCCCAUCGUUGGCACGAAGUGCCUCACCAAGGUGCUCAUGGAUGGAGGCAGUGGCCUCAACAUCCUCUAUGCCGAGACCCUCGACACCAUGUGGAUCGACCGAUCCCGUCUCCGUCCCAGCGAGGUGCCAUUCCACGGCAUCGUGCCGGGGAAACGGGCAAUGCCCCUCGGGCAGAUCGACCUGCCCGUCACUUUCAGAACUCCUUCCAACUUCAGGAAGGAGACCCUCACUUUCGAGGUGGUGGGCUUCCGCGGAACCUACCACGCCAUCAGGGGAAGGCCAUGCUACGCCAAGUUCAUGGCCAUCCCCAACUGCACCUACCUCAAGCUCAAGCUGCCGGGGCCCAACAGGGUCAUCACCAUCGGCACGUCUUUCUAGAAGGCAUAUGAGUGUGAUAUCGAGUGCUGCAAGUAUGCCUCGGCCAUCACUUGCUCAGAGGACCAUGCAGUCCGACUUGCGGAGGGCGCCGAGGACCCGCCCGACUCCAAGCAAUCCUCCACCUCCUUCAAAGCCACGGAACGCGUGAAGGAGGUCCUUCUCGACCCCAGCGUCUCCAACGGCAGGACGGUGCGGAUAGGCGUGACCCUAUCCCCUAAAUAGGAAAGCGCGCUCGUCGACUUCCUCCGCGCAAACAGCGACGUUUUUGCGUGGAAACCCUCGGACAUGCCAGGCAUCCUGAGAGAAGUCGCUGAGCACUCCUUGAACAUCAAGGCCGGCUCCAAACCGGUGAGACAAGGCUUGCGCCACUUCGAUGAGGAGAGGCGCAAGGCCAUCGGUGAGGUGCUCCAGAAGCUUUUGGCGGUCGGAUUCAUCAAGGAAGUGCACCACCCCGAGUGGUUAGCCAAUCCUGUUCUUGUACGAAAGAAGAAUGGGAAAUGGAGAAUGUGUGUUGACUAUACGGGUCUCAACAAGGCGUGCCCAAAGGAUCCGUUUCCUUUGCCACGCAUAGAUCAGAUAGUCGACUCAACCGCAGGAUGCGAAACCCUUAGCUUCCUUGACGCGUAUUCCAGUUACCACUAAAUCGUGAUGAAAAAGUCCGACCAGCUCGCGACCUCCAUCACCACCCCUUUCGAGCCCUACUGCUACGUCACGAUGCUGUUCGGCCUCAAAAACGUGGGGGCUACAUUCCAGCGAUGUAUGCUCAAGUGUUUUGGGGACCUCAUCGGGCGAACCGUUGAGGCCUACGUGGACAACAUCGUGGUCAAGUCCAAGAAAGGUGACCAACUUAUUCCCGACCUUGAGCUGGCCUUCGAAAGGCUGAGAGAUAAGCGCAUCAAACUCAACCCCGAAAAAUGCGUUUUCAGGGUCCCUAGGGGCAUGCUGCUCGGCUUCAUCGUCUCCGUGCACGGCAUCAAAGCCAACCCGGAGAAGAUAUCGGCCAUCAUCGAUAUGGGGCCGAUCCAAAACUUGAAGGGAGUGCAGCGCGUCAUGGGAUGCCUUGCGGUCCUGAGCUGCUUCAUCUCACGCCUUGGCGAACGAGAACUCCCCCUCUACCGGCUCCUGAAGAAGACCGACCGCUUCGUGUGGACCACCGAGGCCAAGGAGGCGCUUGACCGGCUCAAGCAAAUCCUGACAAAGGCCCCAAUCCUGGUCCCACCGACGGACGGGGAGCCACUCCUGUUCUACAUUGCGGCGACCAGCCAGGUGGUUAGCGCUGCUCUGGUGGUGGAGCGAGAAGAGGAGGGACAUGCCCUCAAGGUGCAGCGCCCAGUGUACUUCAUCAGCGAGGUCUUAUCCGACUCCAAGGCCCGCUACCCCCAAAUCCAAAAGCUCAUAUACGCAGUCCUCAUCACGAAGAGAAAGCUGCGCCACUACUUCACCUCCCACCCGGUAACGGUCGUGUCAUCGUUCCCCCUUGGUGAAGUGAUCCGGAAUCAGGACGCCACAGGACGGAUCACGAAGUGGGCGCUCGAGCUUAUGGACCAGGGCAUCACCUACGCCUCCCGGAUAGCCAUCAAGUCCUAGGUAUUCGCCGACUUUGUCGCGGAAUGGACAGAGAUCCAGACGCCAUCAGCACCAGAGAAGCAAGAGUAUUGGACGAUGUACUUCGACGGGUUGCUGAUGAGAGCCCGUGCCGGAGCGAGCCUGGUUUUCGUCUCCCCCCUCGGCGUACGCAUGAGGUACAUGAUCCGUCUCCAUUUUCCCGCGUCUAACAAUGUCGCUGAGUACGAGGCUCUCCUCAAUGGGCAUUCGACGACUAGACAUCCGAGGCGACUGUCACCUAGUCGUCAAGCAAGUCAUGAAGGAGUGGAGCUGCCACGAUCCCAAGAUGGUGGCGUAUUGCAAUGAAGUCUGCCGGCUUGAGGACAAGUUCGACGGUCUGGAGCUCAACCACAUCACGAGACACUUCAACGAGUCAGCUGACGAGCUAGCAAAGGCGGCAUCCGACCGGAAGCCAGUCCUCGAUGGCGUCUUUACCAGCGACCAGUAUAAGCCCUCGAUCCGCUACGAGGAGUUGGGAGAGGUCGGCAAUGCGCCACCUGUCCUGGACUCAGGAGCUGAACCGGGAAAGGUCGGCAACGCGCCGCCUGUCCCGGACUCGGGAGCUGACCCCUACGACCCCGAGGUCAUGGAAGUUGACAUGAACCCAGCAGAGGGGCCCGACCCCCUGCCUGACUGGAGAACCCCGUACCUCGACUACCUCAUCCGCGAGUCGCUUCCGACGGACAAGACAGAGGCGCGAGGGAUUGCCCACGGCACGAAAUCCUUCGUCAUCAUCGACCAGGAGCUCUAUAAGCGGAGCCAUACCGGCAUUCUACAACGCUGCAUCCCGAUCGAGCAAGGAAAGGCGUUACUCCAUGACAUCCACGCCGGAGCUUGCGGCCACCACGCCGCACCAAGAACUCUAUUCGGGAAUGCCUUCCGACAAGGCUUCUACUGGCCGACGGCAGUUGCCGACGCCACCCGCGUGGUACGCACCUGCGAAGGGUGCCAAUUCUUCACGCGACAAACUCAUCUGCCCGCCCAGGCACUCCAGACCAUCCCUAUCAUGUGGCCCUUCGCGAUCUGGGGUCUGGACCUCAUCGGGCCCUUCAAGAAGGCGCCCGGGGGCUUCACCCACCUGCUCGUCGCCGUAGACAAGUUCUCGGAGUGGAUCGAGGCUCGACCGAUCGCGCAGAUCAAGUCCGAGGAGACAGUGCAAUUCUUCACCGACAUCAUCCAUCACUUCGGAAUCCCUAACUCCAUCAUCACGGACAACGGCACGCACUUCACCGGGAAGAAAUUCCUCAAGUUCUGCGAUGAUCACCACAUCCGAGUGGACUGGUCGGUCGUAGCGCAUCCCUGCACGAACAAACAGGUUGAGCGGGCCAACGGCAUGAUACUCUAGGGUCUCAAGCCAUGGAUCUUCGACCACCUCAACAAGUUCGGCGGCUGAUGGGUUGCGGAGCUUCCGGCAGUCCUAUUGAGCCUGAGGACAACCCCUAGUAGGGCAACCGGCUUCACCCCAUUCUUCAUGGUCUAUGGGUCCAAGGCAAUCCUCCCCACCGACCUGGAGUAUGGGUCGCCGAGGGUCAGGGCGUACGACGAACGAGGGAACCAGGCAGCCCUCGCGGACACGCAAGACCAACUCGACGAAGCGCGAGACAUGACCCUGCUGCACUCGGCCAAGUACCAGCAAGCUCUGCGACGGUAUCACGGCCGUAAGGUGUAGGGUCGGGCCUUCAAUGUCGGCGACCUAGUGCUUCGCCUCGUCCAAGAGAACAAAGGUCGGCAUAAGAUGACCCCUCUGUGGGAAGGUCCUUUCGUCAUCGCGCAAGUACUGCGGCCGGGCACAUACAAGCUAGUGACCCCCGACAUCGAACAGCUAAGACGUUUCUACCCUUAGCUAUUACUUCCAAGUUUGUACCUACAUACUUCCAUCUUCUUUUAGUUUGUGAAAAAAGGGGCUGUUUCGAGUUGCCUUCGCUAAAGUUUCAUCCCAAGCUUAGGGAUAUCCGACCCUGGCUCUGCCCCAGGGUCGAAUAUCCCUCGGGGGCUAUCAAGGGCUGCGGCCCAAGACACUUGGCGUCUUCUCAAAACACCAUCUUUUUCCAAACCGACCCUCUUCCUAAACGUUUGGGCGUGAAAAGAAAGGAGUGCGCGAACGACGCUCGGGCAAGACCGAUCAGACUGCGAGAAACCUACGCCCCAGCGGCUACAGUGCCUUCAUUCAUCGGUGCUUCCCGACGCGUUCGACCUGCACUCUGAACUUUCCAAACCCAAAAAAUAGAAAGAGGAUCGAAAACUUUUUCAAAAAAUUACACACGGACAGAAAGGCCUCUGUGGCCAUCGCAAAAACAAGUUCAAAAUUAUUUAACUUAUUUACAUAUUUUUGGGCAACUUGGCCCGCUACAGCUAACUCGUCCCCGGGUCCUCCGGCGGGAUGGCCUCAUCCUCCAGGAGACGCGCCAAGGCCUCUGUUGGAUUGAGCACCGACGCGUUGAUCUCGUCCAGCUCGGCCUCGGAGUAGCCGGAGGUGUACCCUCCGCUCAUUGCGUCGAAGUUGAUGUUGGAGUAGUGAGAGCCGAAGACGCCAAAGGCCCACCUCACGCCGAUGUGGAGCGCCUCCUGAGCGAUCUCACAGGCCCGCCGGUACGCCCCGAGGACAUGAGCCGCCAACGUGCUCGUCCCCUCCUCUUGGACCACACUAAGGUCCUCGCAGACGAUGCGAACGGCGUCCCGCAGGUUGGCGUGCUCGACGUGCUCCGCAUCGGCGGCGGCCCUCAGCCAGGCGAGCUCGCCCUCAAGGCCUGUCCAGAAAAGCCCACCAAGUCAGAAACCAGCGUGACGCUGCAAGCAAGAGGACAACAAAAGCCUUACCCUUAGAUUAGGCUCUCAGCAGACUGAAGCUCCUGCACCUGCGACUGGAGUCGACCAACCUCCGCCCUAAGGUCGGCUGCCACCUUCUCGGCCUCAGCCUUUUGGCCCACCUCGAGGUCGCGCUCCUGCCGAGCCGUGUGUCGCUCAUGCCGGAUGUUCUCGAUGGUUUUCUGAAGGGCCUCAUGCUCCUUCCUCAACCGUGCAAGCUCCUCGGCAUCACGACGGGCCUUCUCGGUAGCCGCCCAGAACUUGUCCUCCACCCUUCCCGCGCCUCCUGCUCCCACGCUCGCAGGUCGGCGGCAUUCUGCUGGGCGGCGGCGAGCUGCCCGGUUAGCUCCCCGGUCCGCCGCACCUCCGCGGCGAAGCGUUCCCAGACCCCCUGCUCGCGCUGGAGGAACUCGGACUUCCCCCAACUGCAUUUCUAGAGGACCUGCAGAAUGAUUUACGCUCAGGAAUCGUCGGGAGAAAAAAGGGAUAGAGAAAUGAAAGAAAAAUCAUCACCAAAGAGAACACCAUACCUGACCGGCGGGAACAACAACGCCAUCCAACUUCCCCAUCGUGGAAGACGGGGUGGCACGGAUGUCUUCGAGUCCGCCCUGCACCUCCUGCCAUCUUUCCUGCUCCCCAACAUCGUCCAACACGAAGCGAGGCCUCUGCGGGUCCUCACGGGACAUCCAGCGCACGGUCGGCCCUCUCCACGCGUUGGGGUCACGACCAAGCGGGACGAGGGCACACGAGGACUCUCCGACCAGCCUCGACGCCACUGCUCCAUCGUUGCCGCCAGGGCAGGUGCCACCAUCUCCGCCACCGCCGCCGUCUCUGUCGACGCCACCGGGGCAGACACCACCGUCUCUGUCAUAGCCGCCGUCUCCAUCGCCGCCACCGGGGCAGGCGCCACCGUCUCCGCCACCGCCGUCAUCUCCACUACCAUCACCGCCGCCCCUACGACCGGCACCUCGGACACUAGCGCCUCCCUCACCGGCUCCUCCUCCGCCUCGUCGUCAAGGUUGAUCACCUCGCUGGACGGAGGAACCCUAGAGGCAGCAUCUUGUUCUGCGGGGUCAGCUGCGGGUGUAGAAGAUGGGGCAAGGGUCGGCUCUUGCCCCGUGCACGACUGCGGCACCCUUUCUUCAGUCGCUGCUGUAGAGGCUGCCUCCACCGGGGGUACCGCGGCCUCGCCGACGACAUCGCCGCUCGCUCCCGACGGGGUCACGGUUGGCCCCACGGAGGCACCCGAUACCCGGAGCGCCUUCUUCGGCACCAGCGGCAGGACGAAGUCUCGAGGAGCAGCGCUGCGAGGCUCCUUUGAUGGAGUGUGCCUCUCUUUUGCUGCUUGGAGACACAUUUUUGAAAAAGAGGUUAAACUGGUCAUUCUAAGAGUCAAAGCAGCAAUGAAGGAUAAGUUCAUUCUUUGGCUGGGUAGUCUGUAACGUAGUCCUCUUUUCUUCUUUGGGUUUAAAACCAAUGUAAUUCGCCUGUACAUAAACCCCUUUUAUACAUAUAUAUAAAAAAGGUAGGGGACUCCCCUGCUGAUUCGUCUAAAAAAUUAAACAACACUUUGAGUAUUUCAGGGAGGCUUAUUCCUAUCUUCUAGUUUUCUCAUUAGGUUGAAAUCUCCCACGACCAACCAAUCCAUAUCAACUGGCAUAUUAAUAUUCUGAAACCAGUCUAUAAGCUUCCUCCUUCCCUCAUCUAUAUGAUGAGCAUAAAUAAUACUCCCUCUGUCCCAAAUUAUUAUUCGUUUUGGGUUUCUAGGUACAUAAUUUUUGCUACAUAUCCAGACAUAGCACAUAUCUAGAUGCAUAGCAAAAUCUACGUAUCUAGAAAAGCCAAAACGCAUUGUAAUUUGGGACGAAGGGAGUAUUUGUGAAGACCCCAGAGGCUCCCAAGUGAUUAGAAGUCAUUUCUGCUGAUUGGGCAUAUAUAGUUGUUUUCAAAAAGUAGUUCACCAUCCAACUUUACACCAUUCCAAAUAAUGAUUGGAACCCCAAGAAGCUCCAUUUGAUGGAUGAAAGACAAAUUUAUUUAGAUCGGGAGGGCAAAAGUUUAUGAUGAAAGUGGGUUCUUUCUUGGUUUCUUGUAGACGAACUAUAUCCCAGCUAGCCUCAACAUUUUUGUGAUGAAUUGAAUUCCACUUCUUAUUAGAAUUAAUAACAUGGAAACUCCAUAUGAAAAAGAUUUGGAGAUAGAUAUGCCAUAACCACAUAAAUAAUAUGUAGCUAAAGGAACCACAAUUAUUAGAAGGUUCAGAGCAAACUGCAUACAUCUUAGAGAGAUAUUUUAGUACUGACAAAAGUAGGGACACAUUAACCAAGGCAACAUAGAAGAGCAACAAAAUAUAAGCUUCAGUGAAGAUGACACAGCAUUUUUAUUAAGCCUCCAGACUUUAGGCUGACUGUUGAUAUGAGGCAUUAUAUUGUGGUCUUCAUUAUUGGAGUCCUGGUGAGAUAUGAUGGCUUCUUCUUCUUGAUCCAAUGAUUCUUCAUUCAUUAUGGGAAUGUUCUUAUUAGCUUUAUUACUCUUGACAUCUUUCCUCUUCACCAUGGAUGCCUCAACAUUCAUCUCUGCCACCUGAUUCCCUACAUGUGAUUCAGUGCAGAUGAAUCAUCAUCCCUUGCGGAUUUUUUUAUGUGUAGGCCAAAGCCAGUACAAAGAUCUUUAGCAAAAAAAAGUACAACCAGACACCACAAACAAGAGAAAUAUGACACGUAUACAAUUUAGAGACAAGUCAUGACACAAGCUGAAGAACUAUCAUUGAAGAACUAUCAUCGAUCGCUGAUUAGAGAUGCCACUGAAACAACAUACUCGCCAGAUACGCUAUAGCCAUUGCACAUCCACACCACCUCUUGUAGCUACGCCUCUUCGUUGUCACCCUCCAUCUGAGGACCACCUAACGAAGGGGGACUAAAGGUGGUGAGAGGCACAUAGACCAGAGCCCACCGGACACGAUGAUCUUCCUUGAAGCUAAUGGUAACAUCUUUCAAAGGACAUCCUGGAUCCACGUACCAUCAUCCAAUGCCGUACAAGGGGAGGAAGCCUCGAAGGGGAAUGGCGAAAGAGGUAGAAACACCAUGCCCGGCAUAAAAUUUGAUGGUACCACCAACAAGAAGAAUGCUGACGGAGCAGAGGCACCAAAUAGGGGACACUCGCCGAACCAUGACCUCAAGAAAUAACCAAUACCAGCCAAGUCCAAGAAGUAUACCGACAAUGGAGAGAUGCAGAAGAUAUAGGAGGCACUGAGUAGUCGACGACCUCAAUGGACCGUGCGAAGGUGAGACACCCACACUCUCCGAACGUGAAGCUUUCAUUGCAUGGUAGCCACCGCCACAUUCAUAUACUGCACCGGCGACCAUGGAGAAUGGUGUGGGAGUCGCAAAACAACACCUCCAUGGAGGGGAACGGCACCCACAAGUGUCGUCGUCACAGGUAGCGAAUCAGGCUUCCAUCGCAUGAUGAUUAAGCUUUCACCGGCGACUCACACCACUAGGCACAUGCACAUGUGGACAGCAGCCUCACCGGCCACCGCCACCAUGCGCUAGCCCAGUCCAUGCCUAGGCAAAUGUGACAAGCCACCAUGCGGUGUUAACCAUGUUCCAACACAACUGUGGCUGCACACCGCUAUCCGAUGCGGCACUCGUUGCAUAGCCGCGUCUCCACAUGGGUACGACCUGCCCCACGCUAAGGCCGAGCACCGUGGAGCAUUGAGUACGGGUGCCACGCUCGGGCAUGGCAGCUUGCACACCUGAACAGGGGCACAAGAGACCCUCGACUACCGUCACCGUAGGCACGGCAACCACGUCUCCAUCCCGUAGCCGACACACCAGAUCCAGUAGAGUAGGGACCGGAUCUAGUCCGGGAGGCCUCGGGCCUCGGCCGGCCACCAUGGCCAUGGAUGCCAUUGGAGCUCCAAGCCCAAAACAGAGAGGAAGGGAAAUUGGAGGGAGAGGAGAGGGGAGGAGAUGUGCUGCGAACUGGAGCCGGCUUCAGCACCAUCACGGGCCGCUGCCGCCACUCGAUAGGCAACGGCAGCGGCUGCCGGCGGGGGCUUUUGAGGGGCGGAGGUGGAGUCGCCCCUCCCGUCGCCCAGCCAUCCCUUGCGGAUUGCUUCUUGAUCACUUUCUUAGCAUUUCUUGUUUUUUUUUUUUUUUGCCAGAAGAGCUGCAUCAGUUACUUACUGAGGGCCCAUUUUGCAAAAAGUUGCAUCUGUUACUCGUUUAUCUUUACUUGCCUUUUUUUAUAUCUGGUCGUGCAUGCCUUCCUAGUCUUUUGGUUCUUUGAUUUAGUCAACAUGGUUUAGUCUUUUCAAUGAGUACGCAUCAGCUAUGUGCUGUCAAAUUUUAAUAAGACAAUUGUUCGUAAUAAGCACUGUUUGGAUCACGAACAGACAAGAUAAAGUUCUGAAUAAUACACAUAUACACCUACCGAUCCUCGGAUGAGUCGGAUGAGGCAAGACCAUUCGUUGUUACACCAGAAACGCUAAAGAAGCUCACGGGAUUAUUUACGGCAUGAUAUGAUCUGAGCUGAGUCAAAUAUUUCAUGUACUUUGUCUUACAUACUGGGCGUACUCAUCCUGGCAGUCAAAGAUGCGAUCAGGAGGCUGCUAUAGAUUUUCAACUUCUUGAGCUAGCUGGAUGUAUGUAUCACGUAUUCAGUGUCUUACGGAGAGAUCGUAUGCAUAUAUGUACAAUCAAAUAAUACCUGUAUGUGCAUGACGACCAUAUGCAUAUCUUCACGAAAUCGUCACUUCAUUCAACUCAAGUUAGUGACACCAAAAUUGGCAUAUAAGUCCUGAAAUUCCAGUUGAGAAUAUGGAGGUCAUCCAAACAAUGGUUUUGGAUACUUAAUUACAAAAGAUAGGAACUUAUGCUCGGCCGGCUGCCGGUUAACGUGGCCUAGUAGGAUACAUUCUAGUUUAAUUUGAUUUUCUUUUAUAUUGUUAUUGGUCUACAGGUGAGACAAUGAGAACCACAGUUAAGCUUGGUACGUCUGGUUACUGGCUGAAACUAUGCACCUUCUUUUUUUGCUGGGAAAAAUAUUUGCAGAAUUACGUACAAAGACGACUGGUUCCUAGUGCUCCGUCGGUACUUUUAUUUGUUGGUAGAUGUACACGUGAUGUCAUGUGAAUGCGAGCAGCUCAUCAGAAUCAUGCACAUCUAUAUAGUCUCAAUAUUUUUCAACACGUAAUUUACGAGUGUGGUAUACAAUUUUAGUAGUACUUAUCAUUUUUCUCGAGCGGCCAAUAGUUUUAAGUCUUUUUUUGGAAGAAAAUUAGGUGCGCACCGGAUGCAAACCGCAUCCGGUGCAUACCCGUGUGCUCGCGUGACGUGUGGAGGGGGAAGCAAAUCCGACGGAUUUAAUCGCUGGCUGUCGCGGCUCGGCUUGCUCGCUCGGGAACCGCGUGCUCAGUCGCUCGGGAUAACGGCACCAGCGGCUCGCUCGCUUCGGGAACACUACUCCAGUCCCAGCUCAGCCCACUCCUCGCUGCUCCCUCACUUCAUCCCUCUCUGUCGUGGCGUUCUCCGACGAGACGACGGCGGCGACGUAGACGGGUGCAUCCUGGUUCGGCAGGUAUUCAUCUACUUCCACUCUUCCACUAAUAAAUAGCGCGAUUCCUGAAAUCCAUUUCGUUACAGUGUAAUCACUGGCAUUCGUUUUCUUCCUUUCUUUGAAAUCUGCAGGAGAGAAGGCGGCACCAUUCCAAGCUCGGAGGCCGUCACCCGCAGAUUUAAGCAAGCCCCAUCCCUGGAAGCUCCUUCCUUUCCUCCCAAUCGCCUGCACGCAGCAGUUCUCGGAAACAUCUGGGCCGCCUCUUGAAAUUCGACGGCCGGAAAAAGUGAGAAACCAGCGAGCGAGCACGCAGUUCCGAGCGAGCGAGCCGAGUCGUGACAGCCAGCGAUUAAAUCUGUCGGAUUUGCUUCCCAUCCACGCGUCACGCGAUCGCACGGGUAUGCACCGGAUGCGGUUUGCAUCCGGUGCGCACCUAAUUUUCUUCCCUUUUUUUUUGUCUUUCCUAACUGUCUCGACAAAUUGGCAACAAGAUUAAUUGAAUAAAUAUAUUACAAACAGUUACGAUAGGCAACAAGAUUAAUUGAAUAAACAUAUUACAAACAGUUACGAUAGAUAACCAACAUAAUACUACAAGCUGUUGGUCACUUCAGAACAGAAACUGUUAGGAAAGAUCGUCGCUCGAUCUUGUAGUGGGCCUAAUACAAGAAGUCAAGAACCCAAUAAAAUAACUCUGUCCACAUGGAAGACCGGCCGAGAUGUUCACGAGGACGAAGCACAACGUUGUUUAAAGAUGUACUCCCACGGUUCUUUUUUACAUGUCACAUUAAGUUUGUCUUAAGUCAAAUUUGUUCAAUUUUGACAAAAUUUAUAAAAAAAUAUAACAACAUCUACAACAUCAAAUUUGUUUUCGUUGAAUUCACCAUAGAAUAUAUUUUGAUAAUGAAUAUAUUUGGUACUAUAGAUGUUACUAUAUUUUCUUAUAAAUUUGGUCAAAUUAUAACUUUAACUUAAGACAAACAUGUAAAAAAAAUGGAGGGAGUAUAAUUGUAGUAUAUACAUCUCUCUCACUCUCGUCGUGAUCUCUCUAUAUGAUCAAUCGGCAAUCACGUGAUGUAUGCAAAUCUCUGCAUCCAGCAGACCGUCCAAACAGGAAGCUGCCACGACCUGCACGAACGGCCUCGCUUCCAUGUCUGCAUACAGCUCAAUUUGUACCAAUCUGAACGGAAUGCAUACCUGCUCGUUGCCGUUGCCGUCUCCAUCACAGUACACUCCGUUUUGUAAAACUGCAUUUCAUCGAUCGGUCCGUCCUGCCACAGCUCAGCUCGCUGACAAUGGCGACGAUCAUCAAUAGCCACCCGUGCAAAACGCGUAACACGGCCCCACCUCGUUUGUUUCGUCUGACCGAUCCUCUAGCCGCCGGGCCAACGGCUACAUAAAUACAGGCCAUCGCCACAGCCCACAGCAGCUUGCUAGCUCUCGGUCGCCGGCUACACGAGACGAUCAAUAGGCUGCCAUGAGCACCAGCACCAUGCCCAAGGCGAGAUGCGCGAUGAAGACCAAUACACAUGGCCCGAGGAGCCACUGCAAGGUAAAGGCCGUGGCGGCGUCGGCGAGAGAUACCAUCUGCUCGAAGGGCAGCAAGAAGGACUACUACAAGGUGCUGUCGCUGGAGCACCCGGCGGCCGUGGGCGCGGAGGAGAUCAAGCGCGCGUACCGGCGGCUGGCGCUGUGUUACCACCCCGACGUGUGCCCGCCGUCGCGGCGCGCCCAGUCCACGGAGCUCUUCGUCGAGCUGCGGCGAGCGUACGAGACGCUCUCCGACCCGGCGCAGAGGGUACGGUACGACGCGGAGAUGAGAGCGACCGGGGAGGACGGUGCGGCAGCGAGGCCUGGUGGUGGUGUUGAGUUUCCGAGGGACGUGUGGGAGGCGCAGCUGUGCGAGCUGCGGGCGCGCUCCGAGCAGCGGCAGAGGGCGAGGCGCGGUGGCGUCCCGAUCCGCCGUCAGCCGGUCUGAUUAAGCGAUCCGGACACACGCAUGGAGAGUUACUGGGGAGUUUAGAUUUUAUUCUUUGACCGUGGGGCUCAUUGCAUCUGGUUUUACUGGGGUGUAAGUUUAUUUGAGCAGUGUAAAGUGAUAGAUCUGUAUGUAGUAAUUCAUUUUCUUUUGGGAAAUUUGCUUGCACCGCUAGGGAAGGCGCCUUUAGUACCGGAUCCUAACCCCUUUAGUACCGAUUGUAUAACCGGUAUUGUUACUUCGAUACUAAAGGGGGGCCUGUGUCAAAUAACCGAUGCUAAAGGGGGUCUUUAGUACCGUGUCAAAUAACCGAUGCUAAAGGGGGGCAUUUAGUACCUUUAUACCAACCGGUACUGAAUUGGCUGCCACGUCGCGUGUGACCGAAGGCAAUUUAGUACCAGUUUCUUUUCUCAUUUUCUUUUCUAUUUAUUUAUUCUAUAUUAGUAUUUCGUAUUUGUUUUCUUUACGUAUACUAGUUUUAAUAUUACAUUUAAUCUAAUAUUAUAUAUAUAGACAUCUCCUGCCUUCGUAUUUAUGAAUAAUAUUACAUUGCAUCAACACUUGAAGUUCAACAUUUGGAUCAACUAUUCUGAACCCGAGUCCUGAUGGUGAUGCAGAUUUGAUCCGUCAUUAUGGAACUCCCCUGCUGGAUUUACUACCUUGUCUAGAAGAAAUCCACUGAGUUGUUAUUGAAUUGCCCUGAUUUUUUCCGUCUCGAGGAGUGCUUCCUUCGUGUCUCUCGUCUGUGUCAUUAGCAAAGAUUAUUACAACCGGUACUGAAUUGGUUGCCACAUCGCGCGUGACCGAGGGCAAUUUAGUACCAGAUUCUUUUCUCAUUUUCUUUUCUAUUUAUUUAUUCUAUAUUAGUAUUUCAUAUUUAUUUUCUUUACGUAUACUAGUUCUAAUAUUACAUUUAAUCUAAUAUUAUAUAUAUAUAGACAUCUCCUGCCUUCGUAUUUAUAAAUAAUAUUACAUUGCAUCAACACUUGAAGUUCAACAUUUGGAUCAACUAUUCUAAACCCGAGUCCUGACGGUGAUGCAGAUUUGAUCCGUCAUUAUGGAACUCCCCCGUUGAAUUUACUACCUCGUCUAGAAGAAAUCCACUGAGUUGUUCUUGAAUUGCCCUGAUUUUUUCCAUCUCGAGGAGUGCUUCCUUCAUGUCUCUCAUCUGUGUCAUUGGCAAAAGUUAUUAUAUAGUAGAUCAACGGAUCUGCACCAUUAGAACUAAUUUAUUGUUAAGAAAUUUGUAUAUGUACUCUGAAUUUGUGGUCGGUUAUACGCUUGGGAGCUACAAAGCUAUGGAUGAACUCACAUACGUAGUAUCCGUAUAAAUUAUUCCCCAGAUUCUAUCUCAAACACUAUAUAUAUGGUAAAAGAAGUUAUGAAAUAUUAGUUGUGUUCAAGGAAGUGUCAUGAGAUGUGGAAAUUCAACACAUACCGGGAAUUCAGGUUUGAAAUCAAGUUCCUCCUUGAAUUCACUUACGUGAUGUCGACGGAAGCGAGCCCAUACUUUGUUAAAUAUGUCUAUGAGAUUUUUGUACUGAUCUCUUCAUUUCCUCAAAGAGUCCAUGAUGUAGACCGCGCUUCAAUCAACCACGAUAACAAGGAGUAUCCAAUGGAAGAUGUAUAUAUAUGCAUAGCCAAAGUUAGUUAGUCUUAUGUUUAACUGCUAGUUCGAAAAAAAAGAGAUAGGAAACACGCCCACUUUAUGUUGUAGGGUAGAAGUAUGUACUUCCUGUAAUGUUAGUUGUCUAGGAACUUAUAUAUGUUCUUCAAGGUCCGAUUUGGUCUAUCUCUUAUAGUUGACUCGUUUAUAAUAUCUGGGUUCAUGAAGCCGAUGUUGUAGUAUCCUUUCCUCCAGCAAGUUUGAAUCUCCAUGCAGAUUGAAUCUCCAUCCUGCAUGAUACAAAAUCGAAUAGGAGUUAAGACAUCGCACAAUGACUAGAGUGGAAUUUUGAAGUUAGAGCAAAUUAAAGACGUAUAGAACCCAGAAACUGAUGAGUGACUUGUCAAGUCCGUUUUGAUUGUAAAGGAAAUAGAGUUCCUCUAGCAGCACAUUUAUAAUGUCUUCCCCACGGAAAUAAUGUUGAUCUCCAAUCCAAACUUCGAGCAUGAGUAAACCGUUAGCUGAAGCCUCCAUGUACCAUUGGUGAAAUUUGUAUGUCUUUGUUGGAAGACGAUCCACCAACUGCGGCCACACAAGCGGUUUUCCUAACUCAAAUUUCCAUUUAGUAGCCCCAGGGUGCAAUGGGACAUGAUCCUCCCCUCGAAGUUGAGCUGGGGUGAGAUUUGUAUCUUUGGCAAAUAGAAGCAGGUUCUUAUCAAACUCCGAAAGCACCUGGAGCAGGGCAAUCGAUUGGUUGGAUUGGGUUCCGAGCUGCGGAAUACUUGACCCACUUUUAUUCUUCUUCUAAAAAGCUUUUGUUAUUGAGCGGUCGUAGUUAGAUAGCAGUGGUUUCUCUACCUUUUUCUCCAUGCUUCCAAUGAAGCCUGAAAUUUAACCUUAUCAAGUGGUGGAUCUUUCUUCACGGGAGGUUUUGGUGAGAAGUGAGCUUUAACCUCAGCAUCCACUACUGCGUCGAUUUUCACAUCAGUCAUCUCAUGAGUUUUCUUGGGCUCUGGUUGCUUCUCCUUCGGCUUCUUCUGCUUCUUCUGCUUCUUCUUUUUAGCUGUAGUAGGCUGAACUGAAGGCGUUUUUCGCCGUGUAGCCUUUCUCAUAACAGGGGGUGGUGGACUUAUGCUAGGAUCUCUAUCAGCUGGUUGAGAGCGUGGACUCAUGCUAGGAUCCCUGUCAGUUGGUGGACUCAUGCUAGGAUCCCUGUCUGGUAGUGGAGAGGGUGCCCUGGCAGAUGGCGUAGGUGAUCUUGCCCUUGAGCCUUGAGGAGAUGAUCCCAAGGUCGAGGGAUUCGGCUGUGUAAUCCUUAUGUAGCGCUUGGGCCAUAGAAUCCAACCAUGGAUGGAUUUUCCUAGAUUCUUUUCCCCGUCACCUCCAGGGAUCUUCAGUUUUAGGUCAUCCCAACCGUCGACCACUCAGUCCACCCCAACUUUAGCGUAACAACGAGCUAGAAUCUCCACGCGAUGAAUUCUAAAAAUGACUAAUUACGUACAUCUAUUUCAUCUUAUUAUCUCUAUGUACCACAAUUUAUCUCGCUCAUAUUUGCAAAUGACUAAAAUAUGAACAAAUUAUAUUUUUUUCAUAAUUUAUUUAGCUCAUAUUUGUAAAGGACUAAACUAUGAAAUUAUUCCUCUAAUCUCAUAUCAAUUUCUUUGACUAAUACGAAUCAUGGCAUCCAAAAAAUUGUAGCUUAUUCUAAAAAUCACAAAUUACUCUAGCUCUAAAGCAUAAAACUUAGUAUAUUAACCAUGUAUCAAGGGAGGAUGAAGUUUCUAACCUUUAAAACACUUGAAUGAGUGAAAUCCCUACGAAAUGGUCAAAAAUCCAGCAGCACCUCCCCUAUUUUGCCAUGAACGGAUGAAGCCCGAGCUAGAGGAAAUGGCUCGGGUAGGAGGAAGAAGACACCUGAGUUAUAGGAGGGAAGUUAGUACUGGUUGGGGGCUCCAACCAGUACUAUGCCCCCAACCGGUACUAAAAGUCACCCAUUAGCACCGAGUGGAGCCUCCACCUGAUACUAAAGGCCCUCAGGGCUCCACCCGGUACUAAUGUGUGACCUUUAGUACCGGUUGGAGCUCCCAACUGGUACUAAAGGGGGUCACGGGGGGCUCCUAGGGAACUAGCCAUUAGACCCGAUACUAAUACUCACAUUAGUACCGGGUCAAACACCAACCGGUACUAAGGGUUAGGACCAAUGCUCAGUUUUCUAGUAGUGAGGAAACAAUACUAUAAUUUGUGUAUGAAACUAAGCAAACACCAAUUGUACAAACAACUGAUAUAAUUUAUCUUCAUGAAGUAGUGAUUACUUUGUUUCUUUGGAGAACUGUAGCAUGAUAAUCCAUUUGAGAAAAUCUUGUAAUGUUUUGAGUUUUUGACCUUUUGGUUGCAAGUGUUUACUUAAUAAUAGUAUAAUGGAUGGGAGAUUGAUUAUUGCAGGAUGCCCUCUUAGUUACUGGGGCCAUUUCACUAUACUAUUUGUUCACAGCAUCAGAAGAAUACGUCUCAUACUGACUCAAAAUAUGAAGAGUGUAGUUAUGGAAAAUGAUAGGAAAGGGCAGUCUCAUUUUCCACUUAGACUAAACAAACAAGAUUUUUAGACUCUUGCUUCUAAACUUCACCCAUCAGUCAAUUACCCAACUAAAUAUACUUGAUGAGGACAUCGCCAUGCUGGACACACACGAGUCAUGGUCUUCCCCAAGUUACAAGUCGUCACCAACUCGUCGCGUUCGUUUCGGAUUCAGCCGACACCCUUGCACGGUUUCGGCCAUAUCUCUCUCAUACGACAUCAAAACGAGGCAUCUUUGAUGCGUUGGAACGGGGAUGAUGACGCUGUUCUUUUGGUUCUGGUUCUAGCUCCAGAAGGUUCGUGGAUCAUUCUGUGUGACCACGAUAAGGUGCUGUAUCACCAGUUUUGGGUCAACUUAGCCUUGUAUCGUGUCGGGCCUUAAGCCCAAGUUGUGGGCGCCCCCUCCUUGGUCGCCCCCAACCCUAGUUCGCCCCUUUUGAUAUAAACUCAUUAGCCACCACCUUAGAAACUCGGGUUUUGUUUAGUUCUAGUUUUCCUUUGAGAAACUGAGAUUGAUUUGUUGUAACUAUGGUAAUAAGUUCUUUUACAGUGAUCCACGACCCCUAUUCUUGUUCUCCUCGACUGUGUCGAUUAAAACCUUUCAAAUUGAGAGCUUGAACCCUUCUUACUACAUUCAUAUUUGCAAUAUCAGAUUGCGUGUUUAUACUUUCUUGCUUGUGUCCUUCGAUUCGCAUGCAAGGAAAGCCUUCUUGGCGAAGUCAAUCAAGUUGUGCUUGGUUGAUAACCAACGGAGCAGUGGUGUAGCGGUUGCAGGGAUUCGAAUCAUGUCUGAUUAAAAGCCCGAAUCGUCAACGUCGAGUCUCCACCAAUCGAAUUUAUCACUACCUUUCGAAAGAUCGGGCCAGUGCUACAUCAGCACUAAUAAUAUGUCUUGGUGGAAGAUAAAUAGUUGUACUAUGUUAUUUAAUCGUGGUAUGGAUAAUCAUUUUAAAUUGAUAAUUUUGAUGAUACUUAUGCUUUCUUUUUUUAGUACGUGGACGUAUGAUAUUUAAACUAAAUUCAUUAUCACAAAUUCACAAUCUCUUUAACAUAUGGUGGCAGGUAUCCCCACCCCAGCCCUGCCAUGGUGAAAAAAGUUCAAAAAGGAGAAGGCAUAAAUUCUUCGAAUACACGGUGGCAAAGGACGUAAUGUAUGGCAAAGACAAGAAGGAGAGAAGAUCUAUUCUAGGGUGAUCUUGCAAGUGUUUGUUUAGCAAGCUAAGUAUGCUACUAUAGAAUCGGAAUUCUAACAUGAUUAAGGCCCUGCAAAAGUGUUCCACUUAGGACUAGAGCUCCUAUAUUAUUAGCUCGGGUUGCACGUCUUUUGCAUUACGUAUUGCAAACAGUAAUUCCCAUUAUAUUUUCAUCAUUGUACUUAUCUGUAUGUAUGCACGUACUCGUUUAGUUUAUAUUGUCUCUUUUCUCGCUCAUCAAGUCUUACCGUCUUAGUUAAUCUUUCUGCUCAGUUGAUUUGGUUUUCAUUAGGUCUUACCAUAUUAUUAUUUGUCUUUUGGCUUCUUUGAUUUAGUCAAUAACAUGCAAUUUUAACUAUGCAGCAUAAAAUUAUCUUGAGCCACUUAAAAUAAACUUUUAGACGCGUUCGGAUCCAUUUGUUCAUCAAUAAAUACAAACAACCUAAAUGUGAACGAAAGGGUAAUUUACAUGUACCGAUCAUCAGAAGCCAUUCGUGUGUUAGAAAUGAUGAAACACACAACGCCCAUUUGAAUAAUGAAACUGCCCCUUAGAUGGAUACGUUGUAUAGAUACCAUCCGAUGCACCAGAAGUGUCAAAAGAAACACGUGAACGUAGAAUUGGGAAGCUACUGUGGGUUUGUAAUAUAUCAUCUUCUUUGUCUUACAUGAUUGGACUCAUUCAAGACGAAGAAUUCAGGAUAUCUAGCAGCAGAUAUUUAAACUUGAAGAUCAUGUAAACUAAUCGGUGGUGACUGAAGAUUGCCGGCCUUUAAUUUCAUACUUGGAUGCAACCACCGAAUAUUUUAUAUGGUACGUUUUCCCUAAUCACACUAGAGUGAUAUGCUUUAUAAGUGAUUUUUGGAUUAUUUUAGUUUUGUGAAAUUUUUGUACAAUUUCCUCGAUCACUAUGUUUAUGUGUUCUAUUGAUGUUGAUGUUUAAUAUGAUCUGUUCAAUUGACGUAUGGGUUCAGUAUUGUUCAGUUGAUUUUAAACUGCUUUGUCCUGUUGAUGUGGGUGUUUAAUUCUAUUUAGGUUGCUCUGUUCAGUUGAUGUUUGUGUUCAAUUCUGUUCAGUUGAUGUUUAAUCUAUCCUGUUCUAUUGAUGUGUUAUCUUUUCAGUUGAUGAUGAGAGUAAUCUGUUGUUGUUAGGAACAUCUAGCACGCACACAUGCAUAUUUCUUUGAAUAUGUAUCUGUUGUUUGUGCAAUUCGUUCGUAACAAUGCGAUACUACUCAUAGAUUUGAUGGAUAUUAGAACCGACAAUCAAUUUUUUUACGGCUAAUGAUAGUAUUCUAACCGGCGCUAAUCCACACCGGUAGUUAUAGGUUAACAAAUGUUGCGGUCUAAUUAGACCGCUAGGACUAGUAUCCCCGUACGCAUCGGCACUUAACAAACACCGGUAGAUUAUACUCAAUCGUACCGGUGCUCAACGAAAGCUGAUUAGAAUAAUAACAUAUUCUAACAGAUUGAGAAAUGCACCGGCACAUUUAGCAAAUUAUUCGUGUCAGUCCUGACGCUAGUAUGAAUAACAUACCCUCAUUUGUACGCGCACCGUGGUAGCAGGCCCAUCACCGACAUGAAUUAGCUUUUCGCACUGGUACGUACAAGGGUCGCUGCAGUAGUGUUAAGUUCCACAAUCUAUAUCCUUAUCCGCAUCAUGCAUGCUCACUCUGAUCUCCAAGAGCAUAUAGCAGCGCAUCUAAAUGUUUUUGGAGAAGAAAUUUUUUUUUGGAGAAGAUUGGUGAGAAUAUGGGAAGAAUGCAGCCUGAAGAUAAGGGAGUGGAGAGGAAAAUUCAUUUUUUUGCAAAGGAUUAUGAUUUGUUUGUGAAUCCGAUAAGAAACAAUAAUAGGACAAAAUAUUACCAACAUCAUAAAAAGCAUCUAAAAUUCAUCAAAUUUGAGAUGACUUUUUAUAAAAAGCAACAGUGACAUGGAUAUAGAGAAAUAUUUUGCUUUGUAAUUAGUCAAUGCAGAUGGAUUUUGUGUGUGUGUGGGGGGGGGGGGCAUAUCAUGUCCGUUCCCAUUUCUAGUAAAAUUUAUGAAUGCUUGCAAAAUUUUUAGGUACAAUGAAAAUUCAGUCUACACAUUUAUGACAUUUUUACCUAUACUUCACUUAAGAUGUCAGAAUGGUAUAGAUUUCAUUAAUACUAGUCCUAAAAUGUUUACAAUUAUUUAUAAUUAGAAUUAGAGAUGAAGGUGGACAUGUAUACACCUCCAUCAAAUUUUGUCAACAAACUAAUGUAUAAUGUCCAAAAAGGCAAAUUAAUGUAUGUUACGAGUUACCGACGGGUUUGGAAAACUAUCUGCAAUGACUGUAUUACAAAUGGAUAUUGUUCAGAAAAAUAUCUACGAUGACUACAUAUAUCUUAUACGGCUUUUAUAAAUAAACUAUCUGUGAUGUAUAACAAACGUUGUUUUAAAGUACUAUUUGCAAUCAUGGAUCACCACUAGUAGAAUUUUUCACCACGGGGAUAACUGACUGCAAUAUGCAUAUUCAAGAACUGUUUGUAAUAUCCUGUUGGUAUGGAUAUCUUCUUAUGGUAGUCCCAGUGUUAUAAUACCUAGCUUAAAUUUGAUAUGCCAUCAGAUCACACAAGAACAACAGAAAGCUUUAACAGAUGGAAACAAUGGGCUGCAGGCCAGUUGGUUUCUUCAACUAACCCCGCUAACCCCGCAUACGACAAGAAGGACCUUUUGGUGAGGAGGAUCAGGAGCAACACUAUUGUUUCUUCAUUCUCUGCAGCUGCUAACUACAUUCCUCUGCGCUUCACUACCAUAUCACCAGGAGUAUAUGAGCAGGUAUGACAAAUAAUCAAUACUCACUUCUUUUCUUUUCUUUUCUUUUUCAUCAAAUGCCUAUCGGUUAUGCUUUUUCUAAAACAUCUUCAAAUGCAUACCUUGACAACAGAUUUAUCUUAUUGUAUAAUAUAUGUACACAGUGUCUACAAAGUUAAUAUCAUAUGAAAAGAUUUUUCUGUAUAGAUUUAUUGAUACAAUUAAAUACAAUAAACGACUAUUUAUAUGACUUAACUUCUAAAUUUAUACAGCCAAAAUUUCAUGUGUAGUGCCGACUAUAAAAAAUAUCGAGGGGCAAAAAUCAACGGUUUGCAAGGAUUCAUCAAGCGGAUUGGCUUGGUAAAUUAUUCGAUGCUGCUGUCCUUGAAAUUUGCAUAUAUAUAGUUGUCUGCGACAUUAUCUGUUUUACGACAUGUUAUAAACAGACAACGUUUCUCCCAGCAACGCUUUUCGGCCAAGGUUUAUUGUAUCAGACUGCAAAAUAAAAACAUUCCACAAUAGUAAAAUAGCAGACGUGUUUUAGUCGACCAUUAUUUGCAAUGUCCGUCCCCUUGGUGUUGACUCUUUGUUGUCGUUCCUGGAAAAUAAAAGAACCAUCAAUCAAUCGGCCAUCACACUAAACUCUGGCACACCUCCAAACAAGCGGAUGAAGCUGCCACCACCCGUGCGCGUGCUUGUUUUAAAAUUUGUCCACUGCUCAAUUUGGACGAAUUCCAAAUGGCACACCUGCACCGUACCUUUGGUCGUUCUGCACAGAAAAAUUUAGCCCAAAACCGAUGCGUGAAUCCUUGCCGUCUUCAUCACCCACCCCACACAAUCCACCAGCAAAACUCCAUUUCACCGGUCCACCUCCACCUCCGUACGCGCACCCCGCAACAGCUCGUCGAGGACGGCGACACCCACACAGCCACCCGCGCAAAACCGCGUACCACCAGCCCCGCCUCAUUUGUCUCGUCCUUGAGUCACCUGGCCCGCUAUAUAUAGAGACGCCAUCGCCAUCUCCACCGUGCAACAUGCUAGUUCUCAGUCACCUGCAAACAAGAUUUUGGUUGUUCGAUAAAUUGAUCAGCAAGCUAACCAUGAGCACCAGCACCAUCCCCAUGGCGAGAUGCACGGCCAGAGCUAAUAACACAGCUAGGAUUUUGGGCUGGAGGAGCCACUGCAAGGUAAAGGCCGUGGCGGAGACAGAGUGGGGUAGUGUCAGCUCGGGAAACAAGAGCGACUACUACAAGGUGCUGUCGCUGGAGCACUCAGCGGCCGUGGGCACGGAGGAGAUCAAGCGCGCCUUCCGGAGGCUGGCGCUGCGUUACCACCCGGACCUUUGCCCUCCUUCUCGGCGAGCCGAAUCCACGGAGGUCUUCAUCCAGCUGCGGCGCGCCUACGAGACGCUCUCCGACCCGGCGCGGAGGGUGGUUUACGACGCGGAGCUGAGGACGGGCGAGGAAGCGACGACGGCUGCGGCUGGGUUCGCCAGGGACGUGUGGGAGGCGCAGCUGUGCAUGCUGCGAGUGCGCUCCGAGCGUCGCCAGAGGGCGAGAAGCGGCUGCCGGUGCGACUAGGGGCACGAGGCAUUAUGACAUGAUGACUUUACUGAAGUGUUUCUACUCUUUAACUCUAUGUUAGGAUCAUGCCGUCUGGGUUUUAGAAGAGCGAGUGAUAUAAUUUUUUUGUAACAGUUGGAGAGUCUGUCUGAGUUUCAAGUAAGUACUAAGAGUAAGAGAGGUUGGAUAGCGUUUGAACUUCUAACUUUCAGGUAUCGUAUUGAUUAAGAUUAUUUGAGCUCCUAUACCCAGACUAUUCUUCUUCCAUAUUUGCAGUACACACCAACACCAUUGGAUGAGAGCUUACCGAAAAUUAGACCCUUUACAGUUUACAGGUGGAUCGACGGAACGAAAUUACUGACGAGGACACUAGGCAUUGUGGCAUUUCCUCUCAUGAUUAAUUACUUUCAGAGUGAAAUAAUUUUUUUUUCAAUUGUUGACUACAAAUCUCAUUUAUUAGCAUCUUUCGAUCUAGAGAUACUUUUCUUGAAAUUUGAACUUUUAGUUGAAUAAUGCUCUUCGUUCUGAAUCAAAAGUCUUUAUAUAUGUUGUUAACAUUAUUGGAAAGUGGAAAAAUGUAAGUGAUGUAAUAGAAUGGGAUGAUCUCAUUGAUGUUUACAUAUUUAUGCAAGCCUAAGGGGCAUGAGGGUGACAGUUCAGAAGGGGCAUGACCCCUUCACGAAGUGGCCCUCUGCUAAUAACGUCACUAAUCUAUGUGAUAAUCACAUAUUUAAUUAAUUACAUAAUUAAGGUAAUUGAUCACUAGAAUUAGUGAUUCACAACAAACAUGAAACCUUUCGGUGUUGAGGGGAGAUUAUUGUUAAUCCCUUUAGUUAGAAUCUUCUGAUCUUGAGUGAAAGUUCUUGAAUUGCCUGACCGUUAGGGAGGGGGUUUGUGCUACAAUCUCAUAGAAGAUACCAGUACAAGAAGUUCAGAAAUAAAUUUUGGAUUCACAGUUAAUUAAAAUUGCUUAUCUUUGCUCACUAUUUGUUCAUUUUAUAACAUAAAUACAUAAUAUUCAUACAGAUACUCUGUAAUCUCUAUAUAUAUGGCUGGGCUACACAUCGGUUAUUCUGAAUUACAUACUUGUUUCGAAUAUGUGUACCGUGUUCUUUGUCUCACAUAUUGGAUUCAUGCAUCCAAGUCGUCAAAGCCUUCUAUUUUGAGGCUGCUACCAUACAUAUUUUACUGUAGCUCUCCGUGACCUAUGAUGAUUGCCGGCCUUCCUUUACUUGGAAUGCAGCCCCAUUCUUAGGACGUUGUUUGGUCGCUCGGAUGUCGACUUCCUGCACCUGCCCGUGCGUAUAAUCGCGGAGAGUACCGUGUUUGGCAGCUUGAAUAUACUGUGCAGUCUUGGCCUAGUGGAUGCAGACAUAUGGUGAGAUCCUGCACCCGCAGAAACGUUCAGAUCGAGCAUAGCUCCUAGGUCAGGCCUGAUGGACGAUGGCCCACACAUCAAGCGCAGCUGUGAGGUAGUAAGCCCUGCCAUCUGAACCGUACACUACUGCAGAAAUCAUUUUUCGUGUCACUAGUGCAGAAUUGAUUCAUCAUAGAGAACACACGCGAGAGGCUUCUGGCAACCCCAGGUGGAUUUUGUUGUUUCCUUUUAUUAGGAUCGUUGCUAUUGCUACGGGCAACAAAAUAUUUAUAUCGCAACAUACGGAACAUUCAAUAAGACAGUAACAAUAUGAAAAUAAGUACAAAUAUUAAAAAAAGUGCACAUAUUACUACAGUCGAAACAAAUUAUCUCCAUAAGAAUUAAUUUUCAUAUGGACAAUUAUGCAGAAAUCAUUGUAUAUACCUCUGGAUUAACCACCCCUGGAGAUGCCACGGAUGUCCCCUGGGUCAACCUGAAACUAAUUAGUAACAAAAAUAUCUCAGAAAUUAUCCUUUCUUCUAGUAUUAACCUAUCGCAACCAUCCAUUUUCAAGCUCAAGUAUUCAAUCCAGGAAAUGUGCUCAGUCCUCCUACACAUAAACAGAACAUGAGUUGUAGAUGUUUUCUUUUUGUUGAGUUGUGUUUUCAACUGACAAGUAGCUUCCAAGUAGGCAUCUUAUAACUGUCAAUUUAUAUCUUCGUAAGAAUGCAAUGAAACAACAGUACGUAUCCUCAGUAGGAAAGUUAGUGGCAUCUAAAAUAGCAACAAUAUAUUCACAGUCUCGAACUGAAGGCGGAAAAUUUGUAACACCCUAAUUUUCAACUUUUGCAAUUAAUAAAAUUUGCUAGAAUUUUCUAGAAUUUAAUUACUUUUGUUUAAGGAUUUAAGGAUUUUCUAAGGUUUAUUUAAUUUUUUAGGCAUUUAAAUCUUUUCAAAAACAAGUUAAUGAAUCAUAGGAGUUCAUUGUUGCAUUCAUGCUGGUGCAUUGAUUUUGGUUGUUUGAAUUUGAAUUCAUGUUUGAAUCCUUUUGAACAAUAGGAAAGCUUUUCUUUUUCUUUCUCUUUUCUUCUUCUUCUUUUGGCUCGAUCUUUCUUUUCGGCCCAGCCCGCAACAGCACCCCGCAAGAUAGGCUAGCCCAGCUCGGCCCAGCUCCCACGCCAUCUCCGCAGCCCAGCCGCACCACGUCCGUCCCUCCCGCUUACGCCUGGACCCCACAUGUCAUCCCCCUCCUCUUGCUCUCGCCCGCGCCCGAGCCGGACUCGAGCUCGAGUUCAUGCCGCUCCGCGUCCACCUCCCGGCCUAUGAAAGUCGCCGCCAUGCCUCGAAGCCCCUUACCAACCCUAGCGCCCUCGCUCUAGAGCUCCAGCGCCGCAACCCUAGCCGGCGCCCGAGCUUGAACCCGCCGCUAUCAUUUUCUGCCACCGCCACCUUCGCGUCGUUGAGGUCACCACCCAGAGCACCGCGAGGAGGUGAGGAAGCCGCCCGUGAAGAUCCCGUGCACUCCCGUGCCUUCCUUCGCGCGCGUGAACUCACCGGAGUUUACCGCCGCCGCACCGAGCCGUUCCGCCAAGUCGCCUCGCGCCGUCGUCACCUCAGCCACCGCGAGAACCACCUAGAUCGGUUUGAUGUGACACCAGCUUCAUCCGGAGCCCAUCCCCGUCAAAGAUCGUGGACCACCACUCGAGUUACGCUUGAUUCCGGCGAGGAUCCCUGCAGCGCUGCCGCAUUCACCGCCACCAGUCGUCCGAUCUGCAUCCGGAGUCAAUACCAGUCAACCGAGCUGCGCGUGUCGCUUUUGCAAAAAAGACCCUCGCUAUUUUCCCUUUUCACACAUGAGAUCCAUCCAGUUCAAAGUAUUUCAAUCUAAGUCCUUUUUCUUCUGUUUUAGCCCCUGUUCUUUUAUAAAAUCUCGUCUGCCAUCCUGGUUGGUCUUUUCACGCGUUAGCCCUUCAGUUUAUAAGCUUAAUUAGGUUAUAGCCCUUGGUUUCUUUAAGUUUAGCUCCUGGAAGUUUAGUUUUCUCACAGUUAAGCUCCUGAACCUUGUGUAGCUCAUAUCUUUAGCGUUUUAGAUCCAUUUUAAGCGAUUCUUGCGCCUAUGGGUUUGUGUUGAUGCAUAGAUUAGUUUUAUGGUCUUUUUUUGCUCUGUUGUUACUGCUUGAUGUAAUAUUUUCUUAUUUUAGUCCUUUGUUUGCUUGUAUGUACUUACCUGAUACGCAUAGAAGGAGCGUUGUUCGAGGGAUUCGAAGAGCAAGGAUUUAAAGACUUUGAGCAGUAAGAGCAAGUUCAGGAAGGCAAGUCGUGCCCUUGAUCAUAAUUUGAUCCUAUGCAACCUUUACUUUCAUGUUCAUUACACAUAUGCUAUGCCCUUUAAGUAUACAAACAUGAUGGGUCCUAUUUAAGGUGUGCCUAGUUUUAUCCCUACACCUUGAUCAACCUGGGUUACUUUAAUAUUGGGUAGUUCUUGCUUAGGUGCUCUAACUGUGUAUGGUUGUAUUAAUGAACCAAUGUUUAAACUUCUUUUAUUAUACUAUACCUUCCAUCAAUACAAGAUCACCAUGCUUAAUUGGAAUAUGGAGAACCACCUGGGAAAACACUGCAACCAAAAGAACUACAUGGCUCUGGUCUUGGCUAAUUAAUUAGAGACUCUAGUCUGGGGUAAUCUUACCGAAAGGAUAAAAGGGGAGACGUUGAUGGGGUAUAGCCCGGCCCUCAGGCUAAUUUGCUCUAUGGUAGCUUCGCAGUCUUGAGAGAGGUUUAUACUCUGCUUCGACCUGAAACCUUAGCGGGUUACUACUUACUAGGGAAUCUUUGUAAAAGUCUCGUAGCGUCCCUAUACAAUCACACAUCGGAAGUGUGGUAUUAUGCUUGGCCCACACAGCAUGGUUGGGUCUAAAGUUCUCUUGAACUUUUACACGACUUGUGGGUAAAAAUGUACAAUCUCUGCACAGUGUAAAACUAUUAUAAUAGCCGUGCUCACGAUCAAGAGCGGUCUGGACCCUCACAUGAGUAAUUUAUCAGAAGUUGAAUUAAAUUGAUCUUAUUUAUUGUUGUUAUCUUUAUUUAUGAUCAUGCUUAAUAUGGAUGGUAUAAACAUAUACUUAGUAAUUGCUAAUAAAAUUGACCAACCAAAUAAAAUGUUGAGAUACUAUUAAACCAUAGCCUAUCCUUGGAUAGCCUUACACUACACAUUCCUCACGCUUGCUGAGUACCAACCAUAAGUGUACUCACCUUUGCUAAAACCGCUGCUCAGACCAAAUCAACUUUGAGUAGGUUCCUAAAGACUUUGAGGAGUUCUAGGUGUACAUGUGCCACCAGUCAACUGCCUGUGGAGUCAUCAUCAUCGUUGGAGUUCCAAUGCUAGAAUAAAGACUCGUUUUGCUAUUCCAAUUAAAGACUUUCAGUCAUAUAAUAAUACUCUCUCUUUACGUUUUGACACUAUCUAUGUUAUUUACUGAAGUCGUUGCAUGUGUGAAACUUGACCCUAGCGCAUAUGUAAUUCAUUCAUCUGGUUUUGCCUUUAAAACCGGGUGUGACACUAGGCGACGUACCCGUCGAUAGCGAGGCACCAAUGGUGAUCUUGAGGAUUUUGCCGGCUCAGUCUUUCGGAUGUGCGUUGCGUGCGUAUGUUCGUAGGGAUAAGUAUGCGUACGUGUAUGCGAGCGUCUGCAUCUACACCGUGUGAUUAAAAAAUGCUUUGUCAUGUGCUUGUGCUUGAUUCAAGAAAGACUACCUACAAAUGUGCUCCAGACGCCUGGAACUUCCUGUAAACUGACCACGUGCCGACCUGAUUCCCCCUAUGCUCGCCAUGUCUCCUUAUCUCGACCAAUUCGGGCUUAGGGGGUGUUUGGAUACGAGAUGCUAAAUUUUAGUAGGGUCACAUUGGAUGUUUGGAUGCUAAUUAGGAGGACUAAACAUGAGCUAAUUACAAAACUAAUUACACGGAUGGAGUCUAAUUCGUGAGACAAAUCUAUUAAGGCUAAUUAAUCCAUCAUUAGCAAAUGGUUACUGUAGCACCACAUUAUCAAAUCAUGGACUAAUUAGAUUUAAUAGAUUCGUCUUGCGAAUUAGACUCCAUCUGUGCAAUUAGUUUUGUAAUUAGAUUAUGUUUAAUACUUCUAAUUAGUAUCCAAACAUCCGAUGUGAUAGGCGCUAAAGUUUAGCAGGGGUACACCCCCUCAGUGUGUGCACCCAUUUGGAUUCCCCGUUGGGGUUGAGUCUGAUUGGGUGCGCGCCUUGCCAUUAUCGGCCAAACAUUUUUGCUCCCUGGGACAGUUGCUGAGCUCUCAUUGUUUCAAUUUCUAACAAAGAGAGAGUUUCAGGUGAAGCUACCUGUAUGUUCUGCACGUAUGUGCCUUGAUUGUUGUCCCAGCAAGACGAGUUCAGCUGGAGGGAGUCCCACACGAGAGAGUCAGCCUGACUGAAUGCAUGGAUCACUCAUAGGCCCUCCCAUGGUAUGCGCUCAAUCCUAUCGACUUGAGUACCACUUCAUAGUAUCAGACUAUCAGCCUCCUUAUUUUCCCAGUACUAGUAUCUCCUAGGAACACAAUGCGUUUUGAGACAUGUGUCCUCAAAACCAUUUUCUGUACCAUCUUUCACAAGUAUCAUUUUUAAUUUAUCAAUCGGACAUGCUAGCGCCUGGACGUCCGAUAAAUUUUUUUUAUCGGACGCUCCGUCGCAACAUUGAAAAAUAACUAUCGAAACAUCAAAAAUCAACACGUGCAACAUGAAAACAGAUGAAACAUCUGGAACAUACAGUUGCAACAUAUAUGUGAAAAUAUAUGCAACAUCCAGAUAGAACAUUUGCAACUUGCAACCUGAAAACACAACAGAAGACUGAAACAGAUGAAAUAUUUUAAAACAUAUUGUUGCAACAUAUUUGUUGAACAUAUGCAACAUUCAGAUCAAACGCUUGCAACAAUACUUCUGGGAACAAAUGAAACAUUCGGACAAAACUCUUACAACAUGCUUCUGAAACACUUGCAACAUAUGCAACAUGUGCAACAUCUCUUGAUCUACUUUUACAACAUCCAUAUGAUUCAACUGCUACACACCUUUGAAACGUCUGAAACAAUUGAAUCAUACAAUUGCAACAUACGGGGGGAGAGAGAGCCUGACCACCGUGCAGUCCCUCUGGAGCCUAAGCACGGACACCACCUCCCUCUGGAGCUUGGUGUGACGACCGACCCUGAAUCUCUCGAGUUAAUCUUAAUCUAAGUCCCUAAUCACGUAUCAGCUUUACCGAGUUUAAGUACUCAACCUCCAGUCCGGUCCCGACCCCUGAGACCCGACCCCUUUCCGCUGGCCUCCAGUUCCGACCCCGCCGACCCCAACUCACCCGCCGGAUCCUUCUAAGUCUUCCCCAACACCUCCCUUCAAUCUGACCGAUGGACCCACGAGAUCUUUUCCCCCAGAUCUCCCGUGACAGGUGCACUCGAGUUGCAUGCCCGCUUCAGAGUUCCCCCGCCGCGUGGCUCAACUCUUCCGACGUCCGCCGAUCCGCCUCGUCUUCGGCCCGCGACCGGAUGGAUUCUCACGCCCCCUUCCCCAAUCGCAGUGGUAGCCCCUCUGCAACCCUUUCUGCAGCACCUCGCCGCCCGCGCCCAUCAUCACAUCGCCAGAUCCCAGCCGCAGAGCCCGAUGCCGCCCGUCUUUUCCGUCACCUCGCCACAGUCACGCCGCCCGGUCUUCGCUACACGACGAUUCUUCCUCCGCCAACCCAGACCGCGGCAGCGACAACUCCUUUCCCGCCCUGUCAGAAGCCGCCCCGAUAAUCUGUUGCUCCGCGCUCGCCCGCGCGACCGCAGCCGCCUGUCUUCUCACCUGUGCGCCCUCGUUCCUAGCGCCAUUUUCCCGGUCACUUCCAUCAGAUCCACCGCACGACGACGCCCGCCUCCGCCAAAUCUCAACCACCAGCAAACCCGCGCCUGCGCCGCCCUGACGCCAGUGCCCAACGACCGCCGCGUCAUCCCCGGAGUCCUGCUCCACCACCCUCGUCGCUCAAUCGCCGCCCGGGCAGAGCACUCCAUUGCUUCUUCCCCGGCCUUCGCGCCGCUCCCCUUCUCACUCCCGCGCUGCUAUAAAAGGGAAUGUGCAAGCCCCGCCGGAGUUUCCCUUGCCCUAGCUGCCAUCUCUCUUGCUCCCUAUUCGAGCUCACAGCGCCACCACACUAAGUCCCUGAGGAACUCUCCUCUCCGCUCCACACCGCUUUCCCCAAUCCACCCAGCCACUUGUUCCUCCGUGCUGCGUAAGAGCUUACUUGUGAUCCACAAUAAGCACCGCCGCCGCCGGAGCACCGCCGGACAUCUCCGCUGCAAGUCUUAGUGUUCCAGUUCCUCCGCCCGAACCUGCUCUUUCCCGACCCCAAACUUUCCUUGUAAGACGAAGGUAAGCUGAUGACCCUUGUCCGCCUCGUCCGACCCUUCUGUUCGUCCGACCCCUUUUCCGUCCCGCCCGACCCUGUCUGUUCUGCUGACCCUUGUCCGCUUCACCCGACCCCUUAUCCGCCCGAUCCCGGUUCCGUCUCGCCCGACCCUGUCUGUUCCGCCGACCUUUCUCCGUCUCGCCCGAGGGCUCGGUUGUAUCUUUUUCUUCGAACCGAGGGUGUAUGUGUAAAACUUGGGGACCUUUCAGCGUUGAGUCUGAGGACCCCUAGCACACCAAAUUCCUCUAGAUUAAGGGUCAGAUCAUAAGUUCCUUUCCUCCGACCCUUACCUCUUGAUCUCCAUCAACUCCAUUGAACUUUCCCACCUUCAUGUAACUUGUCGCAAGUUUCUAGGCUCAGACUUGCAAGUGUUGCUGUUGAAAUAACCGUCUAAAUGCUAACUCUUGCAUUGCAUUUCGUGUAGAGCUUCGUCUCGCCGACGGCUACUACGAGCUGCACCGGGCGCAAGAAGACGACGGUGUAGCUGAGCUCCUGCCCCCAGAAGCCGAAGCCGCCCCAGCAGAAGAGCAGCUUCCUUCCUUCUCGCUUGAAGGCAAGCCCCGGAUGCAUGAAACCCCUAUGUUUUUCAAACUUAUGCACGCCCUCUGCAUCUUGUUUGUGCAUUUACGUAUAGGGGUUAUUUGGAACCAUAGAUGCAUAACCUAGUUCCCUUGAUCUGAACACUAGCUGUUGGACCGAGUAGAUGCUUUGCUCAAGUAGGAAGCGGUAAAAGCCGAGUGAUUUCCUGUCACUCGCGAGUUUAUAGGAGUUGGUUGAGUUCUCUUCUGUUACAACUGUAAGGACGAUGGACGGGGCAGGGUUUCGGGUAACUCUUUGGUGGUCGGUUGGUCGCCCCGUCUGUCUAUGAAACUUGCUAAGGCCCGACAGUGGUGGUGUUCGUGAUCAAGUGUUUGGAAGUACUAACCUCAUACUUAGUAUGGGAUGAGGAAGCCUAGUACCGGAUUGAACCUAGACGUGAGCGGUCGCCCCAUUGUCCUUGGAACGGAGUUUCCCCUGCGGCCGCACGUGGUGGCAAGUGUGGUCACAGAACGGCAGAGGUCGGGUCUGUGGAACAUUGCACCAAAGGAAAUGGGCCCGACACGGGUUAGGGAAUUGAUGGGGAAGGCCGACACAGGAAGCGACCCUCGGUGGUGCGCGGAUGUCGUGAGGUUAGGUUCACCAUGCAUGGUUAAAGAACUCGAAUCGAUUCGUCUGCCUCUCACAGUUUGAGACUGCUUGAUCGCUAUGCUACCCUGAGUAAGAAAGAAAUAUGAUGAUGACAUGGUCUCGAUGAUGAUUCAUAUUUAUAUACCUUUUGGUUGGUUCUAUGGUUGCUUAGAGUAAGUUGCUAACUUAGACCGAAUAAUGAACUUAGAACCUGAGCUAAAACUUGAAAAUAGGGAUCUACAUAGUGCUUUUGGCAAACAAACCCCUCAGCCAAAGAGCCUUGCAUGUCUAGAAGUGGUGGAGUAGUUACCCCCGAUCGGUUAAGUCUUGUUGAGCUUAGUAGCUCAGUCUUGUUGUGGCCUUUCUUUUCAGGUGAAGCCGCUGCUCCAGAGUCCUCCCCUGUUGGCACUUGGCCGCCCCAACUCCCUUCGGGUUGGACGGUCGAGUGGGAUCCCUCCUCGGACGGCGAGGAAAGGGAUCACUGACGUCUUGGCAGGCCUCACCAAGGACGUCCGACCCCGACGAAGUAGCUUCCGCUCGUUUUUGCCUUCUGUCUGUUUCUUUUGAACCUUGUAAAACUCUGAUGUUGGUUUUCAUGGCCGAACUAAAUGGUUAAGUUGUUUAACUCAGUAGGACUUGUUGUAUUCUCUGGAACCACUCACCUUCGUGUGAGUUUGCCAACUCGGUCCUGUUCAAGUGGUUAAAUCGGAUGAAAUCCGACGGCACUUCGUGUUAACUUGGCCAAGGCAUGGGUGUCGCACGUUAGGCGACUUAACCAUGUUUAAUCAAGCUAAUCCGAAGUGGAUCCGCCACACUUGGCCACCGUGCAAUCCCAGGAGGCCGCGACGAGCAGGACGUGAUCGAAGUGCACGAUGAGGCGCAGACCUCGCGCACCAGCUUGAGCACCGUCGUCUUGCCCACGCCGCUGGCGCCCAGGCGCCGAGCGCGGCAUCACAGUCGUCGAGGAAGCGGAGCGCCUCGUUGAGGUAGGCCCUCGAGGGCCCCGCCUCCAUAGGGAGCCCGUCCUGGUCCUCGGGGUUGCAGAGCAACGGCGGCGGCACCUAUGGCGUGGCUAGCGCGGCCUCCAAGAUUGUCGCGCCCUGAUCCCGGAGCGCGCGCAGCGCCUUGAGCUGCUACUCAGCCAGCCCGGCGACUGGGCCCAUGGGGAGGAAGAGGUAGUGCACCAGGUGGACCACGUAGAGCUACCCGCCAUCGUGCCGCGCCUAGAUGGACGCCAUCUCGUCCUGCGCCUCCUGCACGCGCCGCAGCCAUGCGCACACGGGGUCUGAUGCUGGCGGGGUCCGGGGCAGGGGACGCGAGCGUCGGGACCUCGAGCGUGCGGAAGCGAACCGUGGGGAGGAAUGGGGAGCCGGCGCCAACACCGCCGCAGCCCCAGCCGUGGAGCGGCGCGCGGAGCGGGGUGGGUGGAUUCGUGUGGGGGAGGUGAGGGGACGGAGGAGAUUGGGACACUCACCGUGGAGAAGAAAGUGCUGGAAGGGAGGGGAUAAGGUUUGUGGUGGGACCCAUGGUAAAGAAGGGACGGGAGAUAGGGGCACGUCAGCACGUGGGCAGGAGGCGCGGUGGGCGAUGAUAGCGACGCGUCCGAUUUUUUUACUCCAUCCGGACGUAAGAGUCCUAGCAUUUCCGUUUAUCAAUACAUUUAUGUUGUCGUACGAGUAUUGCUGAGUCUGCAAAGUGUGAGCUUUGGAAGAACAAUGGAAAUGCACCUCAAUAAUACCAAGCUCAGUUCUCGCUCCGACAUGUGAAAAUGGGGAAGCGUUAUAUGUUCUUCGCUAAAACCGUCACUUCCAUUAAUGUAUUUUUUGAGUAGACCUGAUGUUUUAAUUAUGAAGUUUUGUAAUUGGUAUGUCACUUACUUUUAUUUUUGGUGAACACAUUAUAUAUAUUACAACAUGCAUAAAUUAUUGGAUAAUGAAUGAUCCCGAUUGGCCAGCUCAAAAGUUGCGCGGCAACGCCGCGCUGGAUUUCCAGUGACAAGGAACGUCCCUCUGGUGUAGUUUCAACUACAGUAUGCAGAGGAUCGGUUCCCCGCUUCAGGGCUGCUGCCGCCUGCCGAGGAUGCGGGUCGGAUAGGAUCUGGUUCGAAAAAUCCAAACCGAGGGCUCAUGGCGUCGUCGAUCAGAAGGAACGAACUCGGCGGCACGCACAGCGCCGAGGCCUCUCGAACCGAACACCCCGCGCAUGGUACAGGAACGCAGGUUCAGGCUACAAACGCCCAAAAAGGAGCCGCGAAUCCUAGGAGCAAUCACGAACCCGCGACGGCAACGCAGAUCGCUAGUGCGCGCGCGCUGCUGCUGCACGAUCCAGUCAGCGGCAGCAGCAGCAGCGUCACAUGGCGAGCCCAGCGGCCAUGGAGGAGUGCAGCAGCGCGCAUGUGGCCUCGGUCCUCGGCCAGCACCCACAGGACGCCGCGCCCGCGCACAUGGCUUGCGACGCGCGGAGCAGCCCAUGGUCUCCGGCGCCGAGAUGGGCGCGCAUACGGCCGGGGCGGGACCCCAACUGACGAGGCAGGCCCCUUCUCGGCGCAGCACCGGGGGCAACUGCCACUAGCUCAUUGAAGGCGCACGCAGCUUUGCUGCUGCCUGCUACCCGCUCCCAACCACCUCUCGAGACCACCGGUGACCGGUGCAGCUGCCGCCGGCAUCCGGCAUGUGGGUUUGCCUGAUGGAUGCUACUAGCAAAAUUCUAGUGUUACCAAUAAUAUUCGUUUUGCUUUAGUACUUAAUUUGCCUAAAAAAAAACUAGGCGUGAUUGCUUAACUCGUGAAGGUCAGAGCUGGAUUUGAUUGUGAGGGUCAAGUAGCUUGCGCCUUGUCCGUUCCAGCUUCUUUUUGAGGGUCAAGUACGUUGCUGCUCGUCGUGGAUCUAGAUGCGUUUGGUCAACACCCUUGCAAUCCGUGAGAGACAAGCAGAGAGCUACAUGGCUGUACACGAAGCAAUUGUUAAUCAGAACUGUGAUCUGGAUCUGAUGUUAGCUCCAGCUAAGCUGCACCUGGCUCUGAUUCUUUUUGGAAGCUCAAUUUGCUCUCUUGCAGAUCUCUAGAGGUUUGGUCAACCCCCCUGCAUUUCGGGAGGCAACAAGAAGAAGUGCACCGCACAUGGGGGCGAUUCUUACAACUCGGUCGAUCGUGCUUCCGAGUCCUACUCCUACUAGCUUAUGAUCGUUGACCAGCCUCAACAACCGCUCUCAACCCUUCUUUCGAAAAGCUGAAGACGACGACGCCAGCUGCCAAUUGGUAGCAGCACUUGGUUUUCCACCUGGGUCCUGGACUCCUGGGCCAUGGAAAAAGGUUGUAGUAGUCUUUCCGAGCUAGCACGCGUCCACACACGCACAAUUUGUGAACCCAGGGCCAGGGAGGGUUGCGUUGCGUGACAUUGCAAAGACGCACCCGCAUCGGGCGUGACCGUAGCGGCGGUAAUGGCGUCACGUAGAGCAACAGCUACGGCGCCAUACGGCACGAGAAGGAUGUGCGGUGAGGACGACGGCGGACCAAGUCGCCAUGACGCCGGCAUGUGCCAGGCCAACGGCUGAACACGCACAAUAUGUGUUGCAAAAGCGAUGAAAUUUGUUUUGCUUUUUUGGAAUUUUCACGAGAUUUUUAUAUGACGCCCUGGACUGUUUCGCCGGCACGCAUGGUUCUUGGCGCACCACGAGUUUGCAAAGCAAGUAGCGGUGUAGCACAGGUGAACUAACUUGCGGUACAGGACCCGUUUAGCAGGGUUGCAGCCGUGGCCGAAACGGCUGCGGCUGUGGCGGCUCCGGUGGAGGUAAAGUUAAAGUCGUUUUGGAAAGUGUUUAGCAAAACGGCUUCUCAUGUGCCUUUAGAAAUGGCUGUGAUAAGUCAAAUGCCAAUGCCCUUGACUAUGUGGAUUGUUUGAAUAGAUGAAUAGAAUGCUUAACAUUUGUUUAUAAAUUUGAGUUCAUUAGAAAUUUAAAAAAAUAAAAGGAUUAUUGUUUAAGCAAUAAUAAAAAGGAUUAUUUUUCUUCUUUAACUUUUGUUUUUCCUUAAUCCGGUCCACAUCCUCCCAUUCUUUUUUUCUCUUUGUUUUUUCUAUUUCUCCACGCCAUCGCAAUCCAUCCUUGUGACUCUUCCUGACCGUUCGCUAAUUUGAGUUCAAUAGAAAUUAUGAAUAUAAACUAAAAGAAUCCGUGCGCCUGUAAUUACAAAAGGAGGCAUAAUCCUAGCAUGCAACCAUACAAGCUAAUAAUUAUAAAAGUAGCCAUGAUCCUUACAUAGCAUGCAACCAUAUAAGCUAGCUGGCAUGCUCAAGAUGAUCUAGAAAGGAAGAUUGCUCUAGCAAGAUCAUCUCGGAAUUUAUCCAUGGUCCAAUCAUCAGUUUCCAUAUUGGAUGUAUCUCCAUCAUCUUGAAAGGUAUAGUGGGCAUAUAAUCAGCAUUCCGAUCGCAUUUGCAGAAAUCCUUAUCUUGUGCGUGGUUUUCACGAACGAAGUUAUGGAGACACCUGGUUGCGGCAACUAUCAUCAUUUGCUUCUUCAUUUGCUUCACCGGGGAGUUGACGAGCCCCGAACCGGACCAGAGCUGGGCCUGAACCGGCAGCCGCUCGUCACACCGUUCAUCAGCACGAACCUCCUGUGAAGCCGUCUCGUUGGUGCCCGCUGCCGACGCUUCGGUGACGACGCCGGAAGUGCCAUCAUCGGCACGGAGCCAAUCCGGCCCAAGAGCCGCGACUGCUGCUCCGAACCACCACUCUGGCCAUCCUCCAUGCCCAGGCAUGCCAACACCUAUGGGCAUGGCUGUGCUUCCAGCCGUCAUGGGGCUGGGCCACGUGCCGGCGACUAGGCUCGCCGCGGCUGGGACACCACCCCACGAUGCGACAACGUGGCCGGUCCAGUCUGGACCGGUCUGGCGGCGCCGUCCGCCCCCUGCAGUUGCUGCGUCUCCAGGCGCACCGAGGAGUCCGGGCCAUGCGCCUGCCACCACGUCGGGAGGCAAUCCCACGGCGGCCAGGAGGGCGCCUAGGGGACUUGUCGGCAAGCCUCCUGGACACAUGAACGGGGCGCCGCUGGCCCAUUCGCCGGCCGCAUCCUGGAGCCCACCACCAGAUCUACCCCUUUCAAUCGUCGGAGCCCCUUUUCCAAGCGACGCAGCUGCAUCCCCCUCAUCCAUUUCGCCCGCCACCACCAGACCGUGAGAAAGAGGGAGAGAAGCGGAUGGAGUAGCGGUUCGGGAUGAGGACGCCGUAUCGAUUGGAAGGAGGUGGUGGCAAUUUAGCUGUAACUUACCGUGAGAUCCAGGGGUAGUUUCGUAAUGAGUGGGGUGCGGACGGAGAGGAAGCCAUGGGGAGCUGUUUUUUUUCGGAUUCUUCUCGCUAGUACAAAAUGGAGAAUGGCUUCACGAGUGCUUCGCGAGAAAAGCUGUUUUUUUGAAGGGUGUUUGGCGCAACUUCUCCGAAACCGCUUGAGAAGCUGUCCAAUAAAUCCUACCACGGAGCCCUGAAUUCCACGUGAAAGAGAAGAAACAAAUUCACGUUUAGCUGAGAACUGAGAAAACAAAACUCGCGAGCAAUUCAUCUGGCCCCAGGGAUUUUUUAUAUACAAAUAGAAACGCCUUCACAACUUGCUGAAGAGUUGUUUAGAGAGGGAGGAGAAAAAAAUCGGUUCUCGCAUAUUCGAGGCAGGUCCUUGGCUGCUUGCCGUCUAACACCAAACACCAGCUCACCCAACAGAUUCCUGCCACGUAUACCUCACCGACACCAAGCGAUCGAGCCGUAUCAUACGUGCCAGUAGCACCCUUACGUGGCGCUCCCCUAAUGGUCAGAAGAGCUGAUCGCGACAGCGCUCCCGUCGCAGCUCGAGCUCAACGCAUCCGAUCACACCCGACGCAGCAGCGCCCGUGCAAUUAUGCCACCGCGUGGAGCCCGCGGGUCCGGGGCCCACUUGCCAGUGACACGGCUGGCUCAGCCAUCAUCGUCGCUGACACGCCCCCUGAAAAGGGCUUAUCGGAUACCCGCAAAAAAAAGAAAGAAAAGGGCUUAUCGGAGGAGUAAGCGCGAAGUAAUCCCAGCUCAUCGCUCCAAAAUUACCUUGCCACGUCGAUGACACCGUGGAUUAGCGUGGUAAUCAAAUGGGGAAAUGGCGAGCGAGGCAGCCUGGCUAUAAAAGAGCUCCUUGCCCCUCCUUUCCUCCUCCCCGCCCCACCAACACUCCCAAGCCACCACCAGCCAUCCCAUCUCCACUCGUCCACAGCCAAAAUCCGCCUACCCAAUCCCCAUCCAUCCAGCGCCCACCCACCACCGUUCCAGUGAGUUCGAGCGAGGUAAGCUUAGAUCUGAGCGAGUUCUCGCGCGUCGCAGGUAAAGUUCACUCUCCUGACCCUCUUCCUCCUCUCCUUGUUCUUCUUGGUUUCGUCUUCCUCGAGCAGACAGCGAGAGACCCGGGACGUUUUAGAUCCUGGGCUUCAGAUCUGCUAUUUCUUCUUCAGCUUGGUUUUUAGCAGUCUAGGUUGCUAGUUUGGUAGCCAAGAGGGGUUCUUUUUCCACACCUCCCUUGUGCAAGUCCGUGCGCAGAUCUACCAUCAGAGCCAUCUGUUUUUUACUGUGGCUGUUGGGUUCUGCCUGAUUUGUUCUUGGUUUGCUAGAAAGAAAAAAAAACAAAAAAAAGAGUUUUCUUCAGGUCUACUACUAAAGUCUAGAUGGCUGCCGCUAUAGAUCUGUCCGGGGAGGAGCUGAUGAGAGCUCUCGAGCCUUUUAUCCGGGAUGCCUCUGCUCCUCACGGGUCCAGUCCGCUUCUCCAACACCACCACCCUCUCAGUCCCACCUCUCCCUUCUCCUUCCACCACGCCGCCGCCUACGGUGGCGGGUACCCGUUCGCCGCCGGAGCCGAGGGGGCGGGCCAGCUGAGCCCGGCCCAGAUGCAGUACAUCCAGGCCCGCCUCCACCUGCAGCGCCAGGCGCAGUCCUCCGUCCUGGGCCCGCGGGCCCAGCCCAUGAAGGUCUCGUCGGCGUCUGCGGCGGCCCCGACCCCGCCGCGGCCGCAGAAGCUGUACCGCGGCGUGCGGCAGCGGCACUGGGGCAAGUGGGUGGCGGAGAUCCGCCUCCCGCGCAACCGCACCCGCCUCUGGCUCGGCACCUUCGACACCGCCGAGGAGGCAGCGCUCGCCUACGACCAGGCCGCCUACCGCCUCCGCGGCGACGCGGCGCGCCUCAACUUCCCCGACAACGCCGCCUCCCGCGGCCCGCUCCACGUCUCCGUCGACGCCAAGCUCCAGCAGCUCUGCCAGAACAUCGCCGCAUCCAAGAAGGGCGCCAAGAAGUCCGCCGCAGCCGCCACGUCAUCCUCCGCCCCCACCAGCAAUUGCUCAUCGCCGUCCUCCGACGACGCGACCUCGUCCUGCCUCGAGUCCGCCGCCGAGUCCUCGUGUCCGUCCCCGUCGCCGUCCGCCUCGCCCGAGUCGACGGUGCCGGAGAUGCAGCAGCUGGACUUCAGCGAGGCACCGUGGGACGAGGCCGCCGGCUUCGCCCUCACCAAGUACCC
This 90833-nucleotide long non-coding RNA is filed under the name Setaria italica (foxtail millet). RNAcentral's name for it is "long non-coding RNA (SITA_LNC001329)". The record is from RNAcentral. Lineage: Eukaryota; Viridiplantae; Streptophyta; Magnoliopsida; Poales; Poaceae.